RNAcentral lists this long non-coding RNA (109006 nucleotides) under Lactuca sativa (garden lettuce). RNAcentral's name for it is "long non-coding RNA (LSAT_LNC007991)". The record is from RNAcentral. Lineage: Eukaryota; Viridiplantae; Streptophyta; Magnoliopsida; Asterales; Asteraceae.
CUAGUAUGGAUAAAGCAUCCUUGUGGCAUUGUCGUCUUGGACAUGUCAACAAGAAACGCAUAGCCCAACUCCAAAAGGAUGGAGUGUUGGAGUCAUUCGACCUUAGGGAAGAUGACACAUGCGAGUCUUGUUUGCUUGGAAAGAUGACUAAGUCACCCUUCACGAGUACAUGUGAAAGGGGCGAGGGUCUAUUGGACCUAAUACAUACCGAUGUAUGUGGACCGUUUAGAUCAACCACGAAGGAUGGGAACCGCUUCUAUGUGACUUUUACCGAUGACUAUAGUAGAUAUGGGUAUAUCUACUUAAUCAAGCAAAAGUCAGAAACCUUUGAAAAGUUCAAAGAGUUCAAGAAUGAAGUGGAGAAUCAAUUGGGCAGGAAAAUCAAGAUGCUUCGAUCCGAUCGAGGAGGAGAGUACCUAAGUCUUGAAUUCCACGAUUAUCUCAAGGAGUGUGGAAUAGUUUCGCAAUUGACGCCUCCUAGGACACCGCAGUUGAAUGGUGUGGCAGAAAGGCGUAAUCGAACCUUAUUGGAUAUGGUUCGCUCUAUGAUGAGUCGUGCUUCACUACCAAUCUCUUUUUGGGGGUAUGCCUUAGAGACUGCCGCCCAUAUCCUUAACCGAGUCCCUACUAAGAAGGUUGCCAAAACACCUCACGAGAUGUGGACAGGGAAAGCUCCCUCGUUGGCACAUAUCAAGGUUUGGGGUUGCGAGGCUUUCGUAAGACGAGAUACUCACGACAAGCUCGAACCUCGUAGUGAGCGAUGUAUUUUCAUCGGCUACCCGCAGAAAUCCUUUGGAUAUCUCUUCUAUAGACCGAAGGACAAUGUUGUCUUCGUUGCGAGGAGAGGAGUUUUCCGAGAGCGAGAACUCAUAAGCCAAGGAGACAGUGGGAGGCAAAUCGAGCUUGAAGAGAUUCAAGAGUCGAUAGAUGAAGGAACCUCUACCGCUGGCACUCAACCCGAGGAGGAAACUCCGGUUGAACCGAUUGACGAGUCCUUACCUCUUAGACGUUCCGAAAGAGUUAGAGUUCAACCCCAGUUUUAUGGUUUUCAUAUUACUACCGAAGGGGACACGUAUAUUAGUGAUGGUACACUAAUAAAUCUUGAUGAACCUAAUAGCUAUAAGGAAGCCAUGGCAGGCCCGGAGUCUGCGAAAUGGAAAGAGGCAAUGGAUAGCGAGAUCCAAUCCAUGUAUGAUAACCAAGUUUGGAAUUUGGUUGAUAAUGUGCCCGGACGUAAGACCGUUGGGUGCAAAUGGAUCUUCAAGAAGAAGACCGACGUGGAUGGAAACGUACACACAUAUAAAGCGCGAUUGGUUGCGAAGGGCUUUACUCAAACUCCCGGAGUUGACUAUGAUGAGACCUUCUCACCAGUUGCGAAGAUAAAAUCUAUUAGAGUGAUGCUAGCUAUUGCCGCAUUUCAUAAUUAUGAGAUUUGGCAAAUGGAUGUCAAAACAACUUUCCUUAACGGGAAGUUGGCUGAGGAUGUUUACAUGGCUCAGCCAGAGGGUUUUGUUGAUCCGAAGCAUCCAAAUAGAGUGUGUAAGCUUGAGAAGUCCAUUUAUGGACUUAAGCAAGCGUCUCGCAGAUGGAAUCUUUGCUUCGAUGAGAAAGUCAAAGAGUUUGGAUUUGUACGAAGCGAAGACGAAUCUUGUGUAUAUGUCAAAGCCAGUGGGAGUAUAGUAAGCUUCCUCGUUCUAUAUGUCGAUGACAUAUUACUCAUAGGAAACGACAUCCCGACUCUGCAGGAGGUUAAGUCCUGGCUCGGGAAGUGCUUCGCUAUGAAGGACCUCGGAGAGGCUUCCUAUAUUUUGGGAAUAAGGAUAGUAAGAGAGAGAAGUAAGAGACUAAUAGGACUUAGUCAGAACACUUACUUAGAUAAGGUACUAAAACGUUUUAGUAUGGAAAAACUCGAAUAAGGGAGAAUUACCGAUACAAAGUAAUGCCAAGUUGAGUAAGACUCAAAUUCCGAGUACUGAAGCUGAAAUAGCAGAAAUGAGCCGAGUACCAUACACUUCCGCAGUUGGCUCAAUUAUGUAUGCUAUGACUUGUACUCGCCCUGAUGUAGCCUUUGCUUUGAGCAUGGUUAUCAGAUAUUGGGGGAAUCCAGGCGGAGCUCAUUGGAUUGCGGUGAAGAAUAUCCUUAAGUACCUUCGGAGGACGAAGUAAUGGGUUUUAGUGCUCGGAGGGAGUGAUGACUUGAAGGUGCGCGGGUAUAGUGACGCCAGCUUCGAAACCGACCGAGACAACUACCGUUCGCAUUCGGGUUGGGUCUUUACCCUGAAUGGAGGAGCAGUAACUUGGAAAAGUUCCAAGCAGGAAACCAUAGCUGAUUCAACGUGCGAAUCAGAGUACACUACAGCGAGUGAAGCGUCAAAGGAGGCAUUAUGGUUGAAGAACUUCAUUGGUGAUCUUGGAGUUGUACCCGCCAUAAAGGAGCCCAUGGAGAUUUUCUGUGAUAAUGAAGGAGCGGUUGCCUUAACCAAGGAACCGAGAGAUCAUGGUAGAUCGCGACAUAUCGACAGAAAAUAUCACUUUAUUAGACAUCGUGUAGAAGAAGGACAACUCGUAGUGAAGAGGAUAUCAUCAGAAGAUAACCCAACAAAUCAGCUUACGAAGGGACUGAGUAGGGUUAAGCACUUGCAGCAUGCUAGGAGUAUUGGGCUGAAGGAUGAUAUUAGUAUAGAAUAGAUAGUAGUAGAAACAUGUAAUAGAUAAAUAUAAUUAACAUUUGACGAUUAAAUAAAAUAGUAUUAUUUAUGAGUAAUGUUACUGUCUUAUGUAAAUUGUUUAACUAUUGUUUCAUUUUGCAUGUUUUGAUUUCCAGAAUAAUUGAGUUUAUUAAGAAUAAUCGAAUUAUUCGAAUUAUCCACAAUUGUUCAUAUGUUGGAAGUAGAUAUGAAUGAAGAUUGUCAUGAAUUGGUAUGUAGAUUGUCUAAAUGGUAUUAGACAUAGCAAAGGGUUGCUACAACGUUCAUGAGUGCUUAUGAACUGGUUUUGAGCAUUGGAACAAACCCGCGCUUGCUGGAAUCACCUUAUGGAAUAUGAUAUAAAAGGGUGAUCGCAAGACGAUAAUAUCAUAUACUCUUAAAACCUAGAUAUAUGGUUUGUUAUUUGUUAAUUGGUUGUACAUUGAUAAUGCGAAAACGCAUCAGUAACUCGAUGUUAUAAAACGCAUUGUUGUGUAUAGUUGAUUAAUGAAUAAGUAAAUGCAUAUAAGUCGAAGUUUAUCUGUUACUUUUAUCCUAAGAGGUUAAAAGCGAUAUCUCGGCCGCUCGAUGAUUUGAUUUGACUUAUGUGCCGGGCCCGGUCAGAACUGAAUUUAUGUGUUCGAUUAAGUUCUAUGUCAAAUGAAUCGGAGAUCGAGAAACCAAAUGCUUGACAAAAUUGAUUCCAUAAAAUUGUCAGCAUGAUAUCUAACAGAGGACUGUAUGAUCCCUUAUCUAAAGGAAAAGAUUGAUUAGAUCAGAGUUUGACAACGUCUUUGAGAGCGAUGAUUGCAAAUCGAAUUGUACUUGUGCAUAUAGUUACUAGACUUAUCCAAGUGGGAGACUGUUGGAAUAGUAUCGAAGGCUACAACUAUAUUUGGCAAGUAUUUGACCCGGUUGUGCAUGAUCCUUUUAGGUUGCCUUCAUCAUAGCAACUUGACAGGAUGAUUUAUAAUGAGAGAAGGAAUAUUAUUAAUAUAUUAUAAGUAUAAUAUAAGGAAUAAUAAUAUUGUUUGAUUGAUAUAGGUCAUAAAUUAAUUAGGAAUUAAUUUGGUGACUUAAAGAGAUUAAUUAAACAAAGGGGUAUAAACUGUCAAUUGUUUGAUAGUUACACUUUGGGCUGUAAAUCCUUCGUGGAUAGGGUUGGACGAUUUCUAGGGCUUGGGAUAAGCCACAAAUCGUCCAAGGGCUUAUCUUAGAAGGGAUUUGGAUUGCUUUGAGUAAUAGUUAUCCAACUAGGGUUUUAGAGUGAAACUCUAGGAGCCUUACAAGUAUAAAUAGACCCCAUGGGCAAGGGAAAUCGACACCUCUGCUAAAGUAAAGAAACCCUAGCCGAUUUCAUCCCCUCUCCUCUCUCUCAAAUCAUCCUCUUGCUAGUUGGUGUUUGUAAGCCAUUAGAGGAGUGACAUUUGUGACUCUAAAGCUCCAAGAACAAGAAGAUCAAACAAGUGUUUUGAGGUAAGCUUCUAACUCUGAUUUUGUAUUGUUCUUAUACUCAAUUAGCCAUUAGAAGUCUUGGAUUCAAUGUAUGUUCAAUUAGAGAAACCUAGAUCCAAGCAUUAGGGUUUGUAUGUGCACAUAGGAAUGUUCAUAUGGCCAAAACCCAUCAGAAUGAUGUUAUGAUUCAUGUAUAAUCAUUGUGAUGGUAUUCAAUUGAGUCACAAUAGCCCUCGGACGUUUCCGCCGUCUGGUUCGGGGGUGUGACAAUGCACUACCCGGUAAAGAUAACUAGUGAUUUUUUCGAAUGUUCUACUAUAAGAAAAUUGAUUGCUAAAAAGAUUAACUAAGUCUGCAAAUGAAGUAAUAGAGUAAGGGGGAACGUUAAAAAGCCAUUUUAAGGUUGAUCUUAUGAGGGUCAAACCGAAACCCUUGCAUAGGCAAGCUUCCUUCAAAUGUGUGGGAAUGGGGAUGAUUUCCAUUCUUUCCUUGUAUUGUGUCACAUGCUCUUCAGGGUCUGUAGUUCCAUCAUAAGGCUUCAUGUUGUGAAUGUGGAAGCACUUUGGGAUUUCAUUAUCAGCUAUCGCAAGAGAAAAUCUUCAGAUCCUAUGGCUCGUAGGGAUACCUCUGGUAUAGGUUGGGCUACUCUGGGCACACUUGAGAUCAUCUGACUUAACUGUUGAAGUUUAUUGGCCAUGAUCGGGCUCAUUUUUGCAUUGAGGUCCAUAGAGUUAGUAUUAAAAAUAUUUUUAUUCAUGAAGUUAAUCCUUGUUAUUAGGAGUGAUGAAGGUUUCUUCGGGAUCUUGGAUCAUAUUAGCUCGCUCAUUCGGGGUUGCACCAUAAGUGGGAGCAGGUGUCGGUGUUGAGGAUCCUAUAUCCUAGCGGUUUCCUAAGGAUCCUAUAUUGUCAAAGUUCAGGAUUUUGGGCUAUAAGAUCGAGGGUGCUGAUUUUUGUGGUUUAUAGAUCUACGCCCUCAAUCUCUCCGUCUCCUUAAGCACCGUCCUGUUGUCCUCUUGCUGCCGAGUAACUUGUCGUUCCAGUCUCUUCAUUAUAUCAAAGAGCUCGUUGUUGGAAAUCGUUACAGGAGGAUCCUAAAAUCGUUGGAGUCUUCUUCGGCGCCUCAGAAGUCUUCUUAGGUGCUCCAUUAGGAGGUGGUGGAAGGUUUUUAGAGGAAAUGGGAGGAAUAGAGGAAGAGGAUAAAGUUAGUUAGGUAUACAUUAUUCUUGAACGAUUUUGAACACCACGACCACACGGUAGGCGCCAAAUUGUUUUUGGUCAAAAUAUGAGUAAGCAUUAUUCAACCAAAUUGUAUAAAAGGCUUUGGUGUUUAAGGUAAAUAAUGAUUAAAGUGAGACAAGUGAGUUACAAGGAAAUCCAUUGCUCUUUAUAGGAUCUCCGACAUAAAACCUUGGGAGGUGAAUGAUCACAUGCCUUGUUGUUUUAUUGAUAUGAAUGUGAGAUUAUAGAAAUGAUGAUGAUAAUACGAAUACAAAUGUAGUAGUAAGUUAAUCGUGUACAUAGUGUGUGAAUUAUAGGUGUAUUUAAAUAACAUUAUUUAAUUUUCAUUACAAUUUUGCAUAUUAUAUAUAUAUAUAUAUANNNNNNNNNNNNNNNNNNNNNNNNNNNNNNNNNNNNNNNNNNNNNNNNNNNNNNNNNNNNNNNNNNNNNNNNNNNNNNNNNNNNNNNNNNNNNNNNNNNNNNNNNNNNNNNNNNNNNNNNNNNNNNNNNNNNNNNNNNNNNNNNNNNNNNNNNNNNNNNNNNGAAAUGAAUGUUAGGAACAGUACUUGACCCCAGGUACUGUUCAUCAGGUUUACUUAAUCAACCAUGGUCACCGCCUCCACCCCCAUCCAGUUUAUUCCAAACUCACAAAGCCUGAUCUCGAUCAUUCCUCAACCCUGUAUCAUUGUUCUAUUGAGAGGGUGUUUGGGAAAGCUUUAAAAACUAACUUUUUACUUUUUACUUUUCAGAAAAGUCAAAAAAAAUGCAAAAGAUGUUUGUCUAAGUUAAAAAGUUCUUUUUAAACAACUUUUGAGCAAGAGGAAAAAAGGUUGAUUUCAAAAGUCACAAAAACGUGACUUUUGGAACUUUUGUACUUCUUAAAAGCAACUUUUGUCUUUUUACCAUCCAAACACAUUCUAAACCGUAACUUUUGGAAAAAGAUCUUUUAAAAAAGUUCCCAAAACACCCCCUGAGUACCAUCAUCAUCGUCGUCUCGGCUUUAGGUCACCGUUCUAAAUACGCCACCGCCACCGAUUUCAUAGAUCGUUUCUUCCUACUCUCAGCUUCUUAUCUUGCUCGCUCCAAUCCGGUCGACUCUUCCUCUACCUUCCAGUUCAUUCCAUCUUUCCAAUUGAUUGUUCGCCACAGUCUCCUAUAGUCUCAUAUUUCAGUCCAGUUCAUCGACUCCCACAAUAUCGAUUCCUCUCACUACAUACAUCUCCGCCAUCUACCACUAAUUGAAAAAGAUCGACGCGUUUCCAAUCAUUCAACAACCGACGACGGCUUCACGAUUUUGAGGUUUUUGGCUUCGAUUUUUAAGGUAUGUGAAGUUCUAUAGCCACGAUUUUCAUCUUUCUGGAUCGAUUUUGUCUGCAACUGCUCCACCACCUCGCCACCGCCGGUGAUGCAACAUCGGAAGCUUCUUUCAAGAAAACCAUUGCUACAAAAAAAAACCUAAAUUCAAGAACGAGGAUGUUUGCCACUGCUCAAUCAAAUCCUAAAUCACGUCUCUUCCUACUUUGCUUCACUAAAGUCACGUUUGUCAGAUUCGUCAAAUCUGACAACAAUCCGGUGUUUACGGUAGACGAAGGUCUUUCUCCAGAAAUCUGUCGGAAUUAUCAGGGAUUCAAAAUAAGUUAACUGUGAUUUCAUUCACAAUUUUAGGAGUUUAUUACAAUUUUGUUACCUUUGACAAUGAUGAAUAUAUCGAAGGUCAAUACUAUAUCAGAAAUUUGUUUUUUUUUCUUUGUGUUCAUCAUAUUAUUCUACAAUAUUUCAACUAUAACAACACUAAUAUUUACGCUUUUGUUAUUCAUGUGCUAAAAUUUUGUUGAUGUCAACCGUAUGAAAGCGUAUUAAUUCAAACAAUUUUGUAGAUGUAGCGUCUCACACUGAUGGCAAACCUCUGUUACUGAGUUGGUUUGAAUGAUAGUUCUCAAAUGGCUAUGCCUUUAUUACUGGUAUGAUUCAUUUCCUCUGAAGAUAAAAUUCUGAGCCACUCAUGAUUGCAACUAUAUCUCAUUAAUGUGAGUAUUGAAUUCUUUCAAUUAAGAUAAUUGAAAUUAUGUAUAUUGUUAUUUUGGGUACGGUUUUUAGGUAAUUGUAACUCAAUUUUUUUUGUGGAUAAAAUCGGGUGCAAGGAAGUUGAUGAAUUCGCAGUUAUGGCACAUGUGUGCUGGCCCUUUAGUCUCUUUACGUCAAAUUGGAAGCCUCAUGGUCUACUUUCCACAAGCCCACAAUGAGCAAGUAAGCUUCUUUCAGAAUAUCUUUGUAAAAAAAAAAUACAUGUAUUCUAUCUCCUAAUAGAAUUCUUCCUUUUUUUUUUAUUGUUUUAUGCAAGCUUGCAGCAUGAUGCAAACCUGAUGAAGUUUAUGCAUAGAUGACUCUUCAACCCGUAACUAAACUAGGUCAGCCGAUGUAUAAUGUUUUAUUUGUGAUUUUUUUUUGAGUUUUUAGAAAUAGAUUCUGACAUGAUGUAGAUUUUUGUAGUAUGAUCAACAAGCAUUACUUAUGUGUGAAAUGGUUUUGAAGUAAAACAAGCACCCAACUGCAAAAACACAUGUUCCGAAUACUCACUUGAAGCGCAAGGUCGGAUUAAAUUUUUCGUUAAUUUUUCUGUUUUUUUUAAAGAUCUAUUGGAAAUGAAUUAGGAUUGACAAAUUUAUAUUUUUUUAUGUGUUUCAUCCUCUUUUCACCGGAGAAGCUGCUACAUGGCAGGCUUGGCUAUAUAUUGGCUUAUCCAGAUUUAGUAACAUGGUUCGUUUUGGAGUGGUUGGCCUUAAAUUAAGGCGUGGGUAUGCUCGAUCACAAUCAGGAGAGCCAAUCCAUGUAUUAUUUUCAGCAACUCUUUUAUAUCAAUGAGUUAUUGAUCAUAUGGAUUAUCAUAUGAUAGAGGAUUUUGAAAUAGAAUGUCCAGUAUUCAUUGCUUUAUAUGUUCAACACAAAUAAUAUGAGAAAUGAAUUCGAGUUUCAACAAAUGUAUUACAACAAUCCUUUUUCCAUUUUCUUUUUUAUUACAACGUUAACUUACACGAUAAAUAUAUUCAUUUGUUUAGCACUGCAACAUUGGAGCUUGCAAUGUCAUUAAGAGACGGUUCGAUAAAUCUUUCAAAUUCUCAGAAUUGUCAACUCUCUACAAGAUCAAACGCAAGUGUAAGAAUAAUAAGCUCUUUUCAUUUUAAAAUAAAAAAGAACCAUUAUUUUUUAGAUAUUUUAUGUUAUCUUUUUCUACUUAAAUUACUUGAUCAUAAUCUCGAAUGUUGCUAUUUUAUCUUUUUUCUAAGUUAUAUUUUAUUUUUUGAUUGUCUUCCAAGUAAAGAGAAGUUUAGGCUAGAGGCUUCAGUUGUUGUUGGAUGGAGAAAGAAACACCAAAAAAUGGCUCCAGAAGGAGAGAUUAUGGUACUUUAUUUUAGAAAUAAUUUAUUACAUUUGAUAUCUACAGGCAUGAAUUAAAAGCACAGAGGGAGAGAAUCUUUCAAAUUGAUGACUACAAUGUUUAAAGCUAGAUACUUUUUCCAACAACUUAUGUCGGGAGUUCAGUACUACCAUUUCCUGGAGAUUGGUUGAGUGGUCUCAAUUGCUAUACUAACCAUAUAAAUCAAAGUACGUUGCUAAUUUCUGCAUGUAACCUUCAUAUGGAUAUCUCUCUCAUCUAUCUCAUUCUUUUGAUGAAUUUUCUAUAGAUAUUAACAUGUGAUCAAUUGGAAAUUUCGUCAACAAGGGCAGAUUGCCAGAUUGUUACAACUGAAAAAAGAGAAAGCCAAAUCAUUAUCAGGUACAUAUGUAAUAAAUAAAUGAUAAGUAUCAAGGGUAUUCUUGGUAUUUUAGCAGCUACUACUACAUGAUCAAACAAAGUGCAUUUAUUUAUAAAAUCAAAGACAAUACAUAAUUUAUUGUGGGCGAUUGUUUAAUUUUAAUCCAAUUGUUCAUAUGUUGGAAGUAGAUAUGAAUGAAGAUUGUCAUGAAUUGGUGUGUAGAUUGUCUAAAUGGUAUUAGACAUAGCAAAGGGUUGCUACAACGUUCAUGAGUGCUUAUGAACUAGUUUUGAGCAUUGGAACAAACCCGCGCUUGCUGGAAUCACCUUAUGGAAUAUGUUAUAGAAGGGUGAUCGCAAGACGAUAAUAUCAUAUACACUUAAAACCUAGAUAUAUGGUUUGUUAUUUGUUAAUUGGUUGUACAUUGAUAAUGCGAAAACGCAUCAGUAACUCGGUGUUAUAAAACGCAUUGUUGUGUAUAGUUGAUUAAUGAAUAAGAAAAUGCAUAUAAGUCGAAGUUUAUCUGUUACUUUUAUCAUAAGAGGUUAAAAGCGAUAUCUCGGCCGCUCGAUGAUUUGAUUUGACUUAUGUGCCGGGCCCGGUCAGAACUGAAUUUAUGUGUUCGAUUAAGUUCUAUGUCAAAUGAAUCGGAGAUCGAGAAACCAAAUGCUUGACAAAAUUGAUUCCAUAAAAUUGUCAGCAUGAUAUCUAACAGAGGACUGUACGAUCCCUUAUCUAAAGGAAAAGAUUGAUUAGAUCAAAGUUUGACAGCGCUUUGAGAGCUACGAUUGCAAAUCGAAUUGUACUUGUGCAUAUAGUUAUUAGACUUAUCCAAGUGGGAGACUGUUGGAAUAGUAUCUAAGGCUGCAACUAUAUUUGGCAAGUAUUUGACCCGGUUGUGCAUGAUCCUUUUGGGUUGCCUUCACCAUAGCAACUUGACAGGAUGAUUUAUAAUGAGAGAAGGAAUAUUAUUAAUAUAUUAUAAGUAUAAUAUAAGGAAUAAUAAUAUUGUUUGAUUGAUAUAGGUCAUAAAUUAAUUAGGAAUUAAUUUGGUGACUUAAAGAGAUUAAUUAAACAAAGGGGUAUAAACUGUCAAUUGUUUGAUAGUUACACUUUGGGCUGUAAAUCCUUCUUGGAUAGGGUUGGACGAUUUCUAGGGCUUGGGAUAAGCCACAAAUCGUCCAAGGGCUUAUCUUGGAAGGGAUUUGGAUUGCUUUGAGUAAUAGUUAUCCAACUAGGGUUUUAGAGUGAAACUCUAGGAGCCUUACAAGUAUAAAUAGACCCCAUGGGCAAGGGAAAUCGGCACCUUUGCUAAAGCAAAGAAACCCUGGCCGAUUUCAUCCCUUCUCCUCUCUCUCAAAUCAUCCUCUUGCUAGUUGGUGUUUGUAAGCCAUUAGAGGAGUGACAUUUGUGAUUCUAAAGCUCCAAGAACAAGAAGAUCAAACAAGUGUUUUGAGGUAAGCUUCUAACUCUGAUUUUGUAUUGUUCUUAUACUCAAUUAGCCAUUAGAAGUCUUGGAUUCAAUGUAUGUUCAAUUAGAGAAACCUAGAUCCAAGCAUUAGGGUUUGUAUGUGCACAUAGGAAUGUUCAUAUGGCCAAAACCCAUCAGAAUGAUGUUAUGAUUCAUGUAUAAUCAUUGUGAUGGUAUUCAAUUGAGUCACAAUAGCCCUCGGACGUUUCCGCCGUCUGGUUCGGGGGUGUGACACUGCACUACCCGGUAAAGAUAACUAGUGAUUUUUUCGAAUGUUCUACUAUAAGAAAAUUGAUUGCUAAAAAGAUUAACUAAGUGAGCAAAUGAAGUAAUAGAGUAAGGAGGAACGUUAAGAAGCCAUUUUAAGGUUGAUCUUAUGAGGGUCAAACCGAAACCCUUGCAUAGGCAAGCUUCCUUCAAAUGUGUGAGAAUGGGGAUGAUCUCCAUUCUUUCCUUGUAUUGUGUCACAUGCUCUUCAGGGUCUGUAGUUCCAUCAUAAGGCUUCAUGUUGUGAAUUUGGAAGCGCUUUGGGAUUUCAUUAUCAGCUAUCGCAAGAGAAAAUCUUCAGAUCCUGUGGCUCGUAUGGAUACCUCUGGUAUAGGUUGGGCUACUCUGGGCACACUUGAGAUCAUCUGACUUAACUGUUGAAGUUUAUUGGCCAUGAUCGGGCUCAUUUUUGCAUUGAGGUCCAUAGAGUUAGUAUUAAAAAUAUUUUUAUUCAUGAAGUUAAUCCUUGUUAUUAGGAGUGAUGAAGGUUUCUUCGGGAUCUUGGAUCAUAUUAGCUCGCUCAUUCGGGGUUGCACUAUAAGUGGGAGCAGGUGUGGUGUUGAGGAUCCUAUAUCCUAGCGGUUUCCUAAGGAUCCUAUAUUGUCAAAGUUCAGGAUUUUGGGCUAUAAGAUCGAGGGUGCUGAUUUUUGUGGUUUAUAGAUCUACGCCCUCAAUCUCUCCGUCUCCUUAAGCACCGUCCUGUUGUCCUCUUGCUGCCGAGUAACUUGUCGUUCCAGUCUCUUCAUUAUAUCAAAGAGCUCGUUGUUGGAAAUCGUUACAGGAGGAUCCUAAAAUCGUUGGAUUCUUCUUCGGCGCCUCAGAAGUCUUCUUAGGUGCUCCAUUAGGAGGUGGUGGAAGGUUUUUAGAGGAAAUGGGAGGAAUAGAGGAAGAGGAUAAAGUUGGUUAGGUAUACAUUAUUCUUGAACGAUUUUGAACACCACGACCACACGGUGGGCGCCAAAUUGUUUUGGUCAAAAUAUGAGUAAGCAUUAUUCAACCAAAUUGUAUAAAAGGCUUUGGUUUUAAGGUAAAUAAUGAUUAAAGUGAGACAAGUGAGUUACAAGGAAAUCCAUUGCUCUUUAUAGGAUCUCCGACAUAAAACCUUGGGAGGUGAAUGAUCACAUGCCUUGUUGUUUUAUUGAUAUGAAUGUGAGAUUAUAGAAAUGAUGAUGAUAAUACGAAUACAAAUGUAGUAGUAAGUUAAUCGUGUACACGUGUCAUCUUCCUCAGUUUAUUCAUAUUUAUCACUCUACCGUAAGACAUGGUCUUCCCCUAUCUGAAUUCUUAGGUAACCCGUUUACAUUUGACUAGUUAAAAACGUUAAUAAGCUCAACUGGAUCAUAUAAUUGCAUCUUAUGUGGUUUUAUGUGUUUCACUAGAUUAUAUAAUUACCUUUUAUACACUUGCAUAAUCUAUUCAAUCGAUUUUGUUUUGCGCCAUCAUGGAGUGAUAUUCUUUACACCAAUUUUUAAAAACAAUCUUUUAUCAGAGGAAUCGAAGACUGUGAUUAAAGGCAAGCCUGAUCUUGUAAUGUGAAUGCUUGGAUCUAUUGUUUUGAAGUCAGUCAAAUUUAAUGUAUUUGCUAGGUUUUGAUUCAUAUACAUUUUGGAUUGAUAAAAUUUGAUUUUAUAGAGGCUAUAUCGAUGAAAAAAAACAUUGUUCAUUAAAGUUAAGAAAAAUGAUGUAUAUAUUGUGGUGCAUUUGUGUGCUCUCACUUUUAAUGUCAUUUUAUAUAUUGAUUGAUUCCACUUAUAGUUACAUCCAAAAAGCAACACAUGAGUAAAGUUUCACUUGUAAAAUUGAUUUUCACUUUAUGUAUGCUUUUUUUAUUGGUGUCAUUACCAUUGUUUGCCUCCCAAUAGUGAAGUUUAUCAUAAAUCAUUUGAAGAGGUUGCAAAUGUACAUUGUUGUUCUUAUCAGCCAAAUGAUAUAUUAUUUGUUUUUUAUCAUAAUUGUAAUUAAAUUGCAAUGUUUCAUUUUUUUUCAAGUUUUUAUAACUUACAAAACUCUCUUCAAUCACCAAUACAUAUUUUAUAUUAAGGUUGUAAUGUUAGGUCUGCCAAUCAAAUGGGUUAAAUGAUAUAUUAUUUGUUUUUUCAGAAUUCUAAUGAAAAUUGUAAUGUUUCAAUUUGUUUUCAAGUUGUAACUUACAAAACUAUCUUCAUAUUUUAUAUUAAGGUUGAAAUGUUAGGCCUCACAAUCAAAUGGGUUAAAAAUCUACAAAUAAAAAUGUAUUUAUUUGCUCAUUUUUAGAGAUAAAGUUGUCAAUUUGUAACCUAAAAACUUGGGGGAAACUCACAUUCUAAAUACGGUUAUGUUUUUCUUGAUAAAUUAUGAUUUAAUAACAUUAUUUAAUUUUCAUUACAAUUUUGUAUAUUAUAUAUAUAUAUAUAUAUAUAUAGUUUAUAAGUUCAUAAUAACGAUAUUGAACUUAAACAUAAUCUAUACUUAAAGUAGGGUAAGCGUAACUCACUUACAAGGGGGUUUAGCUAGGAGCCGGGCUCUGCGGGGGCAGAACUUCUAAGCUGNCAGGUUUACUUAAUCAACCAUGGUCACCGCCUCCACCCCCAUCCAGUUUAUUCCAAACUCACAAAGCCUGAUCUCGAUCAUUCCUCAACCCUGUAUCAUUGUUCUAUUGAGAGGGUGUUUGGGAAAGCUUUAAAAACUAACUUUUUACUUUUUACUUUUCAGAAAAGUCAAAAAAAAUGCAAAAGAUGUUUGUCUAAGUUAAAAAGUUCUUUUUAAACAACUUUUGAGCAAGAGGAAAAAAGGUUGAUUUCAAAAGUCACAAAAACGUGACUUUUGGAACUUUUGUACUUCUUAAAAGCAACUUUUGUCUUUUUACCAUCCAAACACAUUCUAAACCGUAACUUUUGAAAAAGAUCUUUUAAAAAAGUUCCCAAAACAACCCCUGAGUACCAUCAUCAUCGUCGUCUCGUCUUUAGGUCACCGUUCUAAAUACGCCACCGCCACCGAUUUCAUAGAUCGUUUCUUCCUACUCUCAGCUUCUUAUCUUGCUCGCUCCAAUCCGGUCGACUCUUCCUCUGCCUUCCAGUUCAUUCCAUCUUUCCAAUUGAUUGUUCGCCACAGUCUCCUAUAGUCUCAUAUUUCAGUCCAGUUCAUCGACUCCCACAAUAUCGAUUCCUCUCACUACAUACAUCUCCGCCAUCUACCACUAAUUGAAAAAGAUUGACGCGUUUCCAAUCAUUCAACAACCGACGACAGCUUCACGAUUUUGAGGUUUUUGGCUUCAAUUUUUAAGGUAUGUGAAGUUCUAUAGCCACGAUUUUCAUCUUUCUGGAUCGAUUUUGUCUGCAACUGCUCCACCACCUCGCCACCGCCGGUGAUGCAACAUCGGAAGCUUCUUUCAAGAAAACCAUUGCUACAAAAAAACCCUAAAUUCAAGAACGAGGAUGUUUGCCACUGCUCAAUCAAAUCCUAAAUCACGUCUCUUCCUACUUUGCUUCACUAAAGUCACGUUUGUCAGAUUCGUCAAAUCCGACAACGAUCCGGUGUUUACGGUAGACGAAGGUCUUUCUCCAGAAAUCUGUUGGAAUUAUCAGGGAUUCAAAAUAAGUUAACUGUGAUUUCAUUCACAAUUUUAGGAGUUUAUUACAAUUUUGUUACCUUUGACAAUGAUGAAUAUAUCGAAGGUCAAUACUAUAUCAGAAAUUUGUUUUUUUUUCUUUGUGUUCAUCAUAUUAUUCUACAAUAUUUCAACUAUAACAACACUAAUAUUUACGCUUUUGUUAUUCAUGUGCUAAAAUUUUGUUGAUGUCAACCGUAUGAAAGCGUAUUAAUUCAAACAAUUUUGUAGAUGUUGCGUCUCACACUGAUGGUCAAACCUCUGUUACUAAAUUGGUUUGAAUGACAGUUCUCAAAUGGCUAUGCCUUUAUUACCGGUAUGAUUCAUUUCCUCUGAAGAUAAAAUUCUGAGCCACUCAUGAUUGCAACUAUAUCUCAUUAAUGUGAGUAUUGAAUUCAUUCAAUUAAGGUAAUUGAAAUUAUGUAUAUUGUUGUUUUGGGUACGUUUUUAGGUAAUUGUAACUCAAUUUUUUUUGUGGAUAAAAUCGGGUGCAAGGAAGUUGAUGAAUUCGCAGUUAUGGCACAUGUGUGCUGGUCCUUUAGUCUCUUUACCUCAAAUUGGAAGCCUCAUGGUCUAUUUUCCACAAGCCCACAAUGAGCAAGUAAGCUUCUUUCAGAAUAUCUUUGUAAAAAAAAAUACAUAUAUUCUAUCUCCUAAUAGAAUUCUUCCUUUUUUUUAUUGUUUUAUGCAAGCUUGCAUCAUGAUGCGAACCUGAUGAAGUUUAUGCAUAGAUGACUCUUCAACCCCUAACUAAACUAGGUCAACCGAUCUAUCAUGUUUUAUUUGUGAUUUUUUUUUGAGUUUUUAGAAAUAGAUUCUGACAUGAUGUAGAUUUUUGUAGUAUGAUCAACAAGCAUUACUUAUGUGUGAAAUGGUUUUGAAGUAAAACAAGCACCCAGCUGCAAAAACACAUGUUCCGAAUACUCACUUGAAGCGCAAGGUCGGAUUAAAUUUUUCGUUAAUUUUUCUUUUUUUUUCAAGAUCUAUUGGAAAUGAAUUAGGAUUGACAAAUUUAUAUUUUUUUAUGUGUUUCAUCCUCUUUUCACCGGAGAAGCUGCUACAUGGCAGGCUUGGCUAUAUAUUGGCUUAUCCAGAUUUAGUAACAUGGUUCGUUUUGGAGUGGCUGGCCUUAAAUUAAGGCGUGGGUAUGCUCGAUCACAACCAGGAGAGCCAAUCCAUGUAUUAUUUUCAGCAACUCUUUUAUAUCAAUGAGUUAUUGAUCAUAUGGAUUAUCAUAUGAUAGAGGAUUUUGAAAUAGAAUGUCCAGUAUUCAUUGCUUUAUAUGUUCAACACAAAUAAUAUGAGAAAUGAAUUCGAGUUUCAACAAAUGUAUUACAACAAUCCUUUUUCCAUUUUCUUUUUUAUUACAACGUUAACUUACACGAUAUUUAUAUUCAUUUGUUUAGCACUGCAACAUUGGAGUUUGCCAUGUCAUUAAGAGACGGUUCGAUAAAUCUUUCAAAUUCUCAGAAUUGUCAACUCUCUACAAGAUCAAACGCAAGUGUAAGAAUAAUAAGCUCUUUUCAUUUUAAAAUAAAAAAGAACCAUUAUUUUUUAGAUAUUUUAUGUUAUCUUUUUCUACUUAAAUUACUUGAUCAUAAUCUCGAAUGUUGCUAUUUUAUCUUUUUUCUAAGUUAUAUUUUAUUUUUUGAUUGUCUUCCAGGUAAAGAGAAGUUUAGGCUAGAGGCUUCAGUUGUUGUUGGAUGGAGAAAGAAACACCAAAAAAUGGCUCCAGAAGGAGAGAUUAUGGUACUUUAUUUUAGAAAUAAUUUAUUACAUUUGAUAUCUACAGGCAUGAAUUAAAAGCACAGAGGGAGAGAAUCUUUCAAAUUGAUGACUACAAUGUUUAAAGCUAGAUACUUUUUCCAACAACUUAUGUCGGGAGUUCAGUACUACCAUUUCCUGGAGAUUGGUUGAGUGGUCUCAAUUGCUAUACUAACCAUAUAAAUCGAAGUACGUUGCUAAUUUCUGCAUGUAACCUUCAUAUGGAUAUCUCUCUCAUCUAUCUCAUUCUUUUGAUGAAUUUUCUGUAGAUAUUAACAUGUGAUCAAUUGGAAAUUUCGGCAACAAGGGCAGAUUGCCAGAUUGUUACAACUGAAAAAAGAGAAAGCCAAAUCAUUAUCAGGUACAUAUGUAAUAAAUAAAUGAUAAGUAUCAAGGGUAUUCUUGGUAUUUUAGCAGCUACUACUACAUGAUCAAACAAAGAACAAUCAUUUAUAAAAUCAAAGACAAUACAUAAUUUAUUGUGGGCGAUUGUUUAAUUUUAAUCCAAAAGUUGAAGGUAUCAAGAUUCAAUAUAUGGAGUUUUUUUGUUUCGAAAAAUACGUUCAUAUAUAACAUUGUACUUUUAAAGCUAAAAGUAUGAUGUCAGAAGUGAUAAGUGGAUAAUUGGAUGAUAUUGCUAUAAUACCAUAGAUUUUGCAAAAUAAUCCUCUAAAAUGUUGAAUUACUACAAACAAUAACUAAAUUAAUAAAAUUUCGUAGAUUUGAUUUUGCAAGAUUAGUAUUCAAAUGCAAAAAUCAUAAUUUUUAUCAUGAAAACAUUAUUAUUAUUUUGGUAGGUGGUAGGAACCUUGAAAUACUAUAUUUACAACAAAAUAAAGCUUUUAUGUUGUUUAGAUGAAGUCUUACUUGGAGCAUCUUUUUGCAAAAAAAAGGGUUCUUUUUUAUUUUUACUCAAAUCGUGUUCUUUAUUUUUUAUUUUUUAUUUUUUUUGUUAACAUUUUAUAGAUUUAACAUGUGAAAGGCGGUACUCUAAUUUCUUAUGAUGGGAAGUGCAGCUUCUAGAAAUUUCACAAGUUCCUGAAGAGCAUGUGAGUUUUGUUUCUUUUUUAGGGAGAGAAAUAGCAACAUGCUUUUAUUGAAAUGUCUAUUAUAACAUCCUACUUUCAAUUUGUAAUUAGAUAUUUGUUAAUUGUUAUCCAUGAAUUAUAAUUUUAUUUUCUUUGCUGCCAAUAGCUUAUAUUCACACCAAAACCAAACUUCCAUGCAGCCUGAACACAGGAAUUAUGAUCUAAAAAAAUAACUUCUAUGACAUAGUUCAAAAAUGGCGUAGUCGCGUCCCCUUUCUAAUUUAUAAUAACGAUGAUAAACUUAUUAGUAUACAUCAAUCAUUAUAUACAAAUUUUGUGAGCAUUUGUAUUAUUAAAUACGGAGUAAUUAUUUUUUUACUAUAUAAAUUAUUUUUUAUCGUUAAACUAAUAGAUCACUAGAAACAACAUAGUGUUUUUAUGACGGGUAGGAACCGAACGUUCACCGUAAUCUCCACUCUUCUAGUCUUGAUACAUGGACUUGGUCAGAUACAUAUCAUGCCGUUAAAAAUAUAAAAUCAAAUAAAAUAAAAGUCAUGAUAACGACUACACUACUUUUCAUGAAUUUUAUUUAUUUAUAUACCAUUCAAUUUCUUUAUGAAAAGUCAAGUCCUAGUCUCCUACCCGAUUAAACAAGUUUGAUCGGCUUAUAAAAUACGGCAAGUUGACUCCGUAAAUUUCUCAUAUAAAACGCGCAAUAAAUUUUUCUUUAUUUUAUAUACCAUAUUUAAUAAAAGCUAGUUGUAUUUUUUAAGUAAACGUGUAGGAUUACAAUUUGUGUUACAUGCUCACAACUGUCAUAUAUUUUAAUUCAAUACACCUAGUUAACAUCUCAAAGCUUUUGGUUUUCAUUAAGCCUAAAACUAAAUCAACAAAACCUUAAAAAAAAACAUAAAAAAAUGUCUACAUACUAUAAGAAACAAUACUACAAUGUAUGGGGCUGUUUUUAGGUGUUGUGGUUGGCAUGGAAGUGUCUCAAUGACGUUAUAAUACGAGGAACACCCUCCCCUCUCAUGUUUAAAGGAUAUUAUGGUAUGAAAUGUUAUAACAACCACAAGGAGCAACUUAGAAAUGUUGAUGUGGAUUAGUUUGCCGGUAGCAAACACCACCUCUUGACUAUAUAUANUGUUUGAAGGUUUUGUUUUCAUUCUAAAUAUUGAUUGGUCAUUGCAAAUUUAGUUUUAUUAUUAUUAUUAUUAUUAUUUCAAAGGUAAAAAUAACACCACAUCCCACCCAUAGAAAAACUGUGACAAAAAUGAUAAAAUCCUACGUGGCACAUAUAUGUCACAUUUUUAUCAUUAACAAAACAACCACCACAUCAUUUAGUCUGAACACCAUUUCCUAUAUAAAUGACAUGUUGUUAAGGAUGACAUGACAUGUAAGAUUGCCUUUUUAGUAUAAUAACCAAUGUUUUAAAAAUUGGUUUUAAUCGGCCGGUCGAACCGGUUGGACCGGGAACUGGAGUAGAGAGCGAUUCAACUAUCAUUGGUUUUAUGUCGAUUUCUGAACCGGAUUGAGCUGGUCGGUUUUUAGGAAAAACCCGGUUAAACCGAAAAAAAAAACACAUGGAAAAGAACUAUUUGCAUAAUAAACUUUGAUGAUUCGUUUUCAAAUCUAUUCAGUUUUUCUCUAAAUAAAAAACAUACGGUAAAUGUUAUAAUGUUUUUUUUGAUGUGUUUGUCUUCAUAUAAAACUAUAUUUUGUUUCGAUAUUAUAUNGAAACAUGUUUAAGUGUAUGUGUAUGUAUAAUGUGUGUAUUUAUGAAUAUAAUGUGUGUAUAUAUGUAUCAAGGGCUUUUUUAGAAAGUAUAAUGCUAUAAUGAAAAACAAAAGUAGAAUGUUUUAAUGAAUAUGUAAUAUGUGUAGGAUGUAUGUUUAAGGGUAUUUGUCUAUAUUUUAACGUGUAUGAUCUAUGGAUUAAAUUGUUUAUAAUGAAUAUAUAUAUAUAUAUAUAUAUAUAUAUAGAAAAAUAGAAAAAAUAAUGAAAAUUAUAGAAACCGGUUGAGCCGACGGUCGAACCAGUUAAACCAGGAAUAAAACAUUGAUAAUAACAUGUAUACACGUAUAAGACCUUCAUUUUUGGAAACGACAAACGAAUUAAGUGGAGCCUACUCGCAAUAUUUCAACGAAAUUCAAUAGAGAUUUUUAGAAAAAAAUUUCCCACAUAUUGCACACAAGAAGUAGUUUAAGGGAAUAGAAUAUUUUUUCCUAUAAAACCGGGCGAAUGAUAGGUUUUACUUCAAUAAAUGGCGAGUUCUAGUUCACAUGUAGCCAGCUUUAUUCCCUUUGUCUUCACCGUUUUCCUUAUCUUCAAUAUAGCAAAAGCCCAAUCCAAUAUAACACGAGGUUCUUCUUUGAGGCCUACAGGUGCCACCACCUCAUGGUUAUCGCCGUCGGGACUAUACGCCUUCGGUUUCUACCCACAGACUGGUGGCUACGCCGUCGGUAUUUAUAUUGCCGGAAUUGCAGAAAGAACUGUGGUAUGGACGGCCAGCCGCGACACCCUUCCACUCUCCAGUAAUGCUACUUUGACUUUCACAACCGAUGGAAGGCUCGUCCUGGACCAAACACAAAGCCAACAGAUCAGUAUCUCUGGUACCGACGGUGCGUCGGUCGCUUCCAUGCAAGACUCCGGCAACUUUGUGCUCUAUGAUUCCGACCGAAGAAGAACGAUACUGUGGCAAAGCUUUGACCACCCUACUGAUACCCUUUUGGUUGGACAGCGUCUUGUAGCCGGUCAAGAUUUACUUUCCUCUGUCUCGGAGACUGACCACUCGAUUGGGAUUUUCAAGCUCAGUAUGCAAUCCGAUGGGAACCUUGUCCAAUACCCAAAUUUAGGGUUUCCAAAUGGACCGAGCACUGCCUACUGGGCGUCCGGAACCUUCGACAAGGGACCUAACGUGACACUGAAUCUUGAUUCCGAUGGCUUUCUGUACUUGUUGCAAAACUCAACUUUUUAUAUCAGGAAUCUAACACAAGGAGGCUAUCCUAGAGAAGAUGCAAUCUAUCGCAUGAAGAUCGACGUGGACGGAAUCUUUCGACUUUAUUUUCAUAAUUUAAGUAACACAAGCCAGAAUGAAUUAGUCGUAUGGGCAUCUUCUAAUGACAAGUGUACAGGGCGGGGUCUGUGUGGUGUAAACGGGUAUUGUGAUGUCAUUAACGAGGCUGCGAGAUGCAGAUGCUUACCUGGGUUUGAUUUUGUGAAUCCGAAUUCUUGGUCUUCAGGUUGCAAAAGAAAUUACACAGCAGAAACUUGCAAAAUUCAGGAAGGAGAUGAAGGUACCUCAUCCCAGAUGACAAGGUUGCUUAAUACUUUUUGGGAAGAUGAUGCAUAUGCUCUCGCAGAAGCGUCAAACCAAGUAGAGUGUUCACUUGCUUGCAAGAAUGACUGCAACUGCGAGGCGGUAUUGUUCACAGAAGGGAGUUGCAGGUUGCAGAAGCUCCCUUUAAGAUACAUGCAAGUAAGAGACAGUGAUUCAAAUGUCGGAUUCAUCAAAGUCUAUGUAUCGUCUGUAAAUAAUGGGUCAGAUCCAACUAAUUCAUCGGUUCAGGUCAAGAGAGUGCGACAAGUGAAGUUCUUAGUUAUGGUGGUUUCACUUUUCUCAUUUUCAGUACUCAUUUUGCUACUUUCUGGAGUAAUCAUGUGGAGAUCUCACGUUUGCGCAUACAAAAAGAUUUCUGAGCAUGUAAAUGUUCAGUUGUUCGAGGAUGUUGGGCUCCGGGCAUUUUCAUAUGCUGAGCUAGAGAAAAUCACAGAUGGUUUUAAAGAAGAAUUGGGUAGAGGAUCAUUUGGGAUAGUUUAUAAAGGAAUUAUAGAGAGCUCGAUGAAGAUUGUGGCAGUGAAGAAAUUAAAACAAGAGUUGGCACAAGAAGGGGAAAGAGAGUUUCAAACUGAAAUGAAAGUGAUUGGGAGAACUCAUCAUCGUAACCUAACAAGGCUACUUGGUUAUUGUUGUGAUCAUGGUCCGGAAAGGCUCCUGGUUUUUGAGUAUAUGACCAAAGGAUCGCUUGCAGAUAUAUUAUUCGACCCCAAAAGCAAGCCAUCUUGGUCAGAGAGAAUAAGAAUUGCACUUGACAUUGCCCAUGGGAUCUUCUACCUACAUGAAGAAUGUGAAACACCCAUAAUUCACUGUGAUAUCAAGCCUCAAAAUAUCCUCAUGGACGAGUAUGGAUGUGCCAAGAUUUCAGACUUUGGAUUGGCAAAACUACUGGAACAUGACCAAACUAGAACGUCCACUUUGAUAAGAGGAACAAGGGGUUAUGUUGCUCCUGAAUGGCACAAGAAGCUGCCUAUAACAGUUAAAGUGGAUGUGUAUAGUUUUGGGAUUGUUCUAUUUGAGAUUUUAUGUUGCCGAAGGAAGCUUGACAACAACCUUCCAUCUGAUGAAGCUAUUCUAGAAGAAUGGGUCUAUGGAUGUUAUGAAACAGAUGAAUUAUUCAAACUAGUGAAUGAUGCAGAUGUAGAUAGAAGAACACUAGAACGGAUGAUCAAGAUAGGCCUUUGGUGCACUCAAGAGGAUCCGUCCCUCCGCCCCUCGAUGAAAAAAGUAGUGUUGAUGCUUGAAGGGACUGUCAAAAUCCCAGUACCUCCAAAUCCUACUUCAUUCUUGAGUGCCGUUUAGUUUUGCAAGUAUUAGUUCAAGAGUAACCCUCGUCAUCUUAUUUUCCCUCCGUCCUAAAAUUAUAAUCUAUCUUUCUUUUUUGGUUUUCCUUUUUGGUUUGACCCAAAAUAAUAAUAAUUCAUUUUUAAAAAUAAAUAAUAUUUUUACCAAAAUAUUCUAUCAUUAUUACUUAACCAACUAAACAUUUAAUGAAACAUUAAAUACGAAGUAGCGACAAAACUGUCAUUUUAUUAAAUAAAGUUAAUGAUAAUAUAUAUUUUUUUUCUUAAUCUGUGUGUUUUUUGUUUGUCUGUGGACGGAAGAAGUAUUUAAUUAGUCAUUUGUAACACACAUGCAAUUUUUUCAUAAACACAUGGCGCCCCAUUCUUGAGACUAGUUGUAAAAUAACACUACAACAUUAACAACCUAUGGCGACGAAGAAUUCGGACUCUAUGGCGACAAUAUGUCGUCGGUAUAGGGUAUAGCGACGACAUGUCGUCGCAAUAGAGUCGUCGGGAUAGUUGUGUCGGCAUAGGUCAAAAGUGUCGUCAGUAUAGAUGUCGUCGGCAUUGGUGAAUCUAUAGCGGCGACGUGUCGUCGGGAUAGGUUCUUGUCAAUCAUAUUUUCAGGGAUAAAAUAUAAAGUUUUAUUAAUUACCUAUAGCGACGACUUGUCGUCGGUAAACCUAUUGCGACAACUUGUCGUCGCCACAGGGUUUGCCUAUCCCAACGGCAGGUCGUCGCUAUAGGGUUUUAACAGGAGCCAAUGCAUACCGAUAGCGACGACAUGUCGUCGGGAUAGGUACUGUUUGUUAUUUUUUUCCGAUUUUACAGAUUUAGUACAUUGCCAUUCCUGCAUUUUUAACAAAUCCAAAACACAUUCCAACAUAUAUCAAUUGAAAUACAUUAACUAAGUACCAUUGUUCAAAUUCAAAACAUCAAAUUCAAUUAGUUAACUAACAUUGUUCAAAACACUAAAAACAUCAAACAUCAUUAUCAUAAUCAUAUCUUUCUCCUUCUUGUCCUUCUCCUUCUUCUUCUUUUUCUUCUCCUUCUCCUUCUUCUUCCAUCCUUUCGUCAACUUGUUGAGAGGUAGUUGCUUGUGUGUUAGAGUUGAAUAGAAAGUUAGGAAGUGGUGGUGGUUGGAAGCCCGUAAUACAUGCCGCCAAUGAUGCAUUAUAUUGUUGCAAGUAUUCUUGCAUUUGUUGUGCAUCAAAUUGGGAUUGAGAUUGGGGUUGAGAUUGGGAAGAUUUUGAAGUGGAAGGUCGUUUAUUUGGAAUUAAACCGAAGUUGGCGGUUGGUCUCCUACCCACCCCGCGAGCAUGCCCGCGUCUCGUCCCAAGGGCACGUUCUAAACAUUCUUCCUCGUCUACUAUUCCGCCUUCCCCAACCUCGCUUUGCAUUUUCUUAUAUUCUUCUUGAAUUUUUUCCUAAAAUAAAGAAAACAAUAAACAUACGUUAAUUAAAACAAACAACUAAACUUAAACAUUAAAAUAAUAAUAAUAAUAAUCCUAAACAAUAUCAAUUUCAUACAAUUUCAUAUACCAGCAUAAACAAUAUCAACCUAAACAAUAUCAAUUUCAUAUAACAACCUAAACAGUAUCAAUUUUUUACAGUUAGUUUGUUUAAAGUUUAAACCUAAACAAACAACAACACAAUUACAUAUAUAUAUAUAUAUANNNNNNNNNNNNNNNNNNNNNNNNNNNNNNNNNNNNNNNNNNNNNNNNNNNNNNNNNNNNNNNNNNNNNNNNNNNNNNNAUAUAUAUAUAUAUAUAUAUAUAUACAACACAAUCACAUAUAUAUACAAACAACAAACAAUUUCAACAAAAAUCUUGUAAUGUAAUGUUCCGUAAUGUUACGUUUUUUUGGCUAGUCAAAGAAGCAAGUAAUACUCCGGUGGUGGCUGGUGGUGAUUUCAGGCGGCAACACUAGGCGGUGGAAGGGUGAGGCAGUCACUAGAUCGGUGGAGCUUCACCACCGGUUGCUACAUACAAAAAAACCCUAAAUUAGGGGUAAAAAUCAAUACCAAAUAACAAUAAAAAACAAAUUAGGGGUAGAAACAACCUUGGAUUGGGUUAAUCGCCGGAAAUUGUCGUUGGGUAGCCGAUUUCGUCGCUUGGGGAGGAGAGAAUGCAGAAACAAUGGCUGUGUGCAAAUGAAAGAAAGCUACGUAAUUGUUUUAGGGUAUACCCUUAUGCCAACAACAUGUCGUCGGCAUAGGGUCGACAUAAACGACGACGUAUUAUUUAACCCUGAAAUAAAAAUAUAUAUGUAAAUUAAAAACCCUGUGCCGACGACUUGUCGUCGGCAUAGGGUGUCCAAAAACUAUGUUGUUUCUUUUUUCUGACACUUGAAAUAAAAAUGAAUGAAAAAUACUUUUUUUCUUACCUAUACCGACGACAAGUCGUCGGUAUAUAUUUUCAUAUUACCGCCAACAUUUUCGUCGUUCCAGACCUAUGGCGACGACAUGUCGUCGACACAGAUAUAGCGGUCAAAGAAAAUUGGUCAAAAGUUCCAAAAGCUAUGGCGACAACAUGUCGUCGGGAUAGGUGUCGUCGCCUUAGCUUUGUAUUCUUGUAGUGUAACUCGUAGUAAAAGUAGUUACGUUUUAUUAAUGAUCAUUCAUGGUUUAAUUAAGUAAGUAAUUUACGCAUUCAUGGUUCAAGUAAGUAAUCUACGUAGUAAAAAAAGAUUUUAUUAAUUCAACACUUAUAAGAUUUUACACACUACAAAAAGGUAUGGGUUGUCGCCGCUAAUACCUUUAGCGGCGACAUGUCGCUGCAAAUGAGUCGCCGGUAAUACUUCGUUGCUAAUGAGAACCUAGUCGCCGCUAAUAGUGUAUCGUCGCUGUUAUUGGUGUGUCACCGCGAAAGACUAGAUGUCGCCGCAAAUAGUAUGUCGCCGCCGCUAAUACUGUUUGCAUGUGUCAUUAUCUACCACUUUCUUACUCAUGUUAGAUCCAAACCCAUCGGGCAAUUUAACAUCUCUUAUAAAUUGGCAAAAGAUUUUGCAGUCAGAUUUCUUGAAUGAGUAGUUUGCAUAUGGUCUAGUGAACUUGUUACCUUUUUUUGCAACCAUUGAUUACGCUGGAUAUUCAGAUUUUUCAAGUCCUCACGUGCACUUGAUGACCAAUACUCGAGCUCGAAAAAUAUGCUACAUUUCGACCAGUUCAACUCGAAUCCUUUGUCGAUCCAUGUUUGCCUUGAGAGUGUUAGGAUGUUUACCCGGUUUACCAAGUAGUAGACGACCUAGUUGUUCUUGUAUGUCUUCAUUAGUAAAGUGUCUUGGAGCGAGUCUUGUCUCGGGUUGCUUGUUAAAUUUCAAACUCAUCCUUAAUGGAUCAUCAACAUCAAAGAACCAACGAUGGCCAAUAUAAACAACUUUAUUUAUUGCACGGUACGAGGGAGUGUCUUCAUUGCAAGUUGGGCAUGCUCUAUACCCUUGUCCGCUCCAGCCCGAUAAACUACUACAAGCUGGAAAUUCAUUUAUUGUCCAUAACAAUAUAGCUUUCAUCAUGAAGAAUGUGUUUGUCGCUGCGUCUUUAAUAUGUACGCCUAAUUGCCACAAAAAAUUAACCUCUUCCACUAAUGGCCUAAGAAAAACAUUUAUGUCCUUUCCAAGUGCUUUAGGGUCGGGAAUCAACAAUGCCAACAUAAAUGAUGACUCUUUCAUACAAAGCCAUGGUGGUAGAUUCUAUGUGGUGAGUACAAGCAGCCACACACUAUGUGGAUUACACAUGUUACCAAAUGGAUUAAAGCCAUCAGCUGCCAGCCCUAGGCGUACGUUGCGAGGUUUACUCGAGAAGUCAAGGUAAUCUACAUCAAAAUUUUACCAAGACUCUCCAUCAACGGGAUGACGCAUCACACCAUCUUCUGAUCUCCCGAUACUAUGUCAUAUCAUAUUUUUGGAAGUGUACCGUGAACGAUACAAACGACGUAGUCUAGGGUCACUGGAAAGUACCGUAACACCUUAUGAGCCACUUUCUUACCCUUGGUGUUUUUAUCAAUCCACCGACUCUCUUUACAAACUGAACAAGAAAACAAUCGCUUUUGCAGACAUGUAUUGACUCGUACCCCAAACCUAACUUCUUAAGUUUCUUUUUUGUUAAAUAAUAUAAACGGGGAACCUUGUUGUCUGGUGGAAAUGUUGAAUGCAACAACUCAAGGAGUUGAUGAAAUGAACUAUCAGUCUAUUUGUUGUUGACCUUGAUAUGCAUUAGCUUUGCUAAAAAAUCAAGGAAUGAAAACAUGCGACCAGGAUAUAACUUGGUUUCGAAUGCCUCUAACAACUGUUCAAAAUCAUCAUCGACAUUGCUACCCCCUGUAUUCGAGGUUUGUAUCAUUUUCUCUCGACUCCCAUAUAACAUCGUCAAUAACUUUAACCAUCUCGUUACUUAGGGAUAUGACAUCUACAACUGGAGGGAUUAAAGGUUCUGAUGGGUUUUAGCUAUAAGAACAUCCUAUGUGCUCAUACAAACCCUAAUGCUUGGAUCUAGGUUUCUCUAUUGAACAUGCAAUUCAUCCAAGACUUUAAACCCUAGAUCUAGCAUCUGAUAAACAAUAUAAUAUAUGAAUUAGGGUUUAGAUCAUACCUUGAUUGUUAUAUAGCAAUAACAAUCUCAAAUCCUUCUUGUAAUGACUUUAGAAAGCUUAGAGUCACAAAUGUCACUCCUCUAAUGGUUCACAAACACCAAGAGUAAGAGGAUGAAGAAGAGAAGAGAAGGAGGCUUCCCAAAACGUGUGUAAACCCUAAGGAUCUUGUUCACCACGUUUUUGGGGCUCAAGGGUCCUUUAAAUAGAUGUAGGCUAUUAGGGUUUUGAACUAGGAAACCCUAAACUGACUACUUAAGCCCUAAGCAGCCCAUGAACCCUUCUUUAAUAAGCCUUGGACGAUUUCUAAUGGGCUUCCCCAUAGAAUUCGUCCAACCUUAUAUUAUAAGGUAAUCCAUAGCCCAAUUGCGAUUAUCUUAUAAUUACAAUUCCAGUCCCUUAAGUUUAAUUAAUCUCUUUUAGCCACAAACUUAAUUCUUAUUAAUUCUUUACUAAUAUUAAUUAAACAAUAUGACUUCUCCUUUAAUAUAUUAUUCUCAUAAUAUAUUAAUAAAUCAUAAUUAAUCCUUUCUCUCCAUAAUUCAUCCUAUCAAGUUGCUUUGAUGAAGGCAACCCAAAAGGACCAUGCAACAUCGGGUCAAGUACAUACCAAAAUAGUUAUGGACUUAGACACUAAUCCAACAGGUUCACCAUGAUAUAUUCGCGUUUUGUAUGACUGACUGAAACCACAUAUACGAACAUGACGUCUCAUUGCUUUCGGAUCCAUGAAGUAAAGAUUAUCACAUUUCUCACAUGGACAUCUGGUUUUUACGUUUACAAUCUAGGUGUAACAUGGAUCUCUUGACAAAAGAGUCGAGUCCUAACUGGAACUCGGGAGAUUGAUGAUGUGGAUUAGUAGUCCAACUUUUAUCAAUAAACAUGAUGCAGCUGAAACAUAAUUUAGUAUUUAAGGUUUACUCUACAGGAAACAAAAAUCAAGUAGAGUGUUCAUAAAGUCGAUGAUUAAAAAAGUAUCCCAACGCGAGAACACAUGAACAAAUAAUCAAAAAUGGAUAGAGUAUUUAAAAUGCAUAUAUAUAUACCCGAGGAGCAAAGAGAAAGUNNNNNNNNNNNNNNNNNNNNNNNNNNNNNNNNNNNNNNNNNNNNNNNNNNNNNNNNNNNNNNNNNNNNNNNNNNNNNNNNNNNNNNNNNNNNNNNNNNNNNNNNNNNNNNNNNNNNNNNAUAUACACCCAAGGAGCAAAGAGAAAGUGACAAAUUUAAAUACCUAGAAGUACAUUGCUAUUAAUAACUUAAUUACGCUAAAGUUGUAAUGACCAACAUUAAGUCACUAAAAGUAUGUUGCUAUUAAUUUUGUUUUAUAAUUAAUUUAAUAUGAUUUUAUAAAGGUAACUUAAUUUGAUUGUAAAGGUAAAUUAAUUUGAUUUUCUAAUUAAUUUAAUAUUUUUUUUGCUAUUAGUUUAAUUUUUUAAACUAAUUUUAUUUUAUUUUAAUAUGAAUAUUAACUUGACUUUAAAACUAAUUUAGUUUGAUUUUACAAUUAAUUUAUUAUUUUUUUUUUGAUUUUUUUUAAAAUUAAUUGAGUUUUAUUCUAUAAUUAAAUUAAAACUACUAGAAGUACGUUGCUAUUAAUAACCUAAUUAAGCUAAAGUUGUAAUGACCAACAUUAACUCACUAAAAGUAUGUUGCUAUUAAGUUGUAAUGACCAACAAUAAGAACUUUACAAUACAAAUAAUAGCAUCUAAAUACAAAACACGAUAACUUAUCAACUAAGAACUUUAACACUUCAUCUUAUAUACACCAAACUAUUAAACCUAAAUAUCACAUAAUCAUACAUAUAUACAGUAGAUUCAAUUCCAAUUUUCAUUUCAUUUUAGACAUACAAUACAACUUUCAUAUUCCAGUUUCAUACAAUUAAGCAAUACAUCCAAUUUCAUACAAUACAUCCAAUUCAAAUUUCAAUUUCAAACAAUUAAGCAAUACAUCCAUUUUUAUACAAUCCUACCAUUUUAGACAUCCAAUUCCAUUUUCAUAGAAAAAAUAUACACCUAAAUACAAAAUCACACAAACCAUGUCUAAUUCCAUUUUCAUGCCAAUACACUACAAUGAGCAUAAACACAAAUCAAUUACAUAGGUUGCAUAAAAUACGAGAAAACAUACAUAAUCACUCAAAAAUCAUCAAUUUACAGCCAAACAAGAGGCUUGGUCGACCCUUAAAAUCACUAACCAAAAAAAAUAUUAGAAAACAUAGAAAUCAAUGAUACAAUCAGGUUUGGAUGGUAAAACGAACCUCACACACAACAAGAUUAGAAAUUAGGGAAAGAAUUCGACCUUAGAAUGCUCAAUUUCGCUGAAAUGUAGCCGUGGUCUGAAUCGCACCAAGCUUGCCCUCAAUUAAGUCGAUGGUUGUCGGUAAUGAGGGUGGGUCACCGGUAAACAAGGUAGGUCGCCGGUAAAGUGUGGCUUGGUGGUCGGAAUCGUAAUGGAGUGCAGAUGGUGAAGGCAGUCAGAGUGGGUUGAGAGAAAGUAUACAUCGAUAGAAGGAAAGAACGUCGACCGAGGGUUAUCUGAUGCAACUCAAUAGCGACGACAGGCAACAGCGGCGACACGAGGGUAUUAGCGGCGACACGGGGUAUUAGCGACGACACCCUGGAGGGAAAAUUCAGAGCAUUUUUAGGAUGUUUACGACCGUCGGAUUGAAUACAGAUCGAACGGAUGGUGAUUGUUUCACGCGGAUCGCCACUGUGUUAGCAAUAGCGGCGACGCCAAGCAAUAGCGGUGAUAUGUAACGUGUCUAUUACAGGUCGUCGCUAUUGCUAAAAUUUCUUGUAGUGAAACAGGUCGAGUCAAUUUAUUCAUGGAGCUUCACACGGGUCAUGUACAUCCUAGUCGUGUCCUUCUAGUACAUGCCGACACAGGGUUGUGUCCAGGGUCGGUCCAUUGGUUUUCCAUGCCUCGGGCGAAAAGACUAAAAAAUGCCUUUGUCUAUAUAUACAUUACACAUAUUAUCUAUAUACAACAUCAUUUCUACACUACAAAAAAUGCCAAUCAGUGACCAAAAUGAAAUAGUCACUAACAACAGAACAAGUCGUCACAAAAUGAUUUUGUGACCAAAAUUCCGAUCGUCACUUUUCGUCAUUAUAGGUCCAUCACAAAACAAGUUUAGUGACAAAAAGAACACACAAAUGCUAUAAAUCUUUACAAUACAACAAGAACCUCCAAAUAAAUCUUCACAUUUAUAAUAUGAAAUAUUAAUUGUCAUUUUUAAAAAACAAAAUCCAUACAUUUUAUCCAAUAUUUGAAAAAUCAAACAUAUAAAUAUCAAUGCGCAUUAAAAGUAAAUUCAAUUGAAUUUUCUUCCGGAUAAUGUGGAGCGAGUUUUAGGAGCAUGCUCCAUAAAGUUCCAACCUAACUGCAUAUGUCACACCCCCAAACCUGAACGAUGGAAACGUUCGGGGGCGAACGACUUCAUGUGGUAACGUAACAAAUGAAUACAUAGUAAAGAAAGCAAUACAACCAUCAUAUAUAUAUUUGAAAGUUUACAUUUGUCAAAAGUUACAUGUUCAAAACCAAUUACAAUAUGAUGUCAAAAUAUGAGAUUAAACUGGCAUCGCAACAUCCCUUCAUCAAAAGCAUAAUGAUACCUGAAAUUACUGAUUCCCUGGGACAUACAAGUAAUUUUGAAAGAGUAGAUCAGCAUUUAAGCUGGUGAGUUUCAUAAGUAUUUAAAUGACAAUGUUUGUAUGAAAUGAAAUGUUUUGUCCUUGUUUUUUUGUGUUUAGAAAAUCCUAUAUUUUCUACUAGUAUAAAAGUAGCCUUCUCUCAAGACCAAUGUUUGUUUCUAAAAUGUAUGUAAGUGUAAAAUAACCAAUGUGUUUGAAAACCUUGUAAAUCAAUGCAUUUUUAAUACCCCAUGUGAGUUUUAUAACCAUACUAUUGACUCGGAAUGCCUAUACACAACGUUCUUCAGGCGUUGGAAUGUUAUGACGUUUGUCACUCCAAAUGGUGGACUGUAGCUAACAGUCAGGGCGCGGGUUGUCAAGCCCAUAUAGAUCUAUACACAAACACCAUGCUCCCCCUCCAAGGGAUUCUGGUAUAUAAUACAGGAAUUGAAAUGUGUACUCGAACGUACGUGAAGUUAGUGUCUCACAAAAACCGUGGUAUAAAAACAGAUCUACUUGUUAAAAUGUUACGUUUGUUCUUGUAUACGAAAGUGACUUCUUGAAAUUCAUGUUUCUAGUACAUAAGAGUUAGAAAUUUGCUCGUAAAACUAUACCUAUUAUAGUUUUCUAAAAGUGUGUCUCGUUUGUUUAGAAAUACCUAGAAAAGGAAUCAUUUGUUAUGAAAGCAUAGAUUUUUGUAGAGCCUAAGAUAGACAAGUAUACAUAUAAUCUAAGAAAAUGUUUAGUUUAUACAUGCAUUACAACAAUUUAUAUUUCAAAAGAUAGAAUUCUAUUGUAACAUAUUUUAUAUACGAAAGUUUCCUAUAAAGUUUAUAAAUCACAUGUGAUUUGUAUAUAUAAAAGCAUAUAAAAUAAUUCUUUAUGUAACACACGAUAAUACUCGUGUGUUUUACUUGUAUUCCCCCCUUAGAAAGCAUAUAAAAGCAUUUAGAAUAUUUAAAAAGGGUUAAUUAAGGGGUAUGAACUCACUUGAAAGUUUGAAGAUAGCGAGAUGGAAAACCGGACAGAGUUUCGUCUCGGGAAACGGAUUUUUCUCAGGAUUCUCGGGAAUCUCGGGAGUAAAAUCGACCUUUGGGACAUGAGCAAAAAGACAAGGGCUUCGGGGUAGUGCGGGCAUGGAAGUGAGCAAAUUUUCCGGAAACCCUCGCAUCCCUUUUAUAGGGGCUGAGAGGCCUUGGUACGCGGGGCGUACGCUCGUACGCAGCGCGUACUCGUGCGUCACCCGUGACCGAGUCCUCGACUGCUUCACUUCGGAUGGGACGGGUCGGGUAGGUUCGUAUAGGGGCGACGUGGAUGGUCCGAGACCAAGGCCCUCGGGUACGCGGGGCGUACGGGGUUACGCAGCGCGUAACUCGAAUGAGGACGCUGGCUCCUCCUUCGGAUAUUACCGGAUUUUUGAAUUAAAUUUAUAUAUAAUUUAUUUAAUAAACUUCAAAAAAUCAUAUCUUCUUCAUACGAACUCCGUUUUCGAUGGUCUUUAUAUCCACGCGUAGGUGAGACUACGAUCUACAACUUUCGUUUAGACUCCGUUGGCAAAUUCCAAAAUUAUUUUUAUUAUUUAUUUUAUAACUAAUCGUGUUUAAGGAAUUUCUUUGAAAAAUCAUAACUUCCUCAUGCGAAGUCAGAUUUGGACGUUCUUUUUGUGUACGCUCACGGUUUAAUGUUAUCUAUGACUUUCAUUUAGAUACCUAAGGCUAAAUGUUAUCGUAUUGAAACUUUGCGUUUUUCGUUUGAUCGGUGUUGUCGGUUUUGACAGAAAUCUUAGAAUGGUCAUAGCUUCUUCGCCAUAACUCAGAUUUUAGUGUUCUUUAUUUAUUUGGAACCUUUAAGACGAUAUCUACUACAUAGCGUACUCCAAAUCAGAGCUUUUGAACAAUUCAUUUAUCGAUGAUAUUCCCAUUACAUUCAAAAGGGGUUACAAGACUCGGUUUAUAAUGCCCGGGAUAACGGGUUGUUACAUCAUCCCCCCGUUAAACGGAAUUUCGUCCCGAAAUUUAAUACAAGGUAAGAGUUUUAGGGGCUGAGGAAGAGAUGCGGAUACUUCUGUAGCAUUUGGUCUUCCCGUUCCCAUGUGAAUUCGGGUCCUCUCUUAGCAUUCCAUCGAACUUUUACUAUUGGAAUGCGACUCUGCUUGGUCCUUUUAACUUCCCUAUCCAUGAUCUCGACGGGUUCUUCCACAAAGUUGAGAUUUUCGUUUAACGCGAUUUCAUCGAGUGGAAUUACAAGUGUUUCGUCGGACAAACACUUUUUCAGGUUCGACACGUGGAAUACUGGAUGCACUUUGUUAAGCUCGAUUGGAAGUUGGAGUUUGUAGGCCACUGGACCAACUCUCGAAAUGAUUUCGAAGGGUCCAAUGUACCUGGGAUUUAGCUUUCCACGCUUCCCAAAGCGUAUCAUGCCUUUCCAGGGUGAGACCUUCAGUAGCACACGGUCGCCAAUCUGGAAUUCCAAGGGUUUACGUCUCCUGUCGGCAUAGCUCUUUUGCCUAUCCCUUGAGGACUUCAGUCGUUCUCGUAUUUGCACGAUCUUUUCGGUAGUUUCUCUGAUGAUCUCUGGACCAGUAAGGGUGCUUUUAGUGACUAGACCUUUUGCCAAUUGGGUGUCGCCCACUUCCGUCCAGCACAGGGGUGAUCUGCACUUACGGCCGUAAAGGGCUUCGAACGGAGCGGUCUUGAUACUAGUAUGAUAACUAUUGUUAUAAGAGAACUCGACCAAAGGCAAGUGAAUAUCCCAUGCCUUGCCAAAGUCGAUUACACAUGCUCGCAACAUGUCUUCCAAGGUUUGGAUCGUCCUCUCACUCUGUCCGUCAGUUUGAGGGUGGUAUGCUGUACUCAUGUCCAACCUUGUUCCCAUGGAUUUUUGCAGUGAUUGCCAAAAUCUGGAAGUGAACCUGCUGUCUCUAUCUGAGAUGAUGGACAUUGGUACUCCAUGAAGUCGUACGAUCUCCCGGAUGUAGGUUCUUGAUAGUUUUUCCAUCCUAUCGGUUUCCUUGAUAGGUAAGAAAUGGGCUGACUUGGUUAAUCUGUCGACGAUUACCCAAAUAGUAUCUUGGCCACUCUGAGUUUUGGGCAGUUUGGUUAUGAAGUCCAUGGAAAUCUGCUCCCAUUUCCACUCAGGUAUUUCAGGUUGUUGGAGUAGGCCUGAGGGUUUUUGGUGUUCUAUUUUUAUUUUGGCGCAAGUUAAACACUUGCCCACAUACGUAGCGAUCUCCGCUUUCAUGUUUGGCCACCAGUAGAGUUGCUUGAGAUCUAGAUACAUCUUGUCUGACCCUGGGUGUACGGAGUAUGGGGUCCUGUGUGCCUCGCUCAUAACUACCUCUCUGAAUCCCCCAAACUUUGGUGUCCAGAUCCGGUUCAUGAGGUAGCGUGCUCCGUCACUCUUGAUUUCUAAGUUCUUGUCCAUUCCCCUAAGGGCCUCACCUGCCACGUUUUCGGGUUUCAAGGCCUCUAAUUGAGCUUCCUUGACUUGCGUUGAUAGGUGCGAAUGGAUCGACAUAGCUAAUGACUUCACUCUCCGGCCUGAGUACUCCUUUCGACUAAGGGCAUCGGCUACGACGUUUGCCUUUCCCGGAUGAUAGCGAAUAUCGCAUUCGUAAUCACUGAGUAGCUCGACCCAUCGCCGUUGUCUCAUGUUGAGCUCCUUCUGAUCGAAAAUGUGUUGUAAGCUCUUGUGGUCGGUAAAGAUAGUGCUCUUCGUUCCAUACAAGUAAUGUCUCCAGAUCUUCAGGGCAAACACUACUGCUCCUAGCUCAAGAUCGUGGGUCGUGUAGUUAACCUCAUGUGUUUUCAACUGUCUCGAGGCGUAGGCGAUGACCUUACCUCGCUGCAUCAGAACACAUCCGAGUCCUUGGUUUGAUGCAUCGCAAUAAACUACGAAGUCUUCUAUUCCUUCGGGAAGGGAUAGUAUUGGUGCGGUGCACAAGGCUCGUUUGAGCGUUUGGAACGCUCUUUCUUGUUUCUCUUCCCAGUCAAAGGCCACACCUUUCUGGGUUAGGGUUGUAAGAGGCUUCGCUAUUCGUGAGAAGUUCUGAAUGAACCUGCGGUAGUAGCCAGCGAGACCUAGAAAUUGGCGAAUUUCUGUAGGAGUCUUCGGUGCUGACCAGUUCUCAAUGGCCUUAAUUUUGGAUGGGUCCACGUGGAUUCCCUCUUCGCUUACCACGUGUCCUAAGAAUUCGACUCUUCGGAUCCAAAAUUCACAUUUCGAGAACUUCGCAUAAAGUUUCUCUUUUCGUAAUAUCCCUAGAACUUGUCGCAGAUGAUCGCCAUGUUCUUUCUUACUUCGGGAGUAGAUCAGGAUGUCGUCAAUGAAAACGAUGACGAACUGAUCCAAGUAAGGUCGGCAUACUCUAUUCAUCAGAUCCAUGAAGACUGCGGGCGCAUUGGUCAAUCCGAAUGGCAUCACCACGAACUCGUAAUGUCCGUAACGAGUUCGGAAGGCGGUCUUCGGCACAUCCUCCUCUAGCACUCGUAACUGGUGAUACCCGGAUCUCAGAUCAAUCUUAGAAAAAUAGUUCGCCCCUUGCAGUUGGUCGAAUAGAUCAUCUAUGCGCGGUAGAGGAUAACGAUUCUUGACCGUCAGUUUGUUGAGUUCUCUGUAGUCGAUGCACAUUCUGAACGAUCCAUCUUUCUUUUUCACAAACAACACGGGUGCUCCCCAUGGUGAGAAGCUCGGUCUGAUGAAUCCUUUUCCCAGUAGUUCAUUCAGUUGACUGGAUAGCUCCUGCAUCUCUGCCGGGGCUAAUCGAUAGGGUGCUUUGGCUACUGGGGUAGCUCCGGGAAUCAGAUCGAUUCUGAAUUCGACUUGUCUUACGGGUGGUAUCCCUGGAAGGUCCUCGGGAAACACAUCGGGAAAAUCGCAUACGUCGGGCACAUCCUUGAUGUCCCGGACUUCGCGUUUCACGUCUACAACAUGUGCAAGAAAUGCGUGACACUCCUUUCGUAAGUGCUUCUGAGCUUGGAUACUUGAGAUGAUUCUAAGAGUGGUACUAGGUUUGUCGCCCAAGACAAGGAAGGUUUCGCCGGUUGGCAGAUUAAGGCGAACGGCCUUAUCGUAACAUAGAAUGUCCGCACGAUGUGAACUCAGCCAAUCCAUGCCAAUGAUGACAUCGAAACUCUUAAUCGAGACUGGCAUGAGGUUGAUUUGAAAGGGAUUAUCGUUUAGAGUUAGGGUGCAGUUUAAGUAUAUCUCUUUAGUGCCUUCAGUUUUCCCGUUGGCCAUUUCUACUAUGAACGGUUCACUUAAUGAUUGUGGUAUUGGUUUUAGCAUGCUUUUAAAGUCGUGACUCACAAAACUCCUUUCCGCUCCACUAUCAAACAAAAUGCAUGCAUACGAGUUAUCGAGAAGAAACGUACCCGUAACAACAGUAGGGUCCGCAAUGGCUUCAUCUUGUCCCAUUGCGAAAACUCGGCCUCUUCCGCCGGUAUUCCUGUUGUUUGCCUUCGGGCAGUCCUUGCGGUAGUGCCCUGUGCUCCCGCACUCAAAGCAAGCGCGGCUUACUCCGGUAUUAGCAGUGGGGGCGGAUUGUUGGGUUGGCUCCUUGCAAUAGCGGGCUGUAUGACCCUUCUUAUUGCACCUGGUGCAUUGAAGGCCAUGACAGAGACCGUGAUGGUGGAAGUUGCACUGGUUACAUUUCGGUAGCUUUCCAUUGUAUGAACUUGUGGGGGCAGAGUUGGUAGGUACAGUAAUAGCGUGGGUCGCUAUCACUUGUUGUUUCUUGGGGUUCUCCUGGAGGAUUUGUCCCCUCCUCUUGUUCCAAGGCCUACUCUGUCCCUGAGCCUCCCUAGGUGGAUUUGCGGCUGUUGUGAUGGUACUCUGUUUCGCUCCGUGAUCGAUGAGUCGUUGCGCCAGGCGUUUAGCGCUGUUGUAGGUGAUAGGGUUGGAGGCUAGGACAUGCCCUUGAAUCUGGGGUGACAACCCCCAAAUGUACCUUUCGACCUUCUUUGAUUCUGGGUUGACCAUGGUAGGGCACAAAGCAGCGAGAUCGUUGAACCUAGCUGUGUAAGCGACUAGGUCAGACCCGACCAUUUUCAAAUUCCAGAGUUCCUGCUCAAGCUUUUGCACUUCACCCCUUGGGCAGUAUUCUUCCAGUAGUAGUACCUUCAGUUCUUCCCAACUCAUGGCGUUAGCGACAGUGAGCGUCACUGAGUUCACAUGGCUUUUCCACCAAGUGAGGGCUCGAUCUAUGAAGGUGCAAGCAGCGAACUUAACCUUGCUUGUUUCUUGGCACGAGCAGAUCUCGAAGACCGUUUCGGUCUUUUCGAACCAUUGCAUUAGUGCAAUGACUCCUCCUGUUCCAUUAAAAGUUUUUGGUUUAGCGUUAGAGAACUCCUUGUAGGUACAUUCUCUUCCUUGGCCAUGACCAGUGCCAUGAUUUGGAUGAUUCGUGCUGCUUCCCGCCCCUCCAUUCCCUUGAGAGUUUAUUUGCGAGAGGGCUGCGGUUACCGCUGCUGUGAUAGCAGCCUGAACCAUGGCCGGAUCAUAAGCUGGUGGUGGAGGUGGUGGUGGUGCCGUGCCCGGCCUGGGCCUUAAGUUUGGACGAGGAGGCAUCUUGCUGCCAAAAGAAAAAUAUGGAAGAAAAUUAUAAGUUUUGGCAGUUCAAAGUUGAAUGAUAUUGAGUUAACUGCCUUAAAUAGAUUAAGAAUUUGGUUUGAUCAACAAUGGGUUUUGAGCUUGAUUUAUUAAUAACGUUUGAAUGGAUGCACUUAUGAGUUGAACGGAAUACACAUAUUUAAAAUCAGAGAAGGGGGGGAUGCCCCAUAUAUAUAAAACAUAUAGUCGUGUUACAUCCGAGUUUAGACAAAACUUUUUGACCUUUCUAAAGGUCUCCGAUUACAGAAAGUUUUAACGAAAAGGAAAUUCUUAUCCGAAGUCCUAAUUUAUAACAAAAUUUGAAAUCCUGGCAGGCACUACUUGCGACGUAGGUUGCGCUUGGAGCUUGACUCCGCAUCUGAUUGCUUCGAUUCCAUUAGGCGUCGAUCAAAAGCGGCUUGUUGCUCCCUUAACUCGGCUAGGGCUGCAAUUAUCUGUGCCUGAAAUGCCUCAGACUGGAGUUGGACAUUAUCUUGUAUCUUGUCCAGUCUACGGAUAUCGGAAGUGUGAACCUGCACUUCCACGUUGAUAUCCCGGAGUCGGCUUGCUUGUACUCCGGACUGAUAGGACUGAUUGGCUAACUUACCCACCAUUACCGAGAGUGCCCAAUCAGCCGAACCUCCACUACGGACAUCAUAGAAGUCCCGGCACAUGCCGUAGGGAGGGCGUAUGCCUUGUUGUUGGCUCCAAUGAUGGAGGUGACUUCCCCAGACGGGAGUCGGUCCUUGAAAGUUCCUUACGAAGAUGGGAGGUUGAACGGGUGGUGGAUCGAUCACUUCCGGCUUUGAGUCGGUACCGGAGUCAUCAUCCACUUCUAUGGGUUCCUUGUCCUCUUCGGGAUCAUCUUCGACCCAUCCUCCGUUGCCUUGGUUGGGAAAGUAGGGGUCAUUGGGGUGGUGAAAUCCAGCCAUUUGACUGUACGAGAAAUAGGGUCAUAAGAAUUGAAUAAAGUCGGAACAUGCAAAACAUGUAAGUUAGUUUNUGUUUAGGUAGUAAAUACUCUUAUAGUAUUUAAAUUAUUGUGUUUGAUUCUUGUAAUGGUUUGGUAAGUUUUGACUUGUUGCUUACUACGAGCAAUCCUCGAUAUAUAUUGGUCCGAUCUCGGGCAAAUAUAGUUGAUCACGUUAUAUUUGUCAAAAAUCUGAUUACAUAUAUCGAGUCUAAAUCGUAGUGUCAACUUGUCUAAAUACUUGUUGUAUAGUGAGAUAUCAUGAAAAUAAUUUGUUGUAUGCACGUAAUUGUACUUAAAUGAACUAUCAAUUUAAGUUAAACGUAAUGCUGCUCAAGUGUAAAAAGAAAAAUGUUUUGUCAGAGAGUAUUAGUCCCUUAAGCAUUUAUAGUUUGUAUAUCUUAUGUGGUUCGAUAUACUUAGUUCACUAUAAACAUUGCUCUGAUACCAAUCUGUCACACCCCCAAACCUGAACGGCGGAAACGUUCGGGGGCGGAUGACUUCAUGUGGUAACGUAACAAAUGAAUACAUAGUAAAGAAAGCAAUACAACCAUCAUAUAUAUAAUUGAAAGUUUACAUUUGUCAAAAGUUACAUGUUCAAAACCAAUUACAAUAUGAUGUCAAAANUGUACAUGUUUGAAAGUUUCUAGAAAAUCCCAUAUUUUCUACUAGUAUAAAAGUAGUCUUCUACCAAGACUCGACUGUUUUGUAUGUUUACCUUUAGAAAUCCAGUAUCUUUUCAUAAGUGUGUAUGUAGUUUAAAAACUCCAAAACUAUAACAAAAUGAUGUUUUUCAUGCCUAAAUAAUAGAUUUGUGUAAAUAUAAAAUCACUAAGGCAUUUGAUAACCCCGUAAACCAAUGUGUUUCUAAUACUCCAUGUGAGUUUUAUAACCAUACUAAUGACCCAGACUGCCUGUAACAACGUUCUUCAGGCGUUGAAAUGUUAUGACGUUUGUCACCCCAGGCUUGCCGGCCUAGCUGUAGCUAACAGCUCAGGUGCGGGAUUGUCAAUCCCGUAUAGAUCUAUACACAAAUAUCACGCUCCCCCUACAAGGGAUUAUGGUAUAUAAUACAGGACUUAAUAAUGCAUACUCGAAAGUACGUGAACCGUCUCACAAAACUUAGUAUAAAACAGAUUUACGUAUAAAAAUGUCCAUUUGUUCUUGUAUGUGAAAGUAUCUCUUUGAUAUAAUGUUUCUAGUAUGUAAAUGUUCAUGGUUUUCUCGUAAACUAUACCUAUUAUAGUUAUUCAAAGUGUGUGUUUCGUUCGUAUUGUAAAUCCUAGUGUAAUGCUCACUUGUUAUGUAAAGUAUAACAUCUAAAGUGACAUAAAUGAUCACAUAUACUUAAAGUAUAAAUAAAGUGUUUGAUUCGUGUAUACAUAUAUAAACAUGUUUUAUUUCCAAAAGACAAGAUGUUAUCGAGAAUAUAUAUUGCAUACGAAAGUUCCUAUGAAGUAGUUAUGAAUCACAUAUGAUUCACUCGAUAAAAAGAGUAUAUGGUGAAACUUUAUGUUACACACGAUAAUAACCGUGUGUUUACUUGUAUUCCCCCCCUUUAAAAGUGUAUACAACGAUUUAAAAGUAGUUUUUUUGAUAAGACAGUGUAAAGUAAAAGAAAUCCCUUGUUUGAAAACACGAUUUAAAAGUAGUUUCUUUGAUAAGACAAAGAGUAUAACAACAGAUUUAUGUUUUUCACACGAUGAUAAUCGUGUGUUUACUUGUAUCCCCCCCCCCCUUGAAAGCAUAUAAAAGCAUUUAGAAUAUUUAAAAAGGGUUAAUUAAGGGGUAUGAACUCACUUGAAAGUUUGAAGAUAGCGAGAUGGAAAACCGGGCAGAGUUUCGUCUCGGGAAACGGAUUUUUCUCAGGAUUCUCAGGAAUCUCGGGAGUAAAAUCGACCUUCGGGACAUGAGCAAAAAGACCAGGGCUUCGGGGUAGUACGGGCACGGAAAAUGAGGCAAAACGCGAGAGAAAUGAGAGGAAAUGAGCAAAUUUUCCGGAAACCCUCGCAUCCCUUUUAUAGGGGCUGAGAGGCCUCGGUACGCAGGGCGUACGCUCGUGCGCUGCGCGUACUCGUGCGUCACCCGUGACCGAGUCCUCGACUGCUUCGCUUCGGAUGGGACGGGUCAGGUAGGUUCGUAUAGGGGCGACAUGGACGGUCCGAGACCAAGACCCUCGGGUACGCGGGGUGUACGGGGUUACGCAGCACGUAACUCGGAUGAGGACGCUGACUCCUCCUUCGGAUAUUACCGGAUUUUUGAUUUAUUUUUAUAUAUAAUUUAUUUAAUAAACUUCAAAAAAUCAUAUCUUCUUCAUACGAACUCCGUUUUCGAAGGUCUUUAUAUCCACGCGUAGGUGAGACUACGCUCUACAACUUUCGUUUAGAUUCCGUUGGCAAAUUCCGAAAUUAUUUUUAUUAUUUAUUUAUAAAAUGUCGUGAUUAAGGAAUUUCUUUAAAAAUUCUUAACUUUUUUUAUCUAACGUCGGUUUUUGCUAGACUUUUCACCGCUGAAAUACCAUUGUCGAGACCUUCGAUUCUUGUUUAGGUCAUUCCGGCCAAAAGUCGCUCGAUCUCCGAUUCGAGUUUUUAGUUGUCUGUUGCUAAGCCAAACUUUGGAAAAAUCAUAACUUCAAUAUACGAAGUCGGAUUUGGGCGUUCUUUUUACGUACGAUCAUGGUUUAAUGACAUUUAAACAUAGAAGGAAUUUAAAUAGAAACUUUUUGGACAUUUUAUUAUCAAAGUUAAUUUUAUCAACUCAAAAGUUGUUAUAAUAGUUAACUUUUUAGGUCAUUACAAAUAGUUGAAAUAUCGGGUUGUCAUAGCAUAGGAGCAUAAAAACAGAUUAAUCAUGGAAGAACAUCGGAAGUGUUUAUCAUUCUGAGUUAAUCGAGACGCAAAACUACUCUGCCAUGAAAGCGAUGGACAAAACUGCUCUCUCAAGCAGGAAUAAGCUCUUGAAAGCAUAAACUGAAAAGGAAAUACUGCAAUCUCCUAAAAUGAAUCUUGCUACAAAUUUCCGUCCCGAUUUUACUACUUCUUAACAUUUUUCGCCUCGUAAAAGUUACCGGUCAUUUCGUUAAAUCCAGUACCAUUUUACACUUAUCUUCUUUAUAAAAACUGAAAUCAAACCUAAUUAUGAAUCUAGAAGCUAAUGAUAUCAAAAAAAUAAUUAAUAAAUUAUUAGCCACCAACCUACUACAUGUGCACGCUAAAGAAUAUUCAGAAAUCGGAUGGGGUUGGCAGAAUAAUUUUUUAUUAAAAUAUAAAUAUGAGGUCAAAAUGGUCAUUUCAUAAAAUUAACGAAAUGACUGUUUACAUGGACAAUUCAUGGCCAAAAAACAUUUAAAAAACAGUAAAUAGGAUUGAAAAAUGCAAGAAGUCUCUUUUUUUUCGAACCAUAUAAAAAAGUGAUAUAACAGAUAGGCAAAAACUAUAAAUGUUAGAGUUAAUUUAGAGAUAGCUUACCUAAAUAAGCUGCUUUCAGAUAUUUGUGCCAAUUUCAAUUUGAUUGAUGUCAUUACCAGUGCCUUAAGGUACCUCCCAAGAGCUAUUGGGAACAAAAUCUUCAAGGCACAAUGACAACUGCAUUUGUAUGUAAAAAGCUAGAGAUUAACUUUAAGUAUAAGAUUAUAGAUAGAAAUAUGCAGUCAUCAUUGAGAUGAAAAAAAAUGAAAUCAAACUAAAGAUCAAAUCAAUACAUACUUAUUAUUAUCUUUUUAUCACACAAAUAAAAUGCUACCUUUCCACCAGAUAAAAUUAUCUUUCGACUGCUAGAACUCUAAAGAUGCUAAAAGAACAAAUACAUAAAUGAAGUAGUUAAUAAAUGUGUUUUAUCAUACAUCACCGGGGUAUGAAGAAAGAACAUAAAAAAAUGAAAUCAAACUAAAGAUCAAAUAAAUACAUACUUAUAUUAUAGAUAAAUUGAAUUAAUAUGAAAAGGAAAGUUGUUGUUAUUCUAAUCUUGAAAAUAACACAAAGGCUGAACUUUUUUUACACUUGAAAAAUAGCAAAAAGUCUUAACUUUUAUAUUGAACUUUUAUUCUUUUUCAACCAUUUUAUUUAUGCCUUCCAUUGCACCUCUUUCAGUAAUUAUCAAAUCUAUGAGCAAAAAUAUUUUUAUCAUAUUCCAUCAUUUUGUUGGACAAUUGUCAAACCCCCAAACCAAGGAUGGUGGAAACGUCCGGGGGUGGAGGACUUCAUGUAUAGUAUCAUAACAACGAGUAUAAUAGUGACCAUAGCAAACACAACCAACAUAAAUAUAAUUGAAAAAGUUACAUCAUAGUAUAUACGUUUACAUGUUUCUAAAUCAAUUACAUUAUGUUGAAAAAAAUGUAAUGUUUAACGCCUUAACGUUCCAUCCUCAAAAGUAGCUGUUUACCUGCUUACUGAUUUCGUGAGAAUAUAAGUACUUUUGAAAAAAGUGUCAACAAUUAAGUUGGUGAGGUGAUAAGCUUUUGAAUGAAAUGUUGAAAUCCUUUCGUUAUAGAAGUAACGUUUGUUUUAGAAAAUCCAAUAUUUUCCUUUUAAAAAUGUAAUGUAGCCUUAAAUGCCAAGACUAAUAAUGUACUAGUGUUUUCCAUAUAAGUUGUGAAUUAUGCAAGUUUAAAUCGUCAUAAACCCGUUUAAUUGAAGUAAGAUCCCGUAAAUCUUAUGUUUUGUUAAUACCCCAUGUGAGUUAUUAUAACCAUGCUAUGAAUUAGUCGGCCUUGCAUACGACGUUCUUCAAGCGUCGGAAUGUUAAUGAUAUUUGUCACUCUAGACCCGUCGGUCUAGCUGUUGCAUGCAGCUAAGGUGUGGGUUUGUCAGACCCAAUAUAGAUCAAUAUACAACUAUCACACUCUCCCUACAAGAGACUCUGGUUACAAUUACAGGACUUUUGAUUUUGUUACUUUAGAAGUAACGCGAAGCGAAUGUCUCCCAAAUUUAUUCAUUAACAGAUUUAUAUAAAGUGAACUGAAAACCCCUUUUUGCCGAGAUAUACUCUUUCGUGGUGUGAUGUAAAUGAAACAUAAACUAUGAUUUGUUAGAAUUUAUCCUAAUUGUUUGUAAUGUAUAUGAAACGUAAACUAUACCUAUUAUAGUUUAUCAGAAUGUUGGUAAUGUAUAGAAACCUUUACUGUGUAAGUAAAAUGUAUAGCGAAAACAUACUAUGUCUAUUAGGCCUCAUCUUGUAAUAAUUGGAAUACUAACUGAUUUUUACAAUUUAGUGAACAUUUUUCUGUUAUAUAAUUAUAUCACAACAGAAAACACAUGCAAAAUAUGAAGUCAUCAAAGAUUAACACUUGCUCCACAUGUUACAAAGUGUUAUGAAAGUUGUAAACUGUAAAUUCGUUUUUACCAUUUCUGCACUGAUUUAGAAAAAUCAUAGAAAAGUCAUACGAAGUCAAAAACUAGAUCCGUCAACUCUGAGAGUUUAGAAAUGUGUCUAGUUUGUUCAUAACUUUUAUUACGAUUUUCAAAAACCUCUAACUGAUGUGAAAAUGUUCAUACUCACAGACUGGUCCGAAUUCGUAGCUACAGUGAUAGGCAGUUUUGUAAAAAUCACCAUAAAUAGUAGAAAAUUCGUGUGAGUAUGUGCAAGUAGUCAUUUUAAAGGUAUAAACCUGAAAUAUUUGCAUCUAAUACAGUUUUGAAAACUAAAAAGUUUAAGAUGUUCAAAAUAGUCUGUGAAUGGAACGAAACUUUCCUAUGGAAAGCUAAUGCUUGUGUGUUGUUAAGUUCUUGGCGAUUUAACUUGUAUUCUCCACCCUAAAACUUGAAGAAAACAUGAAACGGUGGGGGUAUGAACUCACCUUGACUGAUUUUAGUAGAUAGAUGAUGAAGAAAAGGAGUUUCCAAUUCAAGAUCACUUGGGAAAUACUUGAGGAUUUGAAGAUCUAACAACAAAUAUGAUGAUAUUUGUGUAAGGAACCCAUGAUUUGAGUGAAACGAUGCAAGAUGAUCAAGUGUAGGAUGAAGUUACUUACCAAAAUUGGAGGGGAAAGCUCAAGAACAACCUUCAAACUUAAGUUUAGAGAUAGAAAGUGAGAGAGAGAAAUGGGGUUGCUUCUUGGUGAUAGUGUGAAGAAUGUGGGAGAAGGAGUAAAGAUUUCCAGCCCUUGAUCUCCCUCAUAUGCUGGAGGAAGAGGGUGAAAGGACAAUUAAUUGACUAAGUAGUGAUGAAUAGUGACUGGCUACGGCCUUGGAGUGGGUGUGGAGGGUUGCUUGUGUCAUACAUUAAGGUAAAGUCAACACUCCACCUCAAAAUCUUACCCACUAGAUUUUAUUCUUAGGCAAUGAUUUUCCUCCAAAAAUGAUUAAAAUAUGAUUAUAUAGGGUCUCAUAUGCCAAAACAUGAGUUCGGGUGAAAAUCCCGCAUCAAAAUCAUUAAAAAUAGGCUUAAAAGGAAGUUGCGGUCAAAAACCGAGAAGAAGCUGCGGACAUCCGAAGUCAAGAGGCGAGGUUCGGUCCAUGGUGCUGAGAACCGAAAGCAGGUUUGGUCUGAGAAGGGUUCGGUUGCGAGGCUAGGACCGAAGGCGGUGGGAAGCAAAAUAGACCAAAGUCUGAAGGAGCGAAAUGAACCGAAAGGCGCGCAAGGAGCCGAACCCGAAGGUGACUUCGGUUCUAAUGGGGACUUCGGCUCUUAUAGGAGGUUUGAUUCUAAUAGAGACUUCGGUCCUUAAGGGCUGUUUUUCAAGAAAUCUUCGCGUCUUGAGUGAUUUUUGACCAAGUUAAGGGUCUGGAUCCCCCGAAUGAUUAUAAAAAGUUGAAAGAGAUUUUGAGAGAUUUUUGGGAGAGAGAGAGAUUGAUAAAGAGAGAUUGAGAGAGGCUUCAUUUUUGACCUUUUUGGAUAUUUGGCUUCGUAACGCAAGGUUCAUACACCCCGUUAAGCCUCGUUAUGAUCGUUAUAUGCUCCCGAGGGAUAUGGAAUAAUGUUUUAUCGAAUAGCUUCAUCACUUAUCCCGAUUAGGGUUUAGAGUUUCUGAACAUACGAACUUUCCAAGUGAUAACUCCUUAUUAAAAUAGCGAGUUGUACAACUUUUAACAUAAUGCAAACCCAUAUAUACCAGGGUUAGUUGAGUUGACCGGUUUGACUUGUUGAUUUUAUUUGACUUUAACUCCACUAGAAAUCGACGGUUGUCACAUCAUCCCCCCGUUAGAAGGAAUUCCGUCCAUAAAUUAAUGUUUUGGCUAUGAUUUCAAGAAUUUGGGAAGAGGUGUGGGUAUUUUCGUUUCAUUUAAUCUUGCGUUCCCAGGUGAAUUCGGGUCCUCGUUUAGCGUUCCAACGAACCUUAACAAUGGGAAUACAACUUUGCUUUGUUCUUUUGAUCUCCCGAUCCAUGAUUUCAACUGGUUGCUCUACGAAGUAGAGACUCUCGUCAACUUCAAUUUCGUUGAGUGGUAUCACGUGGGUCUCGUCGGAUAAACAUUUCUUUAACUUAGAUACGUGGAAGGUAGGAUGUACGUUAUUAAGUUCCUGUGGUAGUCGGAGUUUAUAUGCUAUGGGGCCAAUCCUGGCAUGGAUUUCGAAUGGCCCAAUAUACCUAGGGUUUAGUUUCCCACGCUUACCAAAACAUAUCAUACCCUUCCAGGGUGAGACCUUCAGUUGCACACAGUCUCCAACCUGGAAUUCCAAAGGUUUGUGUCGCUUAUCAGCGUAACUCUUUUGUCAGUCACGAGAUGCUUUCAGUCUUUCUCGUAUUUGGAUGACGUUUUCUGUGGUUUCCCUUAUGAUUUGAGGACCGGUGAGGGCGCUAUUUAGGACUUAUCCCUUUUCUAGCUGAGUGUCCCCCACUUCGGCCUAACACAGGGGUGAUCUACACUUUGUCACAUCUGGCCAUAUAGAGGUUCAAACAGAGCGACCUUGAUGCUAGUAUGAUAGCUAUUAUUGUAAGAGAAUUCGAUGAGUGGUAAGUGGGUAUCCCAUGCUUUACCAAACUCUAUUACACAAGCUCUCAGCAUGUCUUCAAGUUUCUGAAUGGUUCUUUUGCUCUGUCCGUCGGUUUGUGGGUGGUAGGUUGUACUCAUGUCUAGCCUAGUCCCCAGAUAUUUUUUGUAAAGACUGCCAAAAUCAUGAAGUGAAUCUACUAUCUCUAUCGGAUAUAAUCGAUAUUGACACUCCAUGCAGUCGUACAAUCUCUUUAAUGUAGGUCCUGGUUAGUUUCUUCAUCUUGUCAAUCUCCUUGAUAGGCAGGAAGUGCGCGGAUUUGGUCAGCCUGUUGAUGAUUACCCAAAUGGUAUCCAGUCUACUCGUUGUCUUGGGUAACUUGGUUAUGAAGUCCAUGGUUAUCCAUUCCUACUUCCACUCAGGUAUUUUUGGUUGUUGAAGUAAGCCCGAUGGCUUUUGGUAUUCUACUUUCACAUUGGUGCAAGUCAAACACUUGCCCAUGUAAGUAGAAAUUUCUGCUUUCAUGUUCGGCCACCAGUAAAUCUUCUUGAGGUCUAGAUACAUUUUGUAUGCACCUGAUUGGACGGAGUAUUGAGUUUUGUGACAUCCCCAAUUUCACGGCCAGAAAAGAGCGAUUUGUUUAUGCUUUGUUUUAUAAAUCAGAGUGAUCGUUUAAAGAAAACGGUUGCGGAAUUUAUUCCCAAAAUAAAAUAUGAUAACCAUUUUAUCAAAACAUUUCUCGAAAAGAAUGUAUUUUCAUUAAAUAAUAAAACCUCGGGAUGUCAUGUUCGUUACAGACCAAAAGCAUAAACAAUAUAAAAUAAACCUUACAAUAGUUAUUCAACUACUGAUCUAUAAUCCAAAAUCUCUCGUCAAGUCCGCCGACUUAUACUCUUGUGUCAUUACCUGUAAUGAAAAGAAAAUUGAGUGGGUCAGGCUUGGGAGCCUGGUGAGCAUAUAGGGUUUUCAACCCACAAUAAUACAUUUAUUAUAUUCAAUUAUCAAAAAAUCAACCCAAAUACCCAUCCCCAUUAUCUUCUUAAGGUUUUACCCUAAGAAUCCACUAUCCUUCAUUCAUUCAUUCCUAAGGAUUUACCUAAGGAAUUGGCACGAAGUCCAUUGCUGCGAAAGUUUAUAGAUCAGGUACUAAAUCCAUAGUUAUCAGACGCUAACUCCAUAGUCGUCGGGGUUUACUCAAGCGGCGCUAACUCCAUAGUCACCAAGGUUCACUUAACAGGCACGAAGUCACAUCGUCACCAAGGUUUACUCAAUAGGUGCUAACUCCAUAGUCACCAAGGUUCACUUAACAAGCGCUAACUCCAUAGUCGCCAAGGUUUACUCAACAAGCGCUAACUCCAUAGUCGCCAAGGUUCAUCAAAUAGGCACGAAGUCACAUCGUCGCCAAGGUUUAUACAAUAGGCGCUAACUCCAUAGUCACCAAGGUUUAUCUAAUAAUAGGCGCUAACUCCAUAGUCACCAAGGUUUAUCUAACAGCAGGCGCUAACUCCAUAGUCACCAACUAUCCCAUCUACCCUUGUUCUACCCAACAAUUUUGUAGAUAUAAAUACUUACACAGUUUAAAUCAUUUAACACCUGUAUAAAACUCCAAUUUCCAUGUCCAUCUCAAAUAGACAAAUAACAUAUAAACACAUAGCACGUAUUUCAUAACAAAUACUUCAUAUUGAUGUGUUAGAAGAAAGCAACUACACACCCACACAUAUAAACAACAAUAUACUUAAUACACUCAAACCAUACUUGUAUUAUUAUCGUGUUUACGAAAGCUAGUAUACACUCACUUGAUCAGAAGAUGAUCGGAUGGCACUACGACAUGCAGAAGUAGUAAUCCACCGCAGAUCUGGAAGAUCUCCACAAAAAUCGAACUUCUCGCGGGCAGAGCUUUGGCUGGGGAACCGCACUUCUCGGAAUCUUCGGGAUCUUGGGACUUGCCUCGGGGCUAGAGAAUAAUACCGGAGCUUCGGGGUAUUUAUGGCAUGCAAAACGAUGCAAAACGGGAGACAGAGAAGAGAAGAAAUUGGCAAUUGGGUCGGCUGCCUUCGCAUCCUAUUUACAGGAGGCUGGAGCCUCGGAGUACGCGGGGCGUACUGGUCCAAAUGCGUCAUGGCGUUCGUCAUCCGAAGCCACUUGCUGCGAAUGUCGACACUUCGGAGUACGCAGGGCGUACUCGAGUACGCGGCGCGUACCUCGGAUCAGACCGGUGACUCCUUCGGAUAAUGCUUCCGAAUUUCCUUUUAAAUUUAAAUACAAAAUGAUUAAUAAACUUCGGAAAUUCAUAUCUUCUUCAUACGAACUCCGUUUUCGACGUUCUUUAUAUCCACGCGAAGGUGAGACUACGCUCUACAACUUUUGUUUAGACUCCGUCGGCUAAUUUUGACUUUUAUUUUUAUUAUUUAUUUUUAAUAGGCCGCGACAGAAAACUUCGUUAUAAAUUCAUAACUUCUUCGUUUGACGUCCGUUCUCGCCUAACUUUUUAUCGCUUCGAUACCAACAACGAGAUCUUCGAUUCUCGUUUAGAUUGCUAAGGCUAAAUAUCGCUCUAACGUAAAUUCACUUUUUACGUCGCGCUGUGUCGUGCCGGUUCUGUCGCGAAACUUCGACAGGUCAUAACUUCUUCGUUAUAACUCGGAUUUUGGCGUUCUUUAUAUGCACGGAAACCUUGUAACAUAUACUACAACUUAGUUAGGAUUAUUCAUCCUAAAUAAUCUUCUAUCAAAAAGUCAUUUUUGACUCUUAUUGUCUCUAAAUUGACUAGCCCUGAUCUACGGGCGUUACAAUUAUCUCCCCCUUAGGAUGAUUACGUCCCGGAAUCAUCAACGAAAUAGGAUUCGCAUACUGACUCCAUAAGUUAUCUCUCCAUUCUAAGUAAUAACCCUGAUGGGUCGUGUCCCGAUGACCUCUCAUCAUAGUCGGACUCAAUUGAUAUGACCCCUAGGGUCGGAAUAACAACUAUCUUACUAGACAUUACCGAAACAAUGGUAAUGACAUACUUGAAUAAAACGGAAUCAAUUACUAGCUUCUUGAUAACCUUGUGACUUCCCCUGAUCCAAGCGUGAGUCCUGUGCUUCCGGUAGUAUAGAUCUCUACUACCAUUCACACCUACUCAUACUCGUCCCAAGUAUUGUCUCGCAGUUAACCAAGUCACCAUACAUAAAUCAUAUAAUCAUUCAACACAUCAGAUAACAAAACUAGGAUUUAUAUUAAUUCUUGAAACUAUUACACAAAAGUUCAAGUUCACCCUAUACUAUGCCUCUAACAGGCUAUGCUUCCUGAUACAGACUUUACCGACUUUAUAUAUUAAUAUGAAGUCUUCAUCCUUUAACCCUCCCAUCCCUUUCUGCUUCGUUGAGGAACAUGUUGAAUGCCCUUGGCUGUGGAGGUGUGUUUUUCUGUGGGCAGUCUUUAGAAAUAUGACCUUCUUCAUUACACCUAUAGCACAUCUUCUUGUUAGGUGCGCACUUGUUGGCAUAGUGCCCUGUCUUCCCACAUUUGUAGCAAGUCAUCUCCUCGCUACAUUUCCCGAAGUGUUUCUUCUUACACUUCUCACACCACUUAGCCUCAUCUCUUCCUCCAGUUUUCGAGAAUUUACUUUCUUUAUCGAUUAUUGAAGAUCCUUCACGCUUCCUUUUCUCUCCAACUUCAGCCCUUUCCAGACCCUUUUCUUUUAUUUGGGUCUCAACAUUUUUGGCUGCCCAGAUGGCGGCUUUCAGAGUGGUUGCUUGUUUGACUAUCGGACCAAAGUCCGCUGGUAAUCCAUUAGCAAACUUGUUGACCUUGGAAAGUUCAGUCGGAAUUAGGUAUGGAAUAAGCUUCAUCUUCUCCGUAAAGCUCGUAGCGUAUUCAGUAACGCUCAAUUUUCCUUUCUUCAGAUUCUGGAACUCAUUGUUGAUUUCCAGAAGAUCCUGCUCAGAGCAGUAUUGCAUUUUCAUUUGCUCCACGAACUCUUCCCAAGACAUCUUGCUAGCUUCUCCCUUAGGCAUUGAACCAGCCAGUAACUUCCACCAGCUGAAUACUCUAGAUUUUAACAGAGGGAUUGCAAGAGCGGUCUUCUGUCUCUUGCUACACUCGCAACUUUUAAACAUUGUCUCCAUUUCGGAGAUCCAGUCCAUGACUUGCACCGGUGUCGGGCUCCCAGAAAGACAUGGUGGUUUGGAUGCCAUGAAAUCCUUGUACUUGCAUCCACGUCCAUCAUUUCCUCUAUCCUGGUUGUUUUGGCGAACUAUUGGUGGGUUGGCUUGACCAACGGUCCCACUAUAGUUUCCUCCUUCAGAAUGCCCUCCAUUUACUUCGGGCUCUUCUACUCGAAUUGACAAUUCCUCGCGAUUUUGUCUGAUCAGACGUCUAGUUUCUUCCAUCUGAUUAUUCAACAUUGCCUGGAUCAUCACUUGAACUCCGGCCAUUGUCAUUGGUUCAGGCGCUGCUGCCACAACAGGUAUUUGUUCAAUUACUGGUACUUGAUUCCUGUUCUCAUCAGCAUUUCCAACUCCACUCCUCGUUCUCACCAUUUUUGAUCUAUACACCGAAUAUGGUGAAAUUAGAUCCUUAAUCACGAUAGAUAUUCAAAUCAUCCUUAUCACUCCGAAACGUUUAUAUGCUAGUUCUAAUAUCGUAGACGUACGCUUAGAAUCCUAUACACAUAAGGUUUCCAGAUCCGGUCGGCAACAGACCAUAGAUCCGAACAAAUAAUAUCAUAUAUGGCAACAUAUAACAUUUAGCACAUAAAGCAUUUUAGGCAACUUUCCUAAAAUAAACUAGUGCUUGUGUCUAAAACACAACAGACACACAUCUCAAAAUUUCACUUAGCAUUCUAAGUUUAAGUCUAGAAAUCCUACAAAUUCCUAGUUCGCUUAAACUAAUGCUCUGAUACCAACUGUGACAUCCCCAAUUUCACGGCCAGAAAAGACCGAUUUGUUUAUGCUUUGUUUUCAAAAUCAGAGUGAUCGUUUAAAGAAAACGGUUGCGGAAUUUGUUCCCAAAAUAAAAUAUGAUAACCAUUUUAUCAAAACAUUUCUCGAAAAGAAUGUAUUUUUAUUAAAUAAUAAAACCUCGGGAUGUCAUGUUCGUUACAGACCAAAAGCAUAAACAACAUAAAAUAGACCUUACAAUAGUUAUUCAACUACUGAUCUAUAAUCCAAAAUCUCUCGUCAAGUCCGCCGACUUAUACUCUUGUGUCAUUACCUGUAAUGAAAAGAAAACUGAGUGGGUCAGGCUUGGGAGCCUGGUGAGCAUAUAGGGUUUUCAACCCACAAUAAUACAUUUAUUAUAUUCAAUUAUCAAACAAUCAACUCAAAUACCCAUCCCCAUCAUCUUCUUAAGGUUUCCCCCUAAGAACCAACUAUCCUUCAUUCACUUAUUCCUAAGGAAUCGGCACGAAAUCCAUUGCUGCCAAAGUUUAUCUAUCGAGUACUAAAUCCAUAGUUAUAAGACGCUAACUCCAUAGUCGUCGGGGUUUACUCAAGCGGCGCUAACUCCAUAGUCACCAAGGUACACUUAACAAGCGCUAACUCCAUAGUCGCCAAGGUUUACUUAACAAGCGCUAACUCCAUAGUCGCCAAGGUUCAUCAAAUAGGCACGAAGUCACAUCGUCGCCAAGGUUUAUGCAAUAGGCGCUAACUCCAUAGUCACCAAGGUUUAUACAAAAGGCGCUAACUCCAUAGUCACCAAGGUUUAUCUAAUAAUAGGCGCUAACUCCAUAGUCACCAAGGUUUAUCUAACAGCAGGCGCUAACUCCAUAGUCACCAAGGUUUAUCUAACAGCAGGCGCUAACUCCAUAGUCACCAAGGUUUAUCUAACAGCAGGCGCUAACUCCAUAGUCACCAACUAACCCAUCUACCCAUGUUCUACCCAACAAUAUUAGUAGAUAAAAAUAUACAUUUGUAUACAUAGUUUAAAGAAAACCUGUAUAGCAUGCUUUAAUCAACACAUAUAUCACAUAACAGAUGAGGCACACACACGUAACACAUAUCUCAUAAAGAAAUAAGCAGAUCUGUAAGAUAGAAGAGAGUGAAUACUCAUUCACACAUAACACAACCAAAUAUAUACACAUAGCACGUAUUUUUAUAUAAAAUACUUCGUAUUAUUGUAUUAGAAGAAAUAACUACACACUCACUUGAUCAGAAGACGAUCCGACAGCACUACGGCUUAUAGAAGUAGUAUUCCUCAGCAGAUCUGGAAGAUCUCCUCGAAAAUCAAACUUCUCGCGGGCAGAGCUUCGACUCGGGAACCGCACUUUUCGGGAUCUUCGGGAUCUCGGGACUUGCCUCGGGGCUAGGGUAUAAUACCGGGGCUUCGGGGUAUUUCUGGCACGCAAAACGAUGCAAAACGGGAGAGAGAAGAGAAGAAAUUGGCAAUUGGGUCGGCUGCCCUCGCAUCCUAUUUAUAGGAGGCUGGAGCCUCGGAGUACGCGGGGCGUACGCCAGUACGCGGGGCGUACUGGUCCGAAAAACGUCACUGCGUGCGUCAUCCGAAGCCACUUGCUGCGAAUGUCGACACUUCGGAGUACGCGGGGCGUACUCGAGUACGCAGCGCGUACCUCGGAUCAGACCGGUGACUCCUUCGGAUAAUGCUUCCGAAUUUCCUUUUAAAUUUAAAUACAAAUUGAUUAAUAAACUUCGGAAAUUCAUAUCUUCUUCAUACGAACUCCGUUUUCGACGUUCUUUAUAUCCACGCGAAGGUGAGACUACGCUCUACAACUUUCGUUUAGACUCCGUCGGCUAAUUUUGACUUUUAUUUUUAUUAUUUAUUUUUAAUAGGCCGCGACAGAAAACUUCGUUAUAAAUUCAUAACUUCUUCGUUUGACGUCCAUUCUCGCCUAACUUUUUAUCGUUUCGAUACCAACAAUGAGAUCUUUGAUUCUCGUUUAGAUUGCUAAGGCUAAAUAUCGCUCUAACGUAAAUUCACUUUUUACGUCGCGCUGUGUCGCGCCGGUUCUGUCGCGAAACUUCGACAGGUCAUAACUUCUUUGUUAUAACUCGGAUUUUGGCGUUCUUUAUAUGCACGGAAACCUUGUAACAUAUACUACAACUUAGUUAGGAUUAUUCAUCCUAAAUAAUAUUAUAUCAAAAAGUCAUUUUUGACUCUUAUUGUCUCUAAAUUGACUAGCCCUGAUCUACGGGCGUUACAAGUUUUAUGUGCUUCACUCAUGACAAUGUCUUGGAACCCACCGAACUUCGGGGUCCAAAUUCGAUUUAUGAGAUAACAAGCUCCGUCGUCUUUGACUUCAAGGUUCUUAUCCAUUCCCCGCAAUGCCUCUCCCAUCACGUUUUCUGGUUUUAAGGCCUCUGGUUGGGCCUCUUUGAUUUGUGUGGACAGGUGUGAAUGGAUUGUCAUUUUUAGUGACUUUACUCGACAUCCCGAGUAUUCUUUUCUGCUUAUCACAUCUGCUACCACGUUAGCCUUGCCUGGAUGAUAGCGAAUCUCGCACUCGUAAUCAUUCAGAAGUUCUAUCCAUCGUCUCUGUCUCAUGUUGAGCUCUUUUUGGUUUAGAAUAUGUUGGAGACUCUUAUGAUCAGUGAAGAUAAUGCACUUUGUACCGUAGAGGUAGUGCCUCCAGAUCUUCAGGGCAAACACUAAUGCUCCUAAUUAGAGGUCGUGGGUAGUGUAGUUAACUUUGUGUGUUUUAAGUUGUCUCGAGGCGUAGGCGAUGACCUUUCCUCUUUGCAUGAGUACACAUCCAAGACCUUGAUUUGAAUCAUUGUAAUAGACCAUGAACUCCGCAGUCCCUUCUGGGAGAUAUAAGAUCGGUGCGCUGCACAUGGCUUGUUUCAACGUUUGGAAGCCAACCUCUUGUUUAGCCUCCCAAUUAAACAUUACACCCUUUUGAGUCAGGGUGGUGAGUGGUUUUGUGAUCUUGGAGAAUUUUUGAAUGAAUCUUUAGUAAUAUCGCGUAAGCCCUAAGAAUUGUCGGAUUUCUGUCGGUGUUUUCGGUCUCGUCCAGUUUUCGAUCGCCUUUAUUUUAGAGGGAUCCACAUGUAUAUCUUUUUCGUUAACCAUAUUGGCCAAGGAAAUCGACUUCUCGGAUCCAAAAUUCGCACUUCAAGAGUUUAGCAUAAAGCUUCUCGGCUCUUAGCGUCUCCAAUAUUAGUUGUAGAUGCUGGUUGUGUUCUUCUUUGCUCUGUGAAUACACUAAAAUAUCGUCGAUGAAUACGAUUACGAAUUUGUCUAAAUAAGGCCGGCACACUCAGUUCAUUAGGUCUAUGAACACCGUAGGCACGUGUGUUAGACCGAAGGGCAUCACCACGAAUUCGUAAUGACCGUAGCGCGUUAUGAAAGCUGUUUUGGGAAUAUCAUCCUCUUGAACUCGUAGUUGAUGGUAUCCCGACCUCAAUUCGAUUUUCGAAAAAUAACUCGCUCCUUGAAGUUGGUCAAAGAGGUCGUCGAUUUGGGGUAGAGGGUAUCGAUUAUUGAUGGUGAGUUUGUUUAAUACCCGAUAGUCGAUGCACAUGCGAAUAGAUCCGUCCUUCUUCUUCACAAAGAGGACUAGUGCACCCCAGGGUGAAGAGAUCGGUCUAAUAAACCCUUUGCUUAACAGUUUAUUCAGUUGACUAGAUAGUUCUUGCAUUUUUGCCAGCGCUAGGCGAUAUGGAGCUUUGGCUAUGUGGGUAGCUCUGGGGACAAAGUUGAUUCAGAAUUCGACUUGUCGUGCAAGUAGUACACCUGGAAGGUCUUCUGGUGACACGUCGAGAAAGUUACGGACCUCCGGGAUGUCUUUGAUGUCCUUCGUUUCUUGUUUCUUGUCUACUACAUGGGCUAAGAAGGCAUCAUAUUCCUUUCGGAGGUACUUUUGAGCAUUGACGCAAGACAUGAUGUAUAAGUUUGUACUGGGUUUAUCGCCGUAGAUGAGAAGGGUUUUGCCAUUCGGCAGAUUAAGGCGGACGGCCCUUUCGUAACACAAAAUGUUGGCACGAUGAGAACUUAACCAAUCCAUACCAACGAUGAUGUCGAAACUUUUUAUUAUGACCGACAUUAGGUCGAUUUUGAACGAAUGAUUGUCCAGAGUGAGGGUACACCCUGUGUAUAUGUCACUAGUGCGCUCUGCCUUUCCGUUAGUCAUUUCUACGACGUAUGUAUCUUUUAGUGACUAGGGAUUUUGUUUAAGUAGUUGUUUGUAUUCAUGGCUCACGAAACUCCUCUCUGCCCCGCUAUCGAAAAGUAUGCUUGCAUAUGAGUUAUUGAGAAGGAACGUACCGGUAACCACCGUGGGAUCCUUGACUGCUUCUCUGUGUCCUAUAGCCAGGACUCUUCCUACACCCCCAGAAUUGGCGUUUCGUGCCUUUGGGCAAUCUGAUUUGAAGUGCCCCGUUUCCCCACAACCAUAGCAGGCUCAACUUGCUCCGAUGUUGGUGACUUGAGUAAUGGGUUGGGUUGGCGCUUUACAGACUCGAGCAGUGUGUCCCUUCUUUUUUCAAUUGCUGCAAUGCAUUUCCCGAGAAGCACCGGUGUGGUAGAAGUUGCACUUAGGGAGGGUUCCAGCAUAUUCCCUUAAUGGUGUUGGAGUGGCAGCACAAACAGAAACUGUCUAUUGCUUCUUGGCGGAGUCUGGUACCGACUGUUUCUUUUUGUUACUCCUGAAUUUUCUUCUAUUGUUUCCCCCUCUUGCUUGAUCAGGGGUGGUGGUCACAGUACCAUGGCUGGCCCUAUGGUCGAUAAGUUGUUGUGCCAAUUCCUUGGCACUGUCAAAAGUAGUGGGUUUGGAGGCCAGCACACUAUCUUGAAUCUAGGAUGAUAGACCCUAGAGGUAUCAUUCCACCUUCUUUUCUGGAGUGACCAUUGCUAGGCAAAUAAGUGCUAGGUCAUUGAAUCGGGCAGUAUAAGUUUCAAGGUCAGAGACUGACAUCUUGAGACUCCAGAGUUCUUAUUCAAGUUUUUGUACCUCGCCCCUCAAGCAAUACUCCUUCAGCAUCAUUGCCUUCAAGUCCUCCCAGCUCAUGGAGUUAGUCACUGCGAGAGUAAGUGACUUAACUUGACCAUUCCAACAAGUGAGGGCCCUGCCGGUGAAAGUAAAUGUCGCAUAGUUGACCUUGCUCAUUUCGGGGAAAGCACAAACUUCACAGACUGCUUUGGUCCUCUUGAACCAUUGCAUCAGUGUGAUGACACCCCCGCUUCCAUUGAAAGAAUUCAGAUUGCCAUUGGCAAAGUCUUUGUAAGAACACUCUUUUGUACGCCCCGUACUGUCCCCAUGAUUCGAGUGUGUAGCACCAGAUCCAGAACCGCCGGCACCAUUGGUACCCAUAUGUGACAUUACGACCGCCACGACCGCUGUUACCGCAGCUUGAAACAUUGUGGAAUCAAACUGUGGCGGCAGUGGUGGAGGUGGUGCUGCAAUGCUGGACGGUCUGGGAUUUUUCCUUGGCGGCAUAGUUCUGUCAUAAGUUUUAAAGGUGAAAAGUCAGUGAGUCUUCAAUAGUAAGGAUGAGUCGGGUGUUAUUUGAGCUACAUUAUCAGUAUUAUGCCCCAACUUUAUUGUAUUUGCAAGAAAUUCAUAAAUAAAGUCUAUACAAAUAAACUUAUGAAUUUAGUAAUAGUGACUCAACCGAAAACUUGUGUUCUGCUCUGUGCCUGAUCCACUCCUAAAAUUCACUCGACGUAUGCCAGUUGCAUGUAAUUAAGUUUUGAUAAACCGUUGAACCUAAUGAGUCUGUCCUAAAUCCACAACCAAACAAGGAACAGGUCCUAAGGCGGACUCACCAUUUCUAAGUCGACCGCCCCUUAAUUACACAAACUUCGAGGUACACCUUAUGAAUUUUAAAGUUAUCAUUUGCAAAUCGUUUGUAUUAUCAAGUUAUGAGAUCCAAUGCCAAACAUCCAACAAAAUAAAAUGGAAGUCAAUUUAAUUGAUGUAAAUUUGGUACGUAAUGCUUAGGAAAAUUUGAACUCAUAGGAGGUCUACGUUACAUCAAUGUAGAAGAAAAUUUUUGACAGCAUAACGACCCAUCAAGUAGUGUAAUCACUUAGACGUAGGGUCGAACCUACUUGUAAGAAAGAGUAGCACGAACGCAUACUCGAAAUUGUAGUUUUAUAACAAAAUGUGAGUAGUGUAAGCACUACUCGCGGCGGGUGGUAUCUAGUCCAUUGUGGCCUUGAGACGAGGUCGAUGCUCCCUGAAGCUCUACAAUCCGGCGUUCGGCCGUGAUCACUCUCUCCUCGAGAGCUGCGUGCCUCACCUGGUACUACCUUACCUCCGCUCGGGUGACUGUAAGGUCCUCGAUAAGUUGGUCCACGGGAUAUAAGUCCCUUUCCAACUCCUUGGUGUGUGCAUUGGUGGCUUCUACAACCGCGUUGAGAUCCCGAACUUGAUCUGUCAUUUCCCUAUUCUGGUUUCACAAGUUUGCGAUUUGCUGGACCAUGAUGGGGAGGGCUCUGUCAGCCGGUUCCACGUGGCUGAGGUCGUAGUAACCCCGUUGAUCGCCAUAUGGUGAUCGUUAUCAUUGUUGACGGCUCCACCUCUCGAUCACUGUUGCCCAACGGGGCUCAUGCCUGUUGUAGCCGAAACGGUUCGCAGGCACACUGGCGAUGUAAGGAGGGUUGAUGACUUCCUCCUACGGUUCCUUCUCUUCCUCUUCAUCCUCCAUUUCUUCUUCGUCCUCGGGUUCUUCUUCUUCUUUGUCCUCUUCGGGGUCUUCCUCAGGAUCCUCCUCAAUCAUUUCCUCGGGUUCUGCCUCAAGCCAUCCAGCGUUUCCCUCAUUAGGGAAGUAAGGGUCUCUAGGUACAUGGAGUCCCGCCAUGUCAUCUGUACGAGAAUAGGGGGGGGGGGGGGUAAGAGGCACAUAAUGAUUAAAAAAAAAUAUUGUACUUUUAGUAACAUAAAAUACUCCUAUAGUAUUUUAAAUAUUUGUUUGACUCUAAUUGUAGUUCUUGUAUGAGUGUUGGUAGGUUAAUAGACUUGUUGCCCACUACCACUAUCCCCCGACAUAUGCUAGUCACAUCUUGGACAAAUACAGUUGAUCAGGCUAUAUUACUCAUAAACAUGAUUACAUAACCCAAGGCCUAAUGUUAGAGUACAACUCAUCCACUUUUAUUUUUCGUGAUUUCUCCUAGGUGUGCCACUAUACCGGCAUGCAUGCAUGUACUUAUACCUUUANGGGAAAUGGUUUAAUCAGAGAGUCUUAGUCCCAUUGUGUUUAUAGUUUGUAUAUCCUAUAUGGUUUGAUAUAUUAAGUUCACUAUAAACAAUGCUCUGAUACAAAUCUGUCACACCCCCAAACCAAGGAAGUUGUAAGGUUUAAUAACUCUUUCAUGUUAUACAUGUAAUUAUUUAUUGAGGCCAUCAUAGAUUUCACGACUUUUAAAUGAAGUAAGAUUACUUACAGCAUAUGAGGAAAUCAUGAAAAAAAAUCUCAAGAAGUAACAGAGCUUGAAGAGAUAAUGUCUUUUUAGAAUGCUUUGCUCUAUAUCAGCCAAAAAGACAAAAUAAAAUAGCUUGAUAACUUUUCUAAUGUAGAUGUUUUGAGAAUGAAUGGAAUUUGGAUUUGUGACUGAUGAAAGAGAAGUAUGGAGACAACCUUAGAGUAUGAUUCAAAUUCAACACUUUGGUAGAAUGGCAGAAUAAACAAAAAGGCAGUUAACUGUAACUAUGUGCUAAUUUAAUCAAGUAGUUCUGUUUGUUGAGAAAGUCAUGUUUCUAGUUGUUAUGUUUUUAGCUACUAUUUGGUAGAAUGGAAUCAGGGACCCGAUCGAUUAGCAACUGAAAAAUUGAUUAAUAGGAAAGUAAUGUAUACCACAUGAGAGCAGAAGAUGUAGCUACAUUGAUGGUCGGAGCAGAGAGAAGAGUAAAUGUUUGACUUCUAGCAGAGAACAAAGGUGCGUUGAAGGAAGGGUGUGGUCCGGAGACGACUGACGAUGAUUUCCCGAAGACGAUGGACCGGCGAAGAUUGACCAGGGACGAUGGACCGACGACAAUUCACCGGUAACGCUGGUCCGAACUACCAAUGGUUGCUAUGUCGAUUUAGGGAAAUGAGGAAAGAUGUGUUGACGAGAAAGGCGGGGUGACUUUGAAUUUAAGCAUUACAAUGAAAAUAGAAAUAUGGCAUCUCAACUUUUUCCUCAAGUUGGUAUAAAAUGGCCCAAGAAAAGUUUUAGGUCUGAGAAAGGUAGUAUAGUAAAUAUGUUUGAUAAAAAGGUUUUGGUUAGCUGUGCAUGAGUGCACAGGGACUAAGAUAAGGACUUGUCAAAUAAAAUGAGCCUCUUCCAUUUGAAUGAAACUAAAGAUUUGGUCAUUUUCAAAAAUAAAAAAUAUUAAUUUAUGACAGUAACUGAUAGCGACUAAUUUUUCUUCAAUUUGUAAAUCAGUGACUACUAUUAAGUCGUAGUUGCAUAAAUUUUAGAAUAACAAAAAAUGGUUAGUGUUGAGCUGUCAAAGCCAUCAAAUAAAGGGGUAAAAGUAAUUCCUUAAACACUACUACUUUGUACUAAAAAUGUAAUACAAGGUAAGUAGGGUCGAUCCAUAGGAACACGAGAUAAAUGCUUAUACCCUUUUUGCAUAAGGUACAAAUGAUAUCACAAAAGAGGGGGGGGGGAUUUUAAUUCAAAUAAAAGACUGAAAAUUUUAGUAAACAAUUGAUCAAAUAAAAUGAAAUCAAGGUUUAUAAAAUACUCCAACUCAAUGUAAGACUAAUUAGAAAUGUGAUUCAAAGUAUGAAAUGAUAUUUCUUUAAUUAUAUAUAAGUUGGUACUUAGAAUUGCUAAGAAGCUCUAGCCAUUCACAUUCACCAUUUUAAUUAAUCAAAAUAAGUUCUUUGAUUAAUUCUAAUCUAACCAAUCUAAUCUAAACAAGUUCUUAGAAUUAGAUGGAAAGAUUGCAUUAUGCUUUGUGUGAAUUUUACCAACAACAUUCAAUACUCCUCAUAAGCUUGGGAAUAUAAGAAUGUGUGAAUUUGAUUUACACCAGAUUUAUUCUAAGAAAGUUCAGUCUAGUGUUUGUUACUUGUUCUAUAUGACAAAACAAUUACGGAUUUUGCAUAUUAAUUAACUUGAAUGAAUCAACCCUAACUCAAUUAGCCAAAAAGAACUAGAAUUGAAAUCAAACCUUCAAUUAAAACAAAAUCAACAUCACUAGAUAGCAUUUAAAACAAACACCAAGUCAAAUGAUUGAAUUCAAAUCACGCACAAUACCUAAUACAUGAAGUUGGAGAAUUAAGUUUCUAGCCACUCAUGACUAGAACAAAACACAAACCUAGAAAUUGAAAUUAAAGUCUUACAAAUUGAAAUCCAACUAAAAUCCAAUUGUUUCCAAGUGACAAUUGCCUUCAAAAUGCUCCCCUAAAUUGCCUCCAGAAUUCACAAAAUCGACUUCCUUUCUAAUGGAACCGGUUGCACCUUUUUAGAAAGAAGAUAAAUUGUUUAAAACUUACAACCUCGUUUACACGACCCGUGUAAAUUAACACUACCAUUUACAAGGCCGUGUAAACACAAAAACUAUACUGCUUAAUUUUUUCAUGCCUUCAAAGUACACUACUCGUGAGUAUGCAUUUACACGACCUGUGUAAACACAAGGCUUCCAUUUACACGGCCGUGUAAAUCUCUGAAUAUUCAAAACCUUAUUGUCAUUGAUAUCUUCCUCCUCGGUACUCUGCAAGUCCCGAAACUUCAUCUACAUCCUUAAUUCAUCUCUCCAAGUAAGAUCCUACCUCCAAAAAUCUAUGAAAUAUCAUAAAAGUGUGUGAAUGAAAUUGCCUCAUGAAAAAUCCCGAAAAACAUGCAAAAUACAUGAGGUUCAGCCUAUAUGCAAUGCACUUUUAUGAAGUAAAACUACAAAAUGGGUGCAUAAAAUGAACCUAACAAAUCUCCCCAAGCUUAAACCUUUCUUGUCCUCAAGAAGGCACAAAAAAAUUUAGAAAGGAGAAAAUAAAAGUAAAGAAGAGAAACAAAAAUCAAAAUCAAAACUUUUGAAACCUAAUGCAAAAAAAAAAAAAUCAAAACAAACAUGAAAAAGAUCCAACCCAAUUAUCCUUGUUUUUGUAGCAUAGAUGAGAAUGUACAUGUCAUGCCUUGAGUCAACUUGGCUUUAGUCUCAAAAUAUUAUACAACAAUAGAAAUAACACUUUUAGCCACUCCCUAAUGCAACUCAACAGAAUCAAAGAUCACAACAGUUGUUCCCUCUCAAAAGCAUCAAGUCAAUUCAUGGAACAAAUUGUGGUCUUACUCUCGUGAAAUUGUAUGUGACAGAACAUGCUCAAUCAUCUUUGUUUUACAAAAUAUGACAAUGAACAAAUCUAACUAUUUGUUGAUUAACAACAAUCUUUUUCUAAAAAAUAUCUUCUAAAAAUUCCCUAGUAUUUACCCAGAUUGGUUACAAAUUUCAAACCACUUACACUAGUCAAAGUAAUUAACAUUCAGUCCUAAUGUCAUAAGUUCAAAUCCAAGUCCAAAGGAAUCUUUUGGCAGCUAAACAUUUUUCCUAAACAUAUUACUCAAUUAAAAUAUAAUUACAAAUAUAUACAAACUUUAUAAUUACAUUUUCCUACAAAUAAAGCGCAUGAUUUUCUUUGAAAUCCGUGUAACGAGCUUUCAACCAACACAUCCAGAUCAAAUGACCUUAGUGUGCUAGAUUUAAAACGAUCCAUCGGGUUUACUUGCCCGAACCUCAAAGGCCACAAAUUAGAUUUUUUUGGGUUCCUAUAUAUAUAUAUAUAUAUAUNNNNNNNNNNNNNNNNNNNNNNNNNNNNNNUAUAUAUAUAUAUAUACAUAUUGUUAUUAUUAAGUUCAUGAAUUUCUAUGGAACCUGUGUAGCGAACUUUCAACCCAAUCAGUUUCAAACUAUUCAGAUUUAGGUGAUUAGGUGUAGAACACCUCUCGGAGUUUACUCAUUCAAGUUCCAAAGGUCAAAUUAAAAUAAUAAUAAUUUUUUUUAAACAAAGAUAACACAUAACACUCUUAUAAACUAAUAUGCUAGGCCUAUUUCUUUAUAUUUUCGUCCUUGAAUUUUCUAUUGUGGGAUACCUCAAGGUCUAUUACCGUGAGGGACUUCUAGACAUUUUUUCGGGGGACUGAAGUCAGCAUAUAAAGAUUCGUAAGUAUAGUUGGAUACUAUGUCCCCAAGCAGGGUAUAUAAAAGGGAAUGAGUAGAAAGGACUUUUUAGAGCGCUGGAAGGCUCGGGACACUGAAAUUUUUUUAUUCUUUUUAUGAUUUCUUGAAUUUGACAUUUUAAGUUCAAUUGAGCACUUACUAUUCAUAAGACUAGUCAUUCGUCCCAAAGAUCGACUCAUACCUGCUGUUAUGCUCCAAUGUUGACAAUCUUCUCACUUUCUGUUUUGCACAAGUAACUUUGGGCUUCGGGAGGUGUGUUCGUGUGUGAAUAGAUUGAUUUUAGAUUUUCAAUAAAAAGAGCAAAUAUAAUCUCAAGGCAUACGAUUCACUUACCAGCUCGACUGUUUUGAGAAGAUUCGAUUGCUUGGGAUUGAAUCAACAUUUUUUUUAAACAUGAAUAGAAUGCAAAAAUUAAGAUGCAAAAUGCAAAAAAUAAUAAAAAUAGAAUAGAAAGAAAAUACUUGUAGUUUUUGAAAAAUUUAAUAUGCUGAAAACGAGAGAAGUAUAAAAAUAAAAAUAAAAAUGAGAAAGAAAAACAGAAUUAUGCAAUAUGUACACAACUGCAACCUACAUGCCACAAGAUCUAUGCAUGGAUGUAUACCUCUCCCCAAGCUUAAAAUAUAACAUCGUCCUCGAUGCUUGUAGAGAGGCAUAGUCGUCCUAUUGAGGGCCGGGCGGUGCUGGAUGUGGUGGGAACUAUGGAGGGUAGUAGGGCUGAUAACCAGUAGGAUAAUAUAGGGGCCACUAGGGUUGAGAUGUUGAUGGUUGUUGGUGUGGUGAAAGGACAAGUACUCGGUGGAGGUCGCUCAUCAAAUAGGGAAUAUUGUGGUUGUGUUGCUCUUGAGUUGCCCAUCUCUAAUCAAACUCAGCCCACCGCAACUCCUGUUGGGCCCAACGCUCCUCCUGAAGAUUACGGUAGUCCUGAAAUUCCGAAGUAUGUUCAGCAACACCCGUUUAAAUCUAUCCCACCUCCUGCAGUUGGCUCAUGUAAUGGUGGUCUAAGCGUGCAAACUCGCCCAUGUAGAUGUUGUGUUCGGGAAAAGGAAUGGGGCGAGGUGAGCUGGAAGCACCUGCAGUUGAAGCAGGAGUUUGAGGAAUGGUGGUUGGAGGUCUACGGGCUACAAUAACACCCAAGUUGGACUGGAGGUGACAAUUGGUAGAUGAGAUGUCAUUGGCCAAGGCUAAUAUCUUCUUAUUUUGGUUGUCAAUGCAUAGAUAUUCUUUACCAUCGACGGUCCAAUGAACAUCCCAAUUGAAAUUGCGGUGAAAGAGGUGCAUGGUCUCCAUAACAUCAAUAGACAGACGAGUGCGGCCGGGAAUAAUAUCGGCUGGGUUGUUUGGUAGGUGGAGGCCAAGAUGUUCAGCUCUAAUAGAAACCAUUCCGCCACAAUAAAGCUGGCCACCAUUACUCAUGGAAUUUCUGAGCUUUUUUGAAUUACCCAACACCCGAAGUGAGGAACUUCCUCAGGCUUGUGAAUCAUGCAUCACAGGACUUCCAAUUCUUUCUUGUUUGCCUUGCUAAUCUCUUCUUAAGGAAACAGGAGAGAAGCAAUGAUCUAGUGUGUGACCUUAAGAACCGGAUGAAUGAUACUGGAAGCCUUUUUCGUGCCCGACUGAAACUCGUAUUCACAAGAGAUGGUCUCCAAAAUCUUCCACAACUUUGUGUUGAGUCCAUUUGUGUUGCGACUUGGGCCAUAUAUUUUGUUUCCGGAUUGGGCCUGUCCAUCCGUGUCUAUCUAGAUUAGUUUCGUUGUUAUCUAGAUUAGCUGUUAGGCUUAUAGUAUAUAUAUGCAUGCAUGUAUGCGUAUAUUAAAGAGAGUGUGGUUAAUCACGUUGAUUCUUGUAACCCUAAACACCUCUACAGAUUGAAGUUCUUUGUCGAGCUCUUCUGAGGUGUUAUCACAUUAAUCAUACGACAUAUUCAAUGCCAUACUUGUGUUCUUUAUUACGUUCUUAUUUAAUAUUCUGCUUAGAAUCAUACGAUCCUAAAAGAACUUUGUUCUAACAAUUGGUAUCAGAGCAGGAGACUGUGUGAUCAAUACACAUUCCUUCUGUAUUCAUAAUACUUUAGGGUUUCCGCUUUUAUCGUAUAAAUAGAAGCCGUCGUCUUCAUAUCGACGACAACUCUGUUUUUGAUAAAACCCUAAUCUCAAGUUUACAGGUUUGAUUCUAGCAGCUCACCAUGUCUCACGAUGAUUCGCAUACAAACCCCAUUAACAUCUCAAACAGCAUCGGAUCAACAACCAGAGUACCCAUACUCUAUACUCAAGACUACGAAGUAUGGGCUCAUCACUUUGAAGAUUAUGUGGUUGGAUAUGAAGACAAUGGCUAUCUCAUCUGGGAAGCUAUCACUCUUGGACCGUUUGUACAUUUGGGAACAAACACAACUGUUAAGUCGCAAACGGAUUACAACAAGUUGGUGACGGAUGUUGAGAAGAUGCCACAGGAUGAGAAGGAAAAGCUCUUGUGUAACGUUAAAGCCAUGCAAAUGAUAAGAGUCGCCCUGCAAUCUGACACCUUUCGGCUAGUAGGUUCAUGCACAACUGCUAAAGAGAUCUGGGAUAGGUUGAAGGAACUUUACUCAACUGAUGAAGAUCUGGAACACUCCCUUCAAACUCUGUUACUGUCAGAAUUUGGAGUUUUCGAACAAAAACCUGAAGAGAAGCUUGUACAGACAUUUGAUCGGUUAAAUCAUCUCCUCAGUAAGAUGAUCAAGCAUGGGAUAUAGAGAAAGCUAAUCAAACAGAAAGUAACGUUCAUGAACGGGCUGAGACCAGAAUGGAUGGCUGUGGUUUCCACUAUGAAGGUGCAUGAACAGUUCAAAUCGUACUCGCUGGCGAAACUAGUAGGUAUACUAAAGUCUCAUGAAAGUGUUGUAACCAAGGAAGCGAAAGUGGUCUCUGGUGUGGGAUCGUUGGCUCUUGUUUCUAAAGGAAAAAGUACUGCAGAAGAAGAAGAAGAGCCAGACAUUUCAGAGUGCGACCUUACAAGUGAGGAAUAUGCCUUGAUGGUCACAAAUCCAAAGAAAUUUGCAAGGAGAAAAUUUCCCGUCAGCAAGAACCGAAACUGGCAGGGAAGUUAUAGUUCUGAAAAAAAUGAAGGAUGAACCGAAAGUCUCCUCUCAAAAGGAUGAAGAGAAAAAGGAGAGCAAGCUUGUUGGAGACUCUGGAUACGACUGCAACUAUUGUCACGGCAGGAACCAUUUCUCCAAAGAUUGCAUGUUGAGAAAGAUGGCUGAGAAAAGAGAGGGGGAAGAUGAUGAGGCGUAUUAUAUGUGAAAAUUAGAAGUAAAGAAGAAAAAGGCGUCCAACAACUCGAUAAAUGCCUUAAUCGUACAGGAGAAUGUUGGGGAAGAUGAGUUCGGUGGCGUAGAAGUCUGGUCAACCGACUCUGAAGACGAAGAGGUUAGAAGGCCCACUCAUGGAAAGCGUGUGUGGAAAAGAAUGAAGGUUCGGGUGGAAAGUGCUUUAUCGUCACUGCUGGUCCAUCAACUGAAAGUGCAGAUACGAAACCGAACCUGACAGAAAACAAGUGUUUUGCGGCUAAGCCGGUGAGUGAGAAGAUCAAUGGCUGCGAUCGAUUGAUCAAAAAGGUACAUUCUAUUCUUGAGUCUCUUAAAAUUUCAAAAACUGAUUAUCAAGAAGAAUUAAAUGAAUUAAACUUUAAAUUUUCUAACCUAAGUAGUAGCCUCAUGCAAACCCGCUUAGCGAAUUCUAACCUAACUGACCAACUCGGCAGAGUGUAUUCAAAAAGUGAGGAAAGGAGAAUGUGGAUUAAGCUGAAGGAAGCGGAGUUAGUUAGAGCUAGGGAUGAAAGUAUUUAUUUGCAAAGAGACAAUUUAAAGUUAUUAAAACAAAGAAAUGUUUUCUGUUUAAUUGCUAAGCGUCUUUAUACUAAUAUUACUCAAUUACAUUUAAGCUGUGAAAUUGGAAAGAAAAUUCAUAAAAUGAUUUUGCCCUUUCUUGAAUUUAAGGAAGAUGAAGUUAUAGCAGAAUGUGAAUCAGAAGUGUCCUCUAAAGAGACAUCAAGUUCGUAUAGGCUAGAUUUGGAUAAGACAGAAACCUUCAUCGAUUCUAAGGAACAUAAGAGUAUGUUAAAAAUAUCUUAGAUGGAAAUGAUAGGCAAAAGAUUAAAACUGAAACUAUACAAACAUUCGAUCGGUCAAAUGCCAAAAUUGUUAAAGAUAAUAAAAUAAACUUAGAUAAUUUGUCUGAAUUUGAUGCGGAAAGCGAGACGAGUGAAAUCUCAGUAGAGGAUGAAGUUGAUUGCUCUAAGUUUAUGAAAAAUGAAACCAAGAAUGAAAAACCUCUUAUAUCAGAAAACUCCGUUGAGUUUGCUCGUCUGUCAAAAGAACAAAAACCAAAACUCAAGGAAAAGGCCUUGGUCUAUCAAAAAGUUCAGACCGUGCCAAAUCAGGUUUAUGCUGUGACUGGGGUCACUCAAAGGCAAACGGCAGAAUUAAGAAUCAUAGUUGACGAAGAUAACGCUGAAGGAUGCGAAGACUAUUUCUGGUCUGCUCCUGUUGACAACGCAGAAGAGACUGUGGGACUAUCUGAGAAAACCACAUGGAGAGUCAAAGGUAGAUACAUACCAGAACCCAUCAACAAACCCUCCUGUUUCGACAUUCCAAGCUCAAGUGGAUCCAAAGAUGUUCCUGAGGAACCAAUGGUUGAACCUGUUGUUCCAAUCAAGAGGGAAGAACCGAAAGUUCAAACUGAGAAGAGUACAGAAUCUAAAAUGAAAGGUAAGACAACUGCAACUCAGAAGGAGAAACCAAAGGCCAGCUUCAAUGUUCACAAAUCUCAGAAGGAGUUAGCUGAACAGAAACGCUUGAGAAAUCAGAGAUAUGCCACGAAUCUGAAUGAAAGGAAAAGGCAUUGGAAUUCUCUAAAUCCCAACUAUGAGCCUCCCAGGAAAGGAUCCAUGGACAAGGGAAAGGAAAAGUUGAAGGAAAAUUUCAGUCCAAAUUCCUACUAUUCCAAAUCCCAGAACCGAAAGUCAUGUCUCGGUCCUGAACCCAUUUUUGGUUCUCGACCUAGAUUCGGUCCUCAACCUAGAUUCGGUCCUCGACCCAGAUUCAGUUCUAAUCCCAGAUUCGGUCCCAAUCCUAGUUAUGGAUCCUCCAAGUCCCAAGUUGAAACAAAUUCUUUAAAGGAAAUCAAAGGAAAAGCAAAGCUGGUAUCAGACUCUGAGAAGGAAAAUAAGAAAUCCUCCACUAAACCUAGGAAUCAAACGAAAAAUCCUAAACCAUCAAAAACAAACCCAACUAAUACACCAAAAUUUAAAGAAGAUAAAACAAAAAUCAAUGUGUAUACCAUUAAAAGAAAAGAUCAAACCACUCUUAUUAAACGAACUUAUUUAGUUGAUGUUUCUGUAGUAAUUCCUUUCUCUGUGAAAAACUCACCAGGACCCAAGAAACUUUAGGUUCCUAAAUCUGCUUAAAUUUGUAGGUAAUCAGUGACGAGCAGUUUGACGACGAAUGGUAUAUAGAUAGUGGCUGCUCACGUCACAUGACAGGGAGGAAGGAGGAGCUGAGAGAGUUUCGGUCCCUGAAAGAUGGUGGGUCUGUGAAGUUUGGAAACAAUUCCUAUGGAACAAUCAAAGGAUACGGCAUGAUAUCUAAUGGAGACUUCUCGAUCAGAAAGGUGGCUUAUGUAGAAGGAUUGCAACACAAUCUCAUCAGCGUGUCGCAAUUAGUUGUAGGCACAGGUUUGAAGGUAUCAUUCGAUGAUGAGGGGUCUGAGAUAAUGGAAAAACACGAACUAUCUUAACCCAAUUCGAGGGACACCAACUAUCUGUCUGCUGUCAAAGGCAAACACCGAUGAAAGCUGGUUAUGGCAUCGACGUCUAUCACACCUAAAUUUCAAAGACAUCAACAAAUUAGUGAUUGGUGAUCACGUUCAAGGCCUUCCUCUUCUCAAGUUCGAAAAGGAGCAUUUAUGUGCAGCAUGUGAGAUGGGUAAACAGAGCAGAAGAAGCCACCCUACACACAUUAAUACUAAGAUAGUGGAACCACUUGAACUGUUACACAUUGAUUUAUGUGGACCUUCUGCUAUAGAGAGUAUCGGUGGAAGUAAGUACAUUCAUGUCAUUGUAGAUGAUUUUUCACGCUUCACUUGGGUUUUCUUUCUUAAGCAGAAAUCAGAUGCUAUUCCUAAGCUGAAGGCAUUCAUCAAGCAAGUGGAAGUACAACUAAAGAAAACGGUGAGGACUUUUUGGCUGAUAAGGGGAUAACUCACAAUUUUUUGGCCCCUUAUACACCACAACAGAAUGGGAUUGUUGAAAGACGAAACUGCUCGUUAUGUUAAGCAGCCAGAACCAUGCUAAGUUUCGCUUCCCUACCUUUAUACUUCUGGGCUGAUGCAAUUGCCGUUGCAUGCUAUACUCAUAAUCGGUCCUUACUCAACAAGAGAUUCUCCAUAACUCCUUAUGAGAUCUUAAACAAUAGGAAGCCGAAUGUCAAAUUUUUCCAUAUCUUUGGUUCAAGGUGCUUUAUUCUUAAUUCUAAAGAGAACCGAAAUAAGUUUGAUGUUAAAGCCGAUGAGGGCAUAUUUCUGGGUUACUCUCUGUCAUCAAAAGCAUACAGGGUGUUGAAUAAGUAUUCCAAAAAAAUUGAAGAGACUUAUUAUGUCACCUUUGAUGACAAUUAUAUGCCGAAGGUUCAAAGGACCGACAGUGCCCUAGGAGAUAUAUUCCCAGAAUCUGGACAGGUCUCGGUUCCAAUAUCGAACCUGUUUGAGGAAUACAUUCGGCUAUUCGAUGAACUAGAAAAAGCAAUUCAUUCAGAGGCAACGGCAGCAGAUAACAAACUCGACAAUCUCAAGAAGGUCAUAGACGAAGCUACUAAAGAGAUGAAGAGUGAACAACCAAGUACUAAGUCAUCAACAAGCUCUCCAAACAAAGAUUCAAUGUUCCAGGGGGAGAGCUCUACAAAUUCAAAGACAACCGAAGUUUCUGUUGAGGGGGAGAAUCCAAGUUCAUCCCCAACAACUAAAGGUUCAGAUGAUAGGGAAAAUACCGAUCCAAAACAAACAAGUGAUAGUCAAAUCGAGGGGGAGAAACCAACCUCCACAAGAAAUGCAGACUCUAAUGCUGACAGAGAUUUCACUUCGCCAGUCGAGGGGGAGAAGGAGAAAGAAAGUGAUAGUUCUACUGAUGAAGGUGAGGGUGAUCUGUCAGAUGUUGAAAUAGAAGUAGAAGCUGAAUUGAAUCCAGAAUAUGAUCCAAGCUAUCCUCCAUUAGUGAAAUGGACAAAGGACCAUCCCAAAGAGCAAAUUAUUGGUGAAACCUCAGAAAGUGUUCUUACUCGAUCUCAACUGAAGGCGAAACAAACUGCAUUAUUCUCUAAAGUGGAAUUUUGUAUGUUUAAUUCGUUUAUUUCCAAAAUUGAGCCGAAAACUGUAAAUGCUGCACUUGAUCAUUCAGAUUGGGUUCAAGCAAUGCAGGAUGAGCUCCAUGAGUUCGAACGCAACAGAGUCUGGAGGUUGAUUCCUACACUGAAAGAUGCUUCUGUUGUCGGCCUGAAAUGGUGUUUAGAAAUAAGCUGGACAAAGAAGGGAAUGUCAUUCGUAACAAGGCUCGGUUGGUGGUAAAAGGUUAUUGUCAAGAAGAAGGGUUAGAUUAUGAAGAAACCUUUGCUCCAGUAGCAAGGUUAGAAUCUGUCAGAAUCUUUCUUGCAUAUGCUGCUCACAAGAACUUCAAAGUUUUCCAAAUGGAUGUCAAAUGCGCUUUCUUCAAUGGAGAAUUAGAAGAAACCGUUUAUGUUGAGCAACCGCCUGGUUUUGUGAAUGAAAAAUACCCUGAUCAUUGCUAUGUGCUGGAUAAAGCUGUCUAUGGGCUAAAACAACCACCGAGAGCCUGGUAUGAAAUGCUAACUCGCUUCUUGAAAAUGUCGAAAUUUAAACAAGGUUCGGUUGACCCAACCUUCUUUCGUAAGAAGGAAGGCGAACAUUUGAUGAUUGUUCAGAUUUAUGUUGAUGAUAUCAUCUUCGGCUCCACGAAUCCUAGCUUAACAGCUGAAUUCAGGAAGUUGAUGGAGACUAAAUUUGAAAUGAGCACAAUGGGUCCAAUUAACUUUUUCCUUGGUUUGAAUAUUAGACAGGGACCAGAAGGUAUCUUUAUAAACCAGGAAGCAUACACCAAGAACUUACUGACAAAAUUUGGAAUGAAGGGUGAUUCAAAAGUGAAGGUUCCUAUGGCAUUUGGCACUAAGCUAACCCCAUCUUUGGAGAAACCUGUUGUGGAUAUAACACUUUAUCAUCAAAUGAUCGGGUCCCUUAUGUAUCUAACAACUAGUAGACCAGAUAUUAUGUUUUCUGUUUGUUACUGUGCCAGGUUUCAAGCCAAUCCAAGAGAACCUCACAUGCUUGCUGUGAAGAACAUUUUUCGAUAUCUGAAGAAAACUUCAUCUCUCGGUCUCUGGUAUCCUGCAAGAUUUGGAUUCUUCAUCCAAGCCUUCUCUGAUGCUGAUCUAGGAGGAUGUGGACUGGACAGAAAGAGUACUACAAGUGGAUGCCAAUUUUUUGACGGGAAACUUGUUAGUUGGCAGUCCAAGAAACAAACCUGUGUUUCGUUAUCCACAGCCGAAGCUGAAUAUAUUGUUGCAGCAUCUUGCACCUCUCAAGUGGUUUGGAUUCAAAGUCAACUAAGAGAUUAUGGGCUAAGUAUGAAGAAGAUUCCUCUCUAUUGCGACUCUGAAAGUGCAAUUAGGAUUUGUCAUAAUCCAGUGCAACACUCAAAAACCAAGCACAUUUCACUUAGGUAUCAUUUCAUCAAGGAUCAUGUAGAAGAUGGGAACGUGGAAGUACACUUUGUUCGAUCUGCUGAUCAACUGGCCGACAUCUUUACUAAAGCCUUACCAGAGGCAACCUUUAACAAAAUCUUACAAGGCUUGGGCAUGAUGGAAGGAGAGUCGGUACCGAAUCCUCAAAUCUCUCAUUAAAAAAAAUUAGACAACCGAAAUGGACAGACCGCUCGGUCUAUUUCGGCUCUAGACUUUUAGGGAACCGAAAUGGACAGACCGCUCGGUCUAUCUCGGCUCCGUAAUUUUCUGGAACCGAAAUGAACCGAACGCUCGGUCUAUUUCGGUUCACUCAUUUAAAGAUAAGGUUUCGGUUGUAUAUUCUGUGCAUAUCUUUCUUUUGAUUUGAACUUAAUUAUUUUAUCAUUCUGUUUUUUAUUCUUUUUCAGAAAAUUUCAAAAAUCCAAAAAUAUUCUAUCUUUCUGUUUUUAUUCUUUUUCAGAAAAUUUCAAAAGUCCUUAAUUAUUUUAUCUUUCUGUUUUUUAUUCUUUUUCAUAAAAUUUCAAAAAUCCAAAAUAUUUUAUCUUUCUGUUUUUAUUAUUUUUCAGAGAAAUUCAAAACUUUCACUAAGUUUUAUUUGUCUCGUAUGUUUGUCUGUUUGGUUUGUUUGGUGUGUUUCUUUACUUUUCAUAGGUGAUAUGAAUACCCGUAUAACCGACUGUGGAUCUAAGGAAGGUAUGAUUCAAUUUCAAAAUGAACUAGUUAAGGGUCCCUAGAAGCAUGCUGCUGCAUGUUGUCUUAAGCCUCUACGAUCUUGAGCAGGCCUUAAUGAUUCGAUCUACACCUAUCGUUUCUUCCAAAUUAGGAUAAUUUAUAUUGCUCGUUCUAGAGCUACUUUACUCUUCUCAUAUGAGUUAAGAGUUUCUCUGCUUUGUCAGGAUUAUCUAGCAGAAGGUAAAUUUGGUUCUUUAGCCACCUCCUAAUAUUCUCCAUCUACUUUCGGUUCACCAAAGUAACCCUUAAGACUCUCGGUCUUUACCACUGAGGUUUAUGGUUACACAACAUCUGUGUUUGUGAUCUUAGAUACGUUUACCACGUGCUGAGUGAAACCCAAUAUCCAACACCAAAAAUGAAUUGACGGUGAAUUAUAUAUUCAAGAACUUACUGGUUACCUAAGGAAAUCUCUCUUUUUAUUUUUGUGUGAUCUUUUAUGAAAUUGUCUACUACCAAGGAAUUUCUUCCUAAAGAGAUCCAUUUUUUUUUUGAGAUUUCUGAUUUCUCCAUAGUCACUAAAACAAUAAAUUCCACCUACCUGUUCUACAAACCACAUCGGUCUCACAGGUACUUCUUCCAACGUUCGGUUUUAUGUUAAAACUCGAAGUUCGGAUGAAGAUAAGCUACCCUAAGCCUAUGAUUAAAAGAAGCCUUUCAAUGUUUAUUAACAAACAGUUGAUCGUAUUUUUCGGGAAACCACACAAGCACUUCAAGUCUCUCUUGACUUUGAAGGAAGUGAUUCUUGCCCGGAAUCCUCUGCUUUUUGUCUAAUAAUAACACAUCAUUCACAUCCCAUACACAUUUGAUUUGUUUCUUUAUCUUUGUCACACUUAUGCACGAAAUUUUUUAUUUUCCAACAUUCUGGUUACUGUUUGGUUUGAGUUUUGGGUUAUCUAUUGCAACCAAACAAGGGGCUAUUGUGGAAUUUCAAAUGCUGAUUGAAGAUAAGAUUUAGGCGCAUGAAUUUGAACGGUUUCUCAAGCCAUGCGUGUUGACGUAUACCUGGGAGUAACCACACUGUCACAUCGCGCUUUUUCAGGUGAAGUUUUAGUGAUCUCAUCAUAAUCAUCACAGUUUUCUCUCUCCAGGCAAUGGUAUAUAAAAGAGUUGAACAUUUUAUUUGUCUUUUACCAGCAUUCAAUUCUCUCAAACUUAAACGACAAGUAAACACUAUUCAUCUUCUUCUUCAUUCAUCAAUGGCGACUUCCUCUUCAGUACAUGAACACACGACAUCAUCAUCCUUGCUCACCAUUAAACCUAACCAAAAUAUGAUNCUCACCAUUACCUAACCAAAAUAUGAUCAUCGAACUUAAUCCGUUCUUGUAUGACUCAUAUAUGUUGCAGGUUGUGGAAUAUUUAAAAUAAUCCCCUUGGUUUUAGCCCUAACCCAGGUUGAAGUAGUCUGAUGAGAUUUGUAAUCGAGUUUAAUGAUCAAAUCACGUAAGAAUUAAGAAAUAAGAAAUACGAUGAACACGAGAGUAAAUAUAAUAUUUGAUCAGCUCAUAUUAUGCUUUCGAUUUUACAGAGUACAAAAGAAUUCUCUGUAAAGAGUAUGUGAAAAGUUGAGUUCUCACUCAGUACAGACUCCUAUUUAUAGGUAAACAAAAGCAUAACAAAAUACUAAGGACUAGACAUUAAGACUUCAAUACAAUGCCUUAGUAAAUAUAACAUUACAUCCGAAGACUCUACUUACAAAGACUAGAGAUCCUUCGUAACAACAAAACUAACACUUUGACUUAUUACAACAUUUAUACCCUAACAAUCUCCCCCUUUGGAAUUAAGGUCGAAGUCUUCAUGAAGUUAGUAGUUGAACAACAUACAUCAGCACUCUUCGGAUUUCCAUGUAUCAAGAGAUAACAUUCUUUAUCUCCUUCUUGUCUCCUUCUGAAUUCUUCUUGCAAUGAUUCAUACGAACAAUUAAGUUCGUAUAUUGCGAAUUUGUAUAUCUUUCCACUUCAGAGGCUUGAAACAAGAAUCUCUUGGCUCUUCCAGCUUUAUCUUUUCCUACGAAGACUAUCCCCAAUGGCUUUAAGCAUAUUUCUCUGUCUUCGUACUUUUUCAACUCAACCUGCUUCUUCGUAGGAGCCAUUGGUGUUGUAAUGUCGAUGCCUUUAACAGUAGCAAGCUCGACAUCAGUUUGAGCUAGGCAUUCGAAAUAAUUCUCCAAGAAAAUUUUUAUAUGCCUACACCCAAGACUGAAGACAUCUGGUUCUGUUUCUUGGAGGAAAGAAAAGGACUUGUCUUUAAGGAUCAGAGCAACAUUGAUGAGAUCGUAAGUGUUCAUCAAUGGAAAGUCCGCCACAUUGAACUCUUGUAUCUUUCCACUUGCUCUUGUCACAACAUACUUCAAAUUCUGAAACUUUCCUUCGAAAAUAACAUCCCUUUUUAUGGAUAUCACCUUCUUAAUCUUCUCCAAGAACCAAACUUCUUCUUGAGCCUUUGCUAACACUGCAUGAAAUCGAAUUUUCAUCUUCUUUCCCUCUUCGACAUCCAUGUACUUUGUCUCUGAUUUAAACUGUGGCAUGACGAACAUCAUCUCAUUGAUCGGAAAAUCAAGUUGACCAUAAUUCGUAUUUGUUACCACAAAACUCUUCUUUGGAAUCUUUUCAAACGAGUACAUAUGAUCGAACAUCACCCUUGACUCAAUAGUUUCGUAGUUGAACAAUUUCGAAGGAUCCCCCUUAUCAACAUUCGAACCUUCAAGAGCUCUUUGUCGCAUAAUACUUUCCACAUGCCUCAUUCUUUCAACUUCCGCUGCCACCUCAGCUUUUAUCUCUUUGUUAGUCUUCUCAACCAAGACUCCUUUUCCUUUAUCUUUAACAUUCGAAGGAGCUGCAUUAUUUGACGAAGAAACAUUUGUAGAAACAACAUUCCCAGUUAAAAUACCUUUUGUAAUAGGUCUUGAAAUUGGAACAGUUGUAGUCACAAUCCAAAUGACUGGAGCAGCUGAAACUAUUGUUGGUUUGACCACAACUUUCGAAGGAUAAACUUUUCCUACCACCUUCGAAUCUUCAGUUUCUUCUCAUGUUCCCCAGCCUUUGCUUGAACAACCUUUUCUCCCCCUUGCACCUCUGUGACAGCAGGCGGGGCAUCUGAUACAUUCGACAAAAGGCUUGAGAUUCGAAGUAAUGGAGUAAGAUGUUUUUGAAGAAUGGCUUCGAAAUGAAUGAAUUUCUGGGAAAGAAAUUCUUGAGAGAUAAUCGGAGAAGAGGAUUUCGAAGAAAUUUCUUUGAGUUCUUUCAGCAGCUUCACCAACUCUCCGAAAUGUUGUUCUUCUGUGGCUGAAAGAGAGAUCAUCUGAGGAUUCACUGGUUCGAACAUCCUAACACAUUGAACAACCGCAUCACAAAUGAUANCCUAACACAUUGAACAACCGCAUCACAAAUGAUAUCGAUCUUCUGAUNNNNNNNNNNNNNNNNNNNNNNNNNNNNNNNNNNNNNNNNNNNNNNNNNNNNNNNNNNNNNNNNNNNNNNNNNNNNNNNNNNNNNNNNNNNNNNNNNNNNUACUAAGGACUAGACAUUAAGACUAUUCAAUAAAAUGCCUUAGUAAAUAUAACAUUACAUCCGAAGACUCUACUUACGAAGACUAGAGAUCCUUCGUAACAACAAAACUAACACUUCGACUUAUUACAACAUUUAUACCCUAACAAUCUCCCCCUUUGGAAUAAAGGUCGAAGUCUUCAUGAAGUUAGUAGUUGAACAACAUACAUCAAUACUCUUCGGAUUUCCAUGUACCAAGAGAUAACUUUCUUUAUCUCCUUCUUGUCUCCUUCUGAAUUCUUCUUGCAAUGAUUCAUACGAACAAUUAAGUUUGUAUAUUGCGAAUUUGUAUAUCUUUCCACUUCAGAGGUUUGAAACAAGAAUCUCUUGGCUCUUCCAGCUUUAUCUUUUCCUGCGAAGACUAUCCCCAAUGGCUUUAAACAUAUUUCUCCGUCUUUGUACUUUCUCAACUCAACCUGCUUCUUCGUAGGAGCCAUUGGUGCUGUAAUGUCGAUGCAUUUAACAAUAGCAAGCUCGACAUCAGUUUGAGCUAGACAUUCGAAAUAAUUCUCCAAGAAAAUUUUUAUAUGCCUACACCCAAGACUGAAGACAUCUGGUUCUAUUUCUUGGAGGAAAGAAAAGGAUUUGUCUUUAAGUAUCAAAGCAACAUUGAUGAGAUCGUAAGUGUUCAUCAAUGGAAAGUCCGCCACAGUGAACUCUUGUAUCUUUCCACUUGCUCUUGUCACAACAUACUUUAAGUUCUGAAACUUUCCUUCGAAAAUAACAUCCCUUUUUAUGGAUAUCACCUUCUUUAUCUUCUCCAAGUACCAAACUUCUUCUUGAGCCUUUGCCAACACUGCAUGAAAUCGAAUUUUCAUCUUCUUUCCCUCUUCGACAUCCAUAGACUUUGUUUCUGCUUUGAACUGUGGCAUGACAAACAUCAUCUCGUUGAUCGGAAAAUCAAGUUGGCCAUAAUCCGUAUUUGUUACCACAAAACUCUUCUUUGGAAUCUUUUCAAACGAGUACAUAUGGUCGAACAUCACUCUUGAUUCAAUAGUUUCGUAGUUGAACAAUUUCGAAGGGUCUCCCUUAUCAACAUUCGAACCUUCAAGAGCUCUCUGGCGCAUAAUACUUUCAACAUGUCUCAUUCUUUCAACUUCCGCUACUACCUCAGCUUUUAUCUCUUUGCUAGUCUUCUCAACCAAGACUCCUUUUCCUUUAUCUUUAACAUUCGAAGGAGAUACAUUCUUUGACGAAGAAACAUUCGAAGGAACUACAUUCCCAAUUACAAUACCUUUUGUAAUAGGUCUUGAAAUUGGAACAGUUGUAGUCACAGUCGAAAUGACUGGAGCAGCUGAGACUACUGUUGGGUUAACCACAACUUUCGAAGGAUAAACCUUUCCUACCACCUUCGAAUCUUCAGUUUUCUUCUCAUGUUCCCCAGCCUUUGCUUGAACAACCUUUUCUCCCCCUUGCACCCCUGUGACAGCAGGUGGGGCAUCUGAUACGUUCGGCAAAAGGCUUGAAAUUCGAAGUAAUGGAGUAAGGUGUUUUUGAAGAAUGGCUUCGAAAUGAACGAAUUUCUGGGAAAGAAAUUCUUGAGAGAUAAUCAGAGAAGAGGAUUUCGAAGAAAUUUCUUUGAGUUCUUUCAGUAGCUUCACCAACUCUCCGAAAUGUUGUUCUUCUGUGGCUGAAAGAGAGAUCAUCUGAGGAUUCACUGGUUCGAACAUUUUAACACAUUGAAAAACCGCAUCACAAAUGAUAUCGAUCGUCUGAUGUGCUGAUUCAUACCCCUGUUGAAUAUGCUGAACUUCCUUCGUCAUUUCUUCACGAAGUUCACGAAUCUGCAUAUUAACAUCUUCUCGAACCUUCUUCACUUCCUGUACGAAGAGCACAUGACGCUCCUUCGUAACCGUCUUUAAAUCUUUCACCUCCUUCGUUACCGUCUGAUCAGUCUUCUCAAGAAUGCGGCUUUCAGAAUCACUUAUUAAUCCUGACGCCUUCGAAAUCACUCUACUUUCCAUUUCCUUCAUUAAGGAAUCAACUUCCAUGAUAUUGACUCCAGCACUUCCCGCAUCCGCUUGAGAUUGCAAGAUAGAAUUCAAUUUUGAAUUCAAUAUCUUGAACUGCUUCAUCGUCAUCAACAUAUGGUCAGGGAACUCUUCUUUAGCUUUAUCAAAGGAAAGAGCUUCGAAUGUUCCUCCAAACCCUUCGUUGUCAGUUUCCUCAUCAAUCGCCAUUGUUUCAGCAACAGGUGAUGAUGGAUUUGGUGGAUCAUUUGAUUGUGUUGAGAAUAUUGUAGUGAAGGGUUGAUCCAUAAUAGAUUGGAAUGUAGGAGAAUCAGUUGUUGAAGUAACCUAUGGUAAAGACGUUGGUUCAAGAAUCUUUAUGUCAGCAGGCUUCGAAAUCUCAGUAGACUGAAGGAUUUCUACUUCUUUUGGAAUAUCAUCUUCUGCAGUUUCAGGCACUUGAUCCACUUCUUCGACACGUUGGGUUUUCUUUAAAAAUUUGGCCAUAUCUUCAGCCCUUCGCUUCUUAGAAGAUGGAGACACCGGAGCUGGAAUUUCUCGAACGGUAACUCCUUGAUGAGUAACCUGAGUUUUCUUCACCAAUUGAGAUUUGCGUUUGAUCUUUAUUCUUCGAAAAAACCCCGUCUUUGAAGGAAUCAUUUCUUUAGAUGGAGAGGCUUCGAUAACCGGUGUAUCAGCCACUGAGGUUAAAACCGGAGACACCUCUUCGACAUUUUGAGAUGUAACGAUUAGCGCCUGAUUCUUUUGUUCUUCUUUCACCCCUUUUUCCAAAGAGUCACCCUCGGUUUUCUUUGACUUCUUCAACUUCUUCUUCUCUUCUUGUUGUAAUAUCCCAGUCACAACGGUUGUGUCAAUGGAUUGUAAGUAUGACACCAACACGUUAUUCAUGGGAUCCACCUUCUUGAGCAUAGCAUCCGAAAUGCGAGCAACUGUGGUAAAAAUGGCCGGAUCAUCAUGUACCUCCUUCGGACUCCCGUACAUGUGGAAAACAGCUUUCUCUUCGUAAUCAGGAACUUCGAUCUUCUCCUUCUGAUAGACAUAUUGGACUAUCAGACUCCAAUAUCUUGCACAAGAAAUUCCCUGCUUGGCACUGGUCUUCGAAAUACUUGUGAUGAACUCUAUCCAUAACUGCUCAGAAUAAUCCACCUGCAAAUCGUAGUAUAGCACAGCUACCAUUGCAUAGACCUCCAUUCUUCCUUUAUCCAAGCCCACAGUUCUUCCAGUAAGACAUCUAAGAAAGAUGCCAAACAAAAAGUUCCAAAUGGUUGGUAACCCCGACUUCUUGAAAUCACUAAUACGUGUCAAUGGAGGUUGGUGACCCAUCUCAUUGAACAUAUACACCACUUGCGAAGAAGUAAGUUCAUCAUACGGGCCAGAAUUCGGAAUUCCCAAAAUCUUGCAAANUUUGAGACCCUAAUUCUGGUAUCUGUGACCAUUGUGAAUUCAACACAUCCAGUCUCCUUGUUGUAUGAUGCCGUAGAACCUGCUUUUGACAACCAGGACAUUGGAGCAGCAAAUGAGUCGAACAUUGCUUUAGACAGAACAGAAUUCUAUAAAGCAACCACCAGCAUGUGUAGCUCUUCCGGAUAUUUUGACAAAUCCGAUUCGACUUGGUAGUUGGAACCCUGGAUCUUCAGAAUCGGAACACUGAUGAUCUCGUCUGUUGUUGGUGAUGAAGUAGUCGCCAUUGCAGAUGAUUUUGAGAAAAAGAACUUAUGAAAAAGAUGAAUUGUACAGAGAGUUUUUGUGUUGCAGAAAGUUUGAUCGCGUAAAGUGUUAUGGAGUUCUGAUUUGCCCUUUUAUAUGUAACCCUAGAAUGUUGAAUUUGAAGCGGGAUGCAUUAAAUGCUUGCUGACAUGGCACCUUGAAAAACGGAAUGUACUCAUCAAAAAGUAACAAUCGUAACUGUCAACACGCCUUACACGCUUAUCAUACACCAUGCGUCAUCAAGAGAUAGGACUGUUUGGUAUUCCCUAAAAGAAUUGUAACCGUCGGAUGCCUUCGGAAUUGAGGUAAGGCUCUUUCACUUUGUGGUUUUUAAAAAAGCGAAGUCAUUUGCCAGAAUUUCGAAAUCGUCAGUUUAAGUUGGUGUUACUCAAACCUCAAGGAUUUCGUGUGUGCUGUGUUCCAAAAGAAAUUAGAUGAGAAACAAGGAUAAAAAAAACUUUUGAAGACUUGUGAUGUCAACAAUUUCUUUUGACACGAAAACAAUAUUAUCCCAGGCAAAGAUAUCUUCGAAAAUUAUCAAGAGAGAUAAUUAACAGCUUGUGUGGUUUCCCGUGAAUUACAAUCGAUAACUUGUAAAGAAGUUUCGAAGGGUUUCUUUUAUUGGACACAUGGGGUGGCUUCGAAAAUUUUGUUACAUAUCAACCUUAAAAUAAAGUGAGGAAUUGUAAACAAAAUUAAUUGUAUGACCAGUGUAGUCAGUGACAACUUGGUUGCGAAUGAUAUUCAAAGUAACUAGUAAUUUGAAAAUAUACUCACAUGGAAAUCAUAUUCAUAAAAAAAAUAUUUAUGCUGGAUCUUUUUGGGAACAAACAUCGUAGUUUUCGAAUGUUUGAUUAAGAUCACUCAAAAGAAAUGAAUAUGAUUUGGAGUAUAAAAGGUACAGAAGCAAAAGCUUCGUAAGAUCUGGAACAUGGUUCCCCGUCAAUUCCUUAAGGUUUAUGAUAUUUUGGGUUUCACUUCUAUCACGGACUCAUGAUAUUAGAUCAUAAACACAGAUUUGUAAUUUGUCUAGAUUUAGAUUGGUUUGAUCAAAAAUCUCAAGGACAAAUUUCUUCGAAUAUUUGGAAUGAAGAAUUGUUUGGUUUAAAAAGAUUGGAUAAGAAUCGAAGGGUACCUCUGUUAUAUUGGACAAAACAGAAAACUCUUAACUCAUUUGAGAAGAGUAAGGUAGCUCUUGUUGAUUUAUGCAAAUACAAGCCUUGUUGGGAAGAAAUUUUCAUGAGAUAAUUUCAUCAAGGCUUUCAUUUCCCAUACAUAGAAUCAUACGAGGCUUGAGACAACAUGCAGCAACAGGCUUCUAGGGACAUCCUAACUAAUCCAAAAUGAAUAGAGAUCAUACCUUUCCUUCAAAUCCAAACGCAUGAAUCCUUCGUAUUUGAGACUUGACAAAACUCACAAUUCACAAGUUACAACUAAAAAAUGAAAAAUAUUUUUGGUAUUUUUGUAAUUUUUCAAAAAAAAAUUAAAGACAAACUGAAACACAAUCUAUUUGGAUUUUUAAUUUUUUCAAUAAAAGAAAAUAUUUUUGAUUUUUUCAGGUUUUUCAAAAAAAAAAUUAACAAAAUAAAAAUCUAACCUUAGUUGAAAUGUGUACAAAUACGAAGCAUUCGAACCGUUGACUUUAACAGUAACCUCUGAUUAUCUAUUUCAAAACUUCUGAAUGCGAAGCGUUCGAAGCGUUGACCAUGAACAGUAACCUCUUAAUAUCUUUUUCAAAACUUCCGAAUGCGAAGCGUUCGAAGCGUUGACCAUGAACAGUAACCUCUGAAUACACCAAAUUAUUCAGAUCCAUCACUCUUUGCUUUUAUCAGUUUGAAGAGAAUUUCCAUCAAUCAUUCCCAAACCAUCUAAGAUUCGAAGAAACGAUUUUUCAUCCAAAGCCUUUGUAAAAAUAUCUGCCAAUUGGUCCGUUGUUUUUACAAAAUGAACUUCAAUAUUUCCUUCUUCAACAUGAUCUUUGAUGAAAUGAUAUCGAAGAGCAAUGUGCUUGGUCUUCGAAUGCUGCACAGGAUUAUGACAAAUUCUUAUUGUACUUUGUGAAUCACAGUAUAAAGGAAUCUUUUUUCAUAUUAAUUACAUAAUCUCUUAAUUGACUUUGAAUAUCCAAAUUAUUUGUGAUGUACACGCAGCUGCAGCAACAUAUUCAGCUUCAACGGUUGAUAUUGAAACACAUGUUUGCUUCUUCGAUUUCCAGCUGACCAGCUUUCCAUCUAGCAAUUGACACCCACCAGUUGUGCUUUUACGAUCAAGACUGCAUCCUCCAAGAUCCGCAUCCGAAUAAGCUUGUACAAAGAACCCUGUUUUCGAAGGAUACCACAAUCCUAACGAAGUAGUACCUUUCAAAUAUCGGAAAAUAUUCUUUACUGCUGUGAGAUGUGGUUCACGUGGAUUUGAUUGAUACCUUGCACAAUUACAAACAGAAUACAUAAUAUCAGGUCUACUUGCAGUUAAAUACAAUAAAGACCCAAUCAUGCUUCGAUAUAAAGUAAUAUCAACAGCAGAUUUAUCUAACGAAGGAGUUAGCUUUAUGCCCGUUGCCAUUGGUAUUCGUAACCUUGUGCUAUUUGUCAUUCCAAACUUUUCCAACAAAUUCUUCGUAUAUUUCUCUUGAUUAAUGAAUAUGCCUUCCCUGUUUUGUCUAAUAUUCAAACCCAAAAAGUUAUUAAUUUUGCCCAUCAUACUCAUUUCAAAUUUGCUUUUCAUCAAAUCUUCGAAUUCUUUAGAUAAAGCAGGGUCAGUUGAGCCAAAAAUUAUAUCAUCAACAUAAAUUUGAACAAGCAUCAGAUGAUUUCCAAUUUUCUUUCGAAAUAAAGUGGGAUCAACUGAACCUUGUUUAAAUUUAGAUUGUUUCAAAAAUGAUGUUAGAGUUGCAUACCAUGCUCUUGGUGCUUGUUUUAACCCAUAUACAGCUUUAUCUAAAAUAUAAACAUGAUCAGGAUGCUCUGAGUUUAUAAAACCUGGAGGUUGUUCAACAUAUACCGUUUCUUCGAGUUCUCCAUUUAAGAAUGCACAUUUGACAUCCAUUUGAUAGACAUCAAAAUCUUUAUGAGCUGCAAAAGCCAGAAAAAUACGAACAGCCUCGAGUCUUGCGACAGGGGCAAAUGUUUCUUCGUAAUCAAUUCCUUCUUGUUGAGAAUAUCCUUUAACAACAAGUCUGGCCUUAUUUCGAAUAAUGUUUCCAUCUUUGUCAGUUUUGUUUUUAUAAAUCCAUUUAAGUCCAACAACUGACACAUCAUCAGGUUUUGGAAUUAAUCUCCAAACCUUGUUUCUUUCGAAUUCAGACAAUUCAGCUUGCAUAGCAACAACCCAAUCAGAGUGUUCCAUUGCAAUCUUAACUGUCUUUGGUUCAAUUUUGGAAAUAAAAACAUGAAACAUGCAGAACUCUUGAUGAUUGUUCAGUACCUCAUUUCGUGCAUGAAGUUGUGCUCUUGUCAUGAUUCCUGCUUGUGGAUCACCAAGAAUUUGAUCUUUUGGAUGAUUUCUUGUCCAUUUAUCGAAUUGUGGAUAAUUAGGAUCAAAAUCCAAAAUUGCAUCUUCGAACCUUUCAUCUGUUUCUGAUCCAUUUAUAGAAAUAGAAUCAUCAGCAUCAUCAAAAUGUUCUUCUUUAAGAAUUGGAUCAUUCUCUAGUAUGAGCUCCCCCUCGAUGAUUGACUUCGGUUCGAUGUUUUGCUAUGGUUCACUGAUCGGUUCCUCUUCAAGAUUUUGCUCCUCUUCGACACUAACAUUUGUUGACAUGUUAUCUCUUUCACUAUAAUGCUCCCCCUCAACAAAAGUAUUUGAAUCCAAGUGCUCCCCCUCCACUGGAUCAUCAGCUUGUUCAUUUGGGUUUUGAUUCAAAUUCGAAGUUGAAUCAUUGUUAUACUUCGAAUUUUCUGAUGUUUGAUUAUCAGUUGCAUUUCUUUCUGCAUCAAUUGCUUGAUCUGAAAUACCGAAAAUCGAAUCAUAAUCAACAUCAUUCAUUUCAAUUGAAUCAUCUAUAUUUGAAGAAUUUUGCAAAAUAGGAUAAUUCACAAAUUUAUGAUUAGACUUUUUAAUGUAAUGAUCAUCAAAUGUCAAAUUAAAAGUUUCUUCCACUUUGCGAGUUCGCUUAUUUAACACUCUAUAAGCAACUGAAUUGUGUGAAUAUCCCAAGAAAAUUCCUUCAUCUGCUUUUGUUUGAAACUUCGAAAGAUUAUCCUUGAGAUUCAUUAUGAAACACCUGCAUCCAAAAACAUGGAAAAAUUUGACAUUAGGUUUUCGAUUAUUGAUGAUUUCAUAAGGAGUAACAUUAAACCGUCUAUGAAUAAAUGAUCGAUUUUGAGUAAAACACGCAGUUGAAACAGCUUCAGCCCAAAGAUAUUGAGGUAAAUUCGAAAAUGCCAACAUUGUUCUUGCAGCUUCACAUAAUGAUCGAUUUCUUCUCUCAACUACACCAUUUUUUGUGGUGUAUAAGGAGAUGAAAAAUUAUGCGAAAUUCCUUUUUCCACCAGAAAUGUAUCGAAGACACGAUUUUUGAAAUCAGUUCCAUGAUCACUUUUAAUUUUUCGAACUGUCUUCUUCAAUGAAACUUCCAUCUUUUUGAUAAAAUCAAUCAUCAUUUGUGGAACUUUGGAUUUUAACCUGAGAAAAUAAACCCACGUGAAUCUUGAAAAAUCAUCUACUAUUACCAAAAUGUAUCUUUUCUUGUUAAGAGUAGCAACUGUUGAAGGACCACAUAAAUCUAUAUGCAGGAGUUCAAGAGGUUCAACAAUCUUCGAAUCUAUUGUGAUUGGAUGACCUUGUUUGUGUUAUUUCCCUACUUCGCAAGCUGCCCACAAACUGUCAUUAUCAUAUUUAAGAAUGGGUAAACCUCUUACCAGAUCUUGUACGACAAGUUUGAUGAUGUUUCGAAAAUUUAGAUGUGAUAACCUCCUGUGCCAUAACCAGCUAAUAUCGGCAACAACCUUCGAAAGUAAACACACAGCAGGUUUGCCAACAAUGGGAACUAUAUCCAAUGUAAACAUAUCACCUUUUUGUUUUGAAUUGAGUAAAACUUCAUUUGUCUCAACAAUCGAAAUGACACUGCCUUCUUCAUUAAAAACAACUUGAUUUCCAGUGCCCACAACAAGUUGUGAAACACUUAUCAAGUUGUGUUGUAAACCUUCAACAAAUGCAACUCUGUUGAUAGUGAAAUUUCCAUUCGUUAUCUUCCCAUAACCCUUGACUUUGCAUUUGUGAUUAUUACCAAACUUAACCACUCCUCCAUUUUCUAGGCUUCGAAAAUCACGCAAGUUUUCCUUCUUCCCAGUCAUGUGACGUGAGCAACCGCUAUCAAUAUACCACUUGUUAUCAUAUUGCUCGUCACAAAGUACCUGCAAUCAUUGGAAAAAUUUAGGUACCCAAGCUUUGUUGGGUCCAUUCAAAUUAGGUUUGUGAUUCAAUUGUAAAGUACAACCAUUAACCCAAUCACAAACUUUGGUUUUGAAACUGUCAAUAAAUUUAACAUUUUCAUUCGAAGGUCAGAUAUAUGAGUUUUUAUUAUUUUCAAAUGUUCACUAAUUUCACCCUUCGCAUCUUGAGUUUGUGAUUUUUCACUUUUUGCUCUUGUGACCGGUUGCCAAACUUUAACUGAUAUAAUUGACUAUUUGGAUGAUAAACUACCAUUCGUUGAAGGAUUAGCAUAUUUGUCAUAUGCCUCAUGUAUCUGUUCUUUCGAAAACUUACUUGAUUGGUAUAUCUUUCCUUUUCCUUCCAACCAAUGAUCAAUAUUUCUCUUUGUUGUUAUUCCCUUUGCAUAUGAGACUUUGUCAGCUUGUUUCUUCAAAGGAUUAUAACAUUUUGCUGUAUUUGGAACAUAAUCAACUUUUGGUUUUGAAAGAUAUGAUUCAUGAUAAGAUGUCUUGUUUUGAAACUUUGAAGUUUGAUUUCCAACCUUUUUCUGAAAAAAAUUUCUUGGUAUUGUAGAUUUUAUUUCAUUUGAAACUUUUGAAUUUUUAUUUGAAAACAAAGCACUUUUCUCUUCAAAAAUUUGAGAUUUUGAUUUUUCUUUAAAAACUUUUCUUCUUUUUGAAAAAUUUGUUGAUCUCAUUUUUGAUGGUUCAACAGUUUGCCAAAAAAUUGUUUUCCUUGCUUGACGUUUCGAAAUAUUAUUUUCCUUUGAAAAAUUUUCAACUUGAGCUUUAAAUUCUUUUGAAUUUAAUUUUAUCACUUUGUUAAUUGUUUUAACAUCAGUUUUAACAUCUUCGUGCUUUGAAAACAUAUUUGCAGUUGGGACAACUUCCUUCUUUUCAACUUUUGACUUUUCAAUCCAUACUCUUUUUGGUUUAUGAUGUUGAAAUUUAUAUGAAUUCUUUGUAAGAUUAUUUUCAACUGUACUUUGAUUUGAAAAGAAUCCUUCAUUUGAUGUUUGCAUAUUGUCUUCCACAACCAUCUUUUUGAAUUCAGGUUUUAUAUUUUCAACAUUACCUGUUGUUACGAAGACUUGAUUUGGGAACACAAUAUCAUCAGUGCAUUUGAAGAUUGGAUAAACAACAGUAUUCGAUUCAAGAUAAUGAGCACCUUUUUCACUAAGAAUUUUCUCAAAUUCUUGUGUAUCCAAAUAGACUUGAUCAACAACCACUCGAGGAAUUUCAAUUUCUUUCAACCUUUGACUUUGCUUUGAAUUUGUAUUUUCUUCUUCAUUGUCACUAUCAUCCGUUUGACUCUCAUGUAUUUCCACAUAUUCCAUAUCACAAACUUUCGAAGUUGAGGGUUUAUUAGUUUCAAUUUUCAUUAAUAAAUCGUCACAUUUUUCUUUCCCUUUAAAUGAAUUUGCAACAUUUAUGACAGACAACUGUGAACAAUCUACAUCUUCUAAAUCACUAAUUUCACUAAUAUUAUCAGAAUUUUCUUCAAUAUUAGCAUUAUUAGUUUCACUAUUAGAUGUAGAAUUCUCAGUCUUUUUCAAAAUUCGAAGUUGUUCUGAUUUAGUUAAGGUUUCAUUUACAAUUUUUACUAAAUCAUUAGCAUCAAGAUAAUCUUCGACUUUUGCAAUUCCAUAUCUAAACCUAUCAUCUGGAACUUUGUUGAAAUCAGAAAUUUCUUUUUCACAAUCAUAUGAAAUACUAUCAACCUUAGCUCUAUCAUAAGCUAAAAAUGGUAGUAAUUUUCUAUGUUGUUCCUUACUUAUUUCACACGAAUGAUGUAACUCAGUUAAUUUUCCAUACAAUCUUUUUGCUGAAUUACAAAAAACAUUUCUCUGAGCUAACAACAAGUUUAUUUCUUUUCCUAAUUUUUCUCUAUCCUCCAUGAUAUUUGAAACUUGCAAUUCUAAGUAAUCAAUCCUAGUGACUUUUGAAUCCAACAUUUUUCUCGUCUCUAGUAAUUGAUCACUUAACUUUUUCGCUUCAUUGCUAGCAGACACAAUGAUUGAAUCAAAGUAAGUAACAGUUUCAUCAAAAGAUACUAACUCAGAAUUAUAUGCAGAAACUGGAAUGUUAAAAGAUUCAAGAAUUUUACGUACCUUGGUAGUCAUAGGCGACUUGUCAGUAGACUUCGAAACGAAGCAUUGCCCACACACUUCGUCAGUCUGUUCAUCAUCUGAAUCCUCUUCCAUUUUUGCAUACAUAGCUCCAUGAGUUGGAUUUUUCAUCUCUUCAUCAUCUGAACCCGAAGACCAUAUUUGAUAUGUGCCAUCCGAUUCAGUUUCUCCAUGAGCCACCAAUGACAAAUUCUUCGCUUUCUUCUUUACUUCCUCCAGUUUCUCAGUGUAGUAAGCUUCAUCCUUUGUUUUACUCUUCUUUUCUUCCUUCUUCCUCAACAGGCAAUCUACUGCCAAAUGAUUUGCUCCAUAGCAAUAAUGACAAUUGAUCCCUGUAUCACCUUUCAAUAGCAUCUUCAUUUGCUCCAUCUCAUUCUUCGAAUUUGUCUUCAUUUCUAUUUUCUUUUCAUCCAGUUUGUUUUUGUUCUCAAAACUACCCUUCGAAUCUGAUGACUUCUUUGGAUUAAAAGGUUUCUUAAAAAAUUUCUUUACUCUAUUGUUUGAGUAAAAAGCAACAGCCUCAUCAUCAGAAUUCAUCAAAAAACCUUCUUCUUCAUCAGACUUCAAUUUUUCACUUUCUCUUUCUGAAACCUUCGAAACUAGAGCCAAAGGACCACCAAGACUUGCUAUAGCUUCUUCAGCUAUUUCAUUAACUUCAUUUUCAUGAGAUUUUAAUUGAUUGUACAAGUCAUUCAAAGUCGAAGUAUCAAAACUUUGUUGAUUUUUCACCAUCAUGCUCACACUUCUCCACUCCUUUCGAAGUCCCAUUACAAAUAUCAAAUUGUACUCCAUUGGUGACCUUAUUAUACUAUAACGAUUACAACGAUAGAUUAACUCGUUGAACCUAUCAUAGUAUGCUUCAAUAGACUCAUUUUCUUUCUGUCUGAAAUCUUUGAGUUCUACCAGGCAUUGUUUCACAGAUGUGAUCUUCGUCUUUUCACUCCCUUGAAAUUUGUCUUUGAGAUUGUUCCAGAUUUCUUUAGCUGUUUUGCAUGUUCUGACAUAAUUGUACACAACAGGAGGCAACACACCUCUUAAUUCCCUCAUGCAUUUCUUCUCCAGACGUUUUAAACGAUCGGUUUGAUUAUCAACUUCUGAACUGCUUGAAGACAUGCCGAUUGGCUGAACUUGUGCAGGUUGAUUGAUUUCUCCUGAGAUGCAUUUUUAUAAUUCUUCAUCCAAUCCGUUCAAGUAAUCUUCCAUACGAUCUGCCCACUGAUCAUAAUAUUCUGGAAUAAGCAUUGGAAUUUUUGUGGAUGAUCCAAGCAAAUGAGAAAAUGAUGUCAUCGAAUUCAGAUUGAAUGACACCAUUGUUGUACGGACAAAAACUUCAAGAUGAUACUAAACUUUUGAGAAUUUUGAAAUUCAAAUUGUAUAAUUCAAUUUAGAAUUACACACCGAACACUCGAUUAACAAAUAUUUUUGCAGAAUCAAAUCCUAGAUUGAGAUCUAGAUGAAAUUUUCAAAUUCAAAAAGGACGGAAACUUUUUGAAUCAAACAGUAGAUUCAAAAACCUUUUUGAUCGAAUGAAAAUCAGAUCACAGAAAGGAUUCCUGCUCUGAUACCAAUUGAUGAGAUUUGUAAUCGAGUUUAAUGAUCAAAUCACGUAAGAAUUAAGAAAUAAGAAAUACGAUGAACACGAGAGUAAAUAUAAUAUUUGAUCAGCUCAUAUUAUGCUUUCGAUUUUACAGAGUACAAAAGAAUUCUCUGUAAAGAGUAUGUGAAAAGUUAAGUUCUCACUCAGUACAGACUCCUAUUUAUAGGUGAACAAAAGCAUAACAAAAUACUAAGGACUAGACAUUAAGACUUCAAUACAAUGCCUUAGUAAAUAUAACAUUACAUCCGAAGACUCUACUUACGAAGACUAGAGAUCCUUCGUAACAACAAAACUAACACUUCAACUUAUUACAACAUUUAUACCCUAACACAGUCCCAAUGUCGCUGUUAUCCCAGGUUUAUUCCACGACGACUUAUGACAAAAACAAAGAUCGUAUCUAUUUUACCAUCCACGACAAAAAGGCUUCGGUUUCAAAGGUGAAGUUCUGUUCGAUUUUAAAUCUUGCAGUAGAUUCUUCUGUCAUCUCGCCAGACUUUAUCACCACAUCUCAACUAUUUUCAAUGAUGUACGAGAUGGGGUAUACCGAUGUGCUAACAACUAUUACCAAAGUGAAGAAAUCUUGUUUACCCUCACAGUGGACUGGCUUCCUCACUCUACUGAUUAAGGGUUUAGCAGAACGAUGUGGUGGUUCCGAUACUACUAGCAAGGGUUUUCUCGCUAUUCUUUACGGCCUCUACAAUGGGAUCAAUCUUGAUUAUGGCUCUAUAAUCUGGUCUCAGGUGGUGCUGAGUCUCAAUACAUCGACACGGCAUUCUGAAGUUUCAUGUGGGCGUUUUUGGACCCUGAUUACAAGGAAGGUAAUUAAUUCUUUAGAGAUUCCGAUCAUGCAGGAUGCUCUACUUGCUUCUAUUGCCACAUUCCAUACAAAGAAGAUAAUUCUCUCUGAUCCACUCAAGUUUUCUCAUUAUGGAAUGAUUCCUGAAACCAUGUAUCGUGGUGUUACGGAAAAGAGCAAUGUCUUGGCUGACUAUAGGAAACUUCCUCCUAUCGGACCGAGAGUUCUGUCUCCUGAGCACCAAGCAGCUUUGGAUGCACUGGAGAAGCCUACCAACAGAGGAAAGAGGGUUUCAAAGAAAGAAGAUCCUGAAGAACGUAAGUCCAAGUCCUCUAAACGCAAGUCUGGUGAAGGAGAUACUUCUCAACCGAAACAGAAGAAAAUAAAAAAGAUGGCUCGCAGACCUAGAGACAACACUCCUCGAAGCACAGAUCAUGCAGAUGAGCAAAGUGAGGACGAAGAGGUUCGUCAUGUCUCACCCCGAGAGCCCACUCCUCCACGAUCUCCUACUCCACCAGAAUCUCCAAAUCACAACAGAGUUCCAACGCCAACCCAGUGGAUUCUCGUUUUGAUGUUCUUGUUGCCAAUCUUGCAACAGAGAGUGCCUUGAAGGAGGAUUUGGCUAAACAACAAGCAACAAUUGAUAUUCAGAAAGUGCAGCUGGCGCACGCAGAGAAAGAAAUUUCCUUGUUGAAAACUCAGAGGGCUGUUUAUAAAAGUUGUGCAGGAGAUGUGAAAGAUUUGCUGACAAAUUUUCUUGAAGCGCAUGAUCCGAUCUUAACUCUGACUAUUCGGAAUCAUCUUCAAUCCAAACUCCUUCCUGCUAUUGUUAUUUUAAGUGAAAUGAAAGGUGUUUCGGAGGGAGUUGUACCUCCAAAACAAGGGGGAGAGAGUAGUGCUCAUCCUUUUGUUCAAACGAGACCGAUUGUGAAGACAGAAGAUGAACACCCGAAAGUCACAACAGAACCGAAGGUUAAUUUAGCUUCGGGUUCUGGUUCUCAAUCAAAGCAAAAAGAGUUUAAUGAUGAAAGUGAGAGUGAUUUUGAAGAAACUAUAGCCGAUGUUCUAAAACGAAAGAAAAGAAACAGGAGGCUUGAUGAAACGAUGAAAGUGGCUAGUGAAGCAGAGGAGCAGGAAAAGAAAAAUAAGGAAGAAGAGGAUGCCUUGCAAUGCAAGAAGGCUUUGUUUCCUGAGUGGAACAGAGACAUACUUAUCAAUCAAGCGAUUGAGUCUCCUUCUGUUUAUUGGUUGGAACCAGUUGCUUCUUUUGAUUGUGAUAACUCUAAAGACUUGCAGUUUGAUAUGCCUAUUACCAAAAAAGUUUUUACAUUUCACUGCUUUGAGGCGACUGUUGAGUUUCCGCAUCCACACCUGAAGGUUGAUAGGGAAUUGAUCGAUUUUUAGUUGAAGUAUGGUCAACCACAGUACUUGACUUGGAGUGCACAGAAGAUUAUGAAAGUCAAGGUACUGAAACCUUCACCUGUUGGGAGAUUCGUAAAUGUCAAUUUCAAAAUCACCUGUGGUUCAGCAAACACGGUGUGUAUAAUCUCUCUAGCAGAUCUUCCUAACCUCAAUCUUCAUGACUGGAUUCUGCUAUACAACAUUCUGCUCUCUGAUCCUAAGGAGUAUGAGCCGAUUUUAGAUCAUUUUAAGAGAAUGUUGGCCUCUUAUAUCCAUCAGCUUGCAACUAUGGAUCACGAAAUAGCAAAGGUAAGGAAUAGAAAGCCAAUUCUGAAGACAACACCUAAACCUAGUGAUGUAAACAUGAUGAAAUUGGUACAGAUAGAUUCAGCAAAUCUAACUGUCAUGUUCACGAAAGGAGGAGGACUCAAGUUUCUGUUUGCUCUGGUUGAUAAGCAUCUAUUUUCAACAGACUGUUUGGAGCAUAUCAUCAAUAUCAUACACCGAUGCAAGCAGAACUCAGCGGCUGAUAAGAAGAACUUACUGACAUGCUUCGUUGGUAUAUUACUUUUCGCCAUCAUAUGAUAGCCAUUAUACCGAAGGUGUUCAAAACUAUGAAGAAGCCUCCAGCUGUUAAAAAGGAAUGAGGUUUCGGCUCUAAAGAUGCAAAGGGGGAGAUUGUUGAGUCCAUUUGUGUUGCGUCUGGGGCCAUAUAUUUUGUAUCCGGAUUGGGCCUGUCGAUCCAUGUCUAUCUAGAUUAGUUUCGUUGUUAUCUAGAUUAGCUGUUAGGGUUAUAGUAUAUAUAUGCAUGCAUGUAUGCGUAUAUUAAAGAGAGUGGUUAAUCAUGUUGAUUGUUGUAACCCUAAACACCUCUACAGAUUUAAGUUCUUUGUCGAGCUCUUCUGAGGUGUUAUCACAUUAAUCAUACGACAUAUUCAGUGCCAUACUUGUGUUCUUUAUUACGUUCUUAUUUAAUAUUUUGCUUAGAAUCAUACGAUCCUAAAAGAACUUUGUUCUAACACUUUGCUCAAAUAUAACAUUUUUCUACCCUUAGCUAUAUACACAUCCCUUUUGCCUUUGGAGCACCAAUAAUAUCACAAAGGGCGUCAACAUGAAUCUUAUGGGAUUGAUUGAGCAAACAGAACGUAAGGAUAUGUGUAUGGUAAUCAAAGGUGAUGGAUGACAAGAGUUCCAACAUGAGUGUUUGAUAACUUAAGGCAUGGAGAUUCAAUAGGCCUUCCCAACCUAGGUUCUUCAAGAGCUUGUGGACCCCUUUAUAGAUGUGAAGGUCCUUAAGGGCUUGCAUGUCUACAAAAUUUUAAGCCCCUUUUACCCAUCAAACAAGGCUUGAAUACAUAAUCUCUUGUUGAAUGGUCUAAACAAUAAGAUCAAAUUCAUCGGGGUUUUCCAUUAAAUGUUGGUCUUGUUCAUCAUUAGAUUCUUGACCAUCCAUAUGUGAGGUCCCAAUUCUAGCCCAUUUUCAAUGGGAAUCCAUUACCCAAGAAUUCAACAAAGCUUUGCACACAAUGUAGGACAAUUUUGAACUAUGCACAAAAACUAGCAAUACCACUAAAAAUCACCCCAAAAGAAUGUGGUCUAAGUAUAUGCACAAAGAAAAGAGUUUGGAACAAUUAUACCAAUUUGUGCUUGUAAAUGGUGUUAAGGUGAUGUCCAAUGCUUCCCCAAGCUUAUCCUACAAGAAAUUAUAAACAUUAGCUCGAAAUUUGGAAACCAAAAAAUUCUAGGGUUUGCUCAAAACCCCAAAAUCGGCCAUUGGAGAGUGAAAUUGAGAUGCAAGGCAAAGAAGAUGAAGAAAAGAGAAGAAUUUCAUACCUUGGAGCUUGGUUUUUGAAGAAAAAAUGAGGAUGAUGGAAUGUUUUAGAGGGUUUUUUGUCGAAGGAGGCCGGAAGGAGAGGAGGAUGCGCCUGUUUUGUGAAAAGAAUUAACAACAAAAAACGAUUUUAGCCUUAAAAAAACACCUGCUCUAUUUUUUCGUUUACAUAGCCCGUGUAAACACAAAGGUGAAAUUUACAUAGCAGUGUAAAAUGGUGCGUCUGAUCUGUGUUUUAGAGGGUUUUUUUCGAAGGAGGCAAUAAGGAGAGGAGGGUUCACCUGUUUUGUGAAAAGAAUUAACAACAAAAAACGAUUUUAGCCUUAAAAAAACUCCUGCUCUGUUUUUUCGUUUACACAGCCCAUGUAAACACAAAGGUGAAAUUUACACAGCCGUGUAAAAUGGUGCGUCUGGUCUGUGUUGGUCUGAUCAUUUACAUGACCUAUGUAAACCAUAAACAUAUGUUUACACGGCCGUGUAAACUUCUGAGAAGGCCUUUUUUUUUUUUGAUUUUUUCACUUUUUGAAAUUGCAACCCGCUAAUCCGCUACUGCACAAAAAAUGAUUUUUUACCCUCUUUAAACAUGAGAAACAACUUGGAGACUUGAAAACGAAGAAAAUAUGAUGGAAAAAUAAGAAAUGACAAAAAUACCCCCGGGUUGCCUCCCAUGUAGCCGCCCAUUUUUAAUGCCGUUGGCUCGACUUGGACCCUAAUUAUUUGUCAAUCUUGGUACUUUGGAUCCGUUACUUCCUCCACUUCUUCAUUUUUGACUUGAAAUCCUUUAUGAUAAGGCUUCAAACGAUGACCGUUUACCUUAAAGAUCUUCUCGGUUUUUCAGUUGUGAUUCCUAUUGCACCAUGCUCAAAAACAUUAGUGACAACAAAUGGUCCCACCCAACGGGACCUUAAUUUACCCUAAAUCAAUUUAAAACGAGAAUGGUAGAGUAAUACCUUUUGACCUUUUUCAAAUACCUUGUGUAUAAUCAUCUUGCCAUGGUAUGCCUUUGUCCUUUGUUUGUAAAUGACUUCAUUCUCAUAUGCUUUAUGGAUCUCCUCAAGUUGUUAUAUGUCAAACUUCCUCUUCUAUCCCGAUUCACUUAGAUCCAUGUUGAACUGCUUGAUUGCUCAAUAGGCUUUGUGCUCUAUCUCAACAUGUAAUCGACAUGGCUUUCCGAAAACAAUGCGAUAUGGAGACAUCCCAAUUGGAGUUUUGUAUGCAGUGCGGUACGCCCACAACGCGUCAUCAAGACGUAUACUCCAGUCUUUCCUUGUUGUAUUCACAGUUUUCUCCAAAAUACCCUUGAUUUGUCGAUUGCUCACUUCGGCUUGUCCAUUUGUUUGUGGGUGGUAUGUUGUGGAGAUUUUAUGAGUAUCACCAUAUUUCUUCAACACACUUCCAAGCAUACAAUUGCAAAAAUGUGUACCACGAUCACUGAUGAAAGCCUUUGGAACACCAAAUCUGGAAAAGAUGUUAGCCUUCAAAAAAUCUAUCAUAACUUUUGAAUCGUUAGUACGGGUAGCUUUUGCCUCUACCCACUUAAAAACAUAAUCCACAACCAAAACAAUGUAUGUGAAACCCAAAGAUGAUGGAAAAGUUCCCAUGAAAUCAUUGCCCCAAACAUCAAAAAUCUCACAAACUAAAAUGGGAUUAAGGGACAUUUGAUUCUUUGAGCUUAAAGAGCCUAUCUUUUGGCAUUUAUCACAGCUUGCACAAAAGACAUAAGAGUCACGGAAAAUACUGGGCCAGUAGAAUCUAAUCUCUAAUACUUUUCUUGCAGUUCUUUGAGCAACAAAAUGCACUCCACAAGCAUAAGAGUGGCAAAAUGUUAAGAUAGAAGGUAACUCAUGUUGAUCCACACAUCGUCUAAUCAUUUGAUCAGCUAAUAUUUCCAAAAGUAUGGCUCAUCCUAUACAUACCUCUUGGCUUCUUUCUUGAUUUUAUCUUUUUGCCAUCGAUUCAAAUCUAGUGGAAAUUGAUUUGUGACGAUGUAUUUCACAAUAUCGGCAUACCAUGGGGAAACUUUUGCUGAAAAUAGAUUCUUAUCGGGAAAUGCAUCAUGAAUGAGAUUUGAGUCACUAGGAGAAACAAUCCUACUAAGAUGACCAACUACAAGGUUUGACUUUCCGAUCUUGUCCUUGAUUUCAAUAUCAAACUCUUGUAAGAGUAAUACCCAUCAAAUAAGUCUAGGCUUCGAAUCCUUCUUUGCAAGUAGGUACCUAAUAGCUACAUGAUCAGAAUAAACAAUCACUUUAGAACCUAGCAAAUAUUGAUGAAAUUUAUCUAAAGCAAAGACAAUAGAUAGCAAUUCUUUUUCAGUUGUUGAGUAGUUGGCUUGUGCACUAUCAAGUGUCUUUGAGGCAUAAAAAAUGACAUGAGGAACUCGAUCUUUUCUUUGCCCCAACACUGCACGAAUUGCAUGAUUGUUGGCAUCACACAUGAUUUCGAAGGGAAAAAUCCAAUCCGGUGAUUGAAGUAUUAGUGUUGAUAUUAACAACUCCUUCAACUAAUCAAAAGCUUGCUUGCACUCCUUGGAAUAUUCGAAUUCUGCAUCUUUUUGUAGGAUCUCACACAUGGGAUGAGAUAUCUUAGAAAAAUAUUUGAUAAAUCUUCUAUAAAAUCCUGUAUGACCAAGAAAAGAGCGUACCUCAUGAACACAAGUGGGAUAUGGUAAAGAUUUAAUGACAUAUAUUUUUGCUUUGUCCACCUCUAGACCCUUUGAAGACACAAUAUGACCUAGUAUGAGACCUUUGUCAACCAUAAAAUGGCAUUUUUCAUAAUUCAAAACAAGGUUGGUCUCAAUACAUCUUUGCAAAAUCUUUUUUAAAUUACCCAAACAUUCAUGAAAAGAAUUACCAUAAACUGUGACGUCGUCCAUAAAAACUUUAAUGAUUUCCUCAACAUACUCCAAAAAAAAUACUUACCAUGCACCUUUGAAAAGUGGCGGGAGCAUUGCAAAGUCCAAAAGGCAUUGGCCUUUAUGCAAAUGAUCUGAAGGGACAUGUGAAAGUGGUUUUUUCUUGACCCUCGGGUGCAAUAGGUAUUUGAUGGAAACUGGAAUACCCAUCCAAGCAAAAAUAGUGAGUUUUUCCUGCUAACCUUUCCAACAUUUGAUCAAUGAAGGGAAGUGGGAAAUGGUAUUUCCGGGUUGAGGAAUUGAGUCUUCUAUAAUCAAUGCAAACUCUCCACUCAUUUUGCACACGGGUGGGGACUAAUUCACCUUGGUCAUUCUUUGUAACGGUAAUACCUGUCUUCUUUGGUACAAACUGGAUCGGGCUUACCCACUUGCUAUCUGAUAUAGGAUAGAUCAUCCCCAUAUUCAACAACUUCAAAAUCUAUUUCUUCACAACCUCCAUCAUUGGAGGGUUCAAAAGCCUUUAAGCUUCUCGGAAGGCUUGUAAUCUUCUUCCAUAAGGAUCUUGUGCAUGCAAAGUGAAGGACAUAGCCCUUUGAUGUCAAGUAUAGUCCACCCAAUAGCUUCCUUAUACUCCUUUAAGGUGGUGACAAGCUCUUCUUCUUCUUUUGUUGAUAACUUUGUGGAAAUGAUCACUGGUAAAGUCUAUUUCUUUCCCAAAUACGCAUAUUUGAGAUGCUCGGGUAAAUUCUUGAGUUCCAAUUCCGGUGCCUGCACAAUAGAAGGAACAAGUUUCUCAUUAGACAUCGGUAAUUUCAUCUUUGGAACAUCAAACCUCAUUUUCUUCUUUUGGUCCAUCCAAGAUACAACUUCCAAAAUCUCUUCAUCAAUUUUGAAUUGGUUGGAAAGUUUUUCCACUUCAUCCUUUUGAAGAUUUCUGUCUAAAAUGAGAGCUAACACAUCGAGAUUAGACAAAUCAAAACACUCUUUGGUUAAUGGUUCUAUGACAUCCACAAAAUUCAAAGAUGAAAAUAUCACUUGGAUAUCUCAUAGCAUCAUAGAUAUUGAAAUUUAUCACCUCUCCAUCAAACGCCAUGGACAAUGUACCAUCAUAAACAUCAAUUUUAUUCCGAGCUGUUUUCAAAAAGGGUCUUCCUAAAAGAAUUGAACUAAAAUUUGGUGAGUCAUCAUUAUCCAUGUCAAGGACAUAAAAAUAUGUUGGAAAUACUAGUUCAUUCACUUGGACUAACACAGAUUCUAGCACACCUUUUGGAUGUAACAAAGAUCGAUCAACCAAUUGAAUGUUCACCCCGGUCUACUUUAAUAUGCGAAUAUUUAAGGUUUUGAAAAUAAAAUAUGGAAAAACAUUGAUAGAAGCUCCAAGGUCUAUCAUUGCUCGUGGAACAUGAAGAUUGCCUAACUUGCAAGGAACCAUGAAAACACCUGGAUCCUUACAUUUUUGAGGUGGUCUUUUCUGCAACACUGCAGAUACAAUUUCACCUACUUUGACAGUUCCAUUCCCUUUUAUUCUUUCUUAGAUAUGCAUAAUUCCUUAAGGAACUUAGCAUACUUAGGGACUUGUUUGAUGGCAUCAAUAAGAGGAAUAUUUACCUCAACCUUUAUGAGCUUCUCCAUGAUCUCAUUGUCUUCCCUUUCUUGCUUUGACUUGCUUAACCUUAUAUGACAUGGAGGAGGAGUGACUUUUGAUUCAAUGGGAACUUGCUUUGAAAGUGCUUUUGACUUCUCUUCUUCUUACUCUAACUCCAUCUCUUCUUCUUGUCCAAUCAUCUUUGGACCUUCAUAUUCUUUUCCAUUUCUUAAAGUGAUGGCGCAUGCACUAUGCUUUAGAUUCUUUUCUGUUUUUGCGGGUAGUUUUCCUUGUGACUCCAAUUUACUCACAAAAGUGGUGAGUUAGGUCAUUUGUUGCUCCAAAGCCUUGAUACUCGCCUUGGUCUCAUUUUGAAAUGUUUGAGUACUUGUGGCUAAACUCUUGACAAUGUCUUCCAAAGACAUUCCUGAUUCACUUGAACUACUUCCUUGAUGCACGUUUUGAGGUUGGAAUUAAGAUUGAUGAGGAAGUUGAUUUGGCUGGAAAUGUGGUUAACAAUUUUGUUGAUGAUACAUUUGAUUUUGAAAUGGAGGUCUUGCUUCAAAAGAUGGUGGCCUGGCUGAAAAUUGGCAUUGGGUUGGUGCCAAUUUUGAUUACUUCUUGGCUGAAAGUUUCCUUGCUGUUGACUAGAAAAUCUCAUAGCUUGAACCGGCUCUAUAUCUUCUUGUAACAUCGGGCACAUAUCAGUGGGGUGUCCAACUUGGGUACAAAUACAACAAGGUCUAACUGCUAGUGGUUGCACACCAUUGUCCUUAGCAAGCAUCAUCACUACUUUAGUUAACUCAAAAAGUUGACUCUCAGUUUUUGGGGAAGAAAUUUCUUUCACUCCUCUUGGUGCAUCACUGUACCAUUCUUCUUCUUGAAUUGUAUGCUUGGACUCUUCUGCCAUGUUCUUGAUAAGAGCUCUGAUUUUUGUUGGAGUUUUAACACCUAUUGAUCCACCACUUGAUACAUGGAGUAAUCUUCUAUCUCAAGAUGACAUUCCCUCACAAAAAUAUUGUAACAAUUGAUACUCUAAAAUCCCAUGUUAUGGACAUCUUAAACACAACUUCUUAAACCAUUCCCAAUAAGUAUGCAAGGGUUCUUUCUUUUGUUUCUUGAUACUAAUUAUUUCCCUACGUAAAGUUGAAGCUCUAAUUUCAGGAAAAUAUUUAUCCAAAUUUUUUUUUGCAAGUUCAUUCCAUGUUGUGAUUGGCCCCGGUGGUAAGUCAUAUAACCACUCCUUGGCUGAAUCUUGUAAAGCAAAGGGGAAUGCCCUUAACUUGAUUUGAUCUUCUGUAACUUCAUGUGGCUUCCUACUCACAAAAACAACAUGAAAUUCCUUAAGGAAUUUAUGUGCGAAAUGAAGGUAACAAGUGAAUGAGUCCGGAUUUGAGUUUAAAGUUUAUUGCUAUAGGAUAAUUGAUGCUAAUGGUUGUUGGGUAACAUCUUGAGUGGCCCAUUGUCCAAAGGUUUGUUCGGGUGGUGGAUUUGGAGGUGGAUUCCCUCCAUGGUUGUCUCCCAUGGUAGGAGUAUGGAUAAAAUUUUGAGAUUCGGGUAAAGGUGAAGAUGGUGGGGAGGUACUUUUGGAUGUUGGUGAAGAUAUGGUUGAUAGGUUUGAUGAAGAAGCCCCAGAUUGUUGUUUUUUUAAAAGUAUGGCUUGCUUUCUUCUUUGUUUUGUAGAUUUCUCUAUCUCCAUAUCAACUGGUAAAGGUGUACCUGUACAAAAAGAUCUUGGCAUAAACACUUAGUAUUACCGUGUCCCCGGCAACGACGCGAAUUUGUUGAGCGUGUCAAAGCAAACAAAUAAAGGCGUAAAAGUAAUUCCUUAAACACUACUACUUUGUACUAAAAAAGUAAUAUAAGGUAAGUAGGGUCGAUCCAUAGGGACACGAGAUCACAAAAGGUACAAAUGAGAUCACAAAAUAUGGGAGGGGGAGGGAAGUUUAAUUAAAAUAAAAGACUAAAAUAUUUAGUAAACAAUUAAUCAAAUAAAUGAAAUCAAGGUUUAUAAAAUACUCCAACUCAAUGUAUGACUAAUUAGCAAUGUGAUUCAAAGUAUGAAAUGAUAUUUGUUUAAUUCUAUCUAAAUUGGUACUUAGAAAUGCUAAGAAGCUCUAGCAAUUCACAUUCACCAUUUUAAUUAAUCAAAAUAAUUUCUUUGAUUAAUUGUAAUCUAACCAAUCUAAUCUAAACAAGUUCUUAGAAUUAGAUGGAAAGAUUGCAUUAUGCUUUGUGUGAAUUUUACCAACAACAUUCAAUACUCAUUAUAAGCUCGGGAAUAUAAGAAUGUGUGAAUUUGAUUUACACCAUAAUUACUCUAAGAAAGUUCAGUCUAGUGUUUGUUACUUGUUCUAUAUGACAAAACAAUUACGGAUUUUGCAAAUUAGAUAACUUGAAUGAAUCAACCCUAACUCAAUUGGCAAAAAAGAACUAGAAUUGAAAUCAAACCUUCAAUUAAAACAAAAUCGACUUCACUAGAUAGCAUUUAAAACAAACACCAAGUCAAAUGAUUGAAUUCAAAUCACGCUCAAUAGCCAAUACAUGAAGUUGGAGAAUUAAGUUUCUAACUACUCAUGACUAGAACAAAGCACAAACCUAGAAAUUGAAAUUAAAGUCUUACAAAUUGAAAUCAAAGUGUUUCCAAGUGACAAUUGCCUUCAAAAUGCUCCCCAAAAUCGCCUCCAUAACUCACAAAAUCAACUUCCUUUCUAAUUGAACCGGUUGCACAUUUUUACAAAGAAGAUAAACUAUUGAAAACUUACGACCUCGUUUACACGGCCCGUGUAAAUUAACACUACUAUUUACAUGGCCGUGUAAACACAAAAAGUAUAUUGCUCAAUUUUGUCAGGCCUUCAAAGUACACUGCUCGUGAGUAUGCAUUUACACGGUCCGUGUAAACACAAGGCUUCCAUUUACACGGCUGUAUAAAUCUCUAAAUAUCCAAAAUCUUCAUUUCAUCGGUAUCUUCCUCCUUGGUGCUCCGUAUGUCCCGAAACUUCAUCUACACCCCUAAUUCAUCUCUCCAAGUAAGAUCCUACCUCAAAAAAUCCCUAAAAUAUCACAAAAGUGUGUGAAUGAAAUUGCCUCAUGAAAAAUCCCAAAAACAUGCAAAAUGCAUGAUUUUAAGCCUAUAUGCAAUAUACUUUUAUGAAGUAAACCUACAAAAUGGAUGCAUAAAAUGCACCUAACAGUUAGUGACCACUAUUUUUGGUCACUCAACCUUAAAUAGUGACCACUAUUUUUGAUCACUAAGCCUCUAACACACCGGUAAUACAAUGAUCAUUCUUUUUAGUCACUAAUAGUUAUUAUGAUAUGAAACAAAAGUAUUUUAAUUUUAUUCACGGAUUAGUUACCGAUUUAGUGACCACCACAUAUCAUUGGUUAUUAAAUUUGUAGGAUUACCAAAACUUACGACUAAAUUUUUGGAGACUAAAUGAUGCUGCUAGUGACCAAAUUUUAGGUCGGUCACUAAUAAGGACUUUUCUGUUAGUGCUAUAAUACUAAGAUAUAAUAUAUUUUUUAAAACCUUCUUACCCAUAUAUCCAUAUAAAACUAAAGCUUGCAAAUAACACCUAAAAUUUAACACUCUCAUCAAACUAUAAUCAAAUGUAAAAUUCUAGUAAAUCUUUUAUUUGGAAAAUAGUUGCAUUCUUUCUUUUUUUUGAACAAUAAACUUUAAUGAACAAUAAAAAAAUUACUAGCUGAAAAAUAGUUAAUACAAAGGUUUUGAAUAUAUUACAAUAAAAUAUAACCAAAAAAAAACCUAUAAGUUAAGCUAAAGCAGCAAUUACAUUAUAUGAAAAUAAAAAAUAAAAAAUAAAAAAUAAAAAAUAAAAAAUAAAAAAACCAACAAGGACAGCUAGGAUAUAGAGAAUAAAAAAUUACAACUGAUCCCAAGUAACCCCAAACAUAAAAAUAAUUAGUAACCAACUUCAACCACUUCAAAAAUGGAAUGAACAAAACAAACUAACAAUCACAAUUUGAGGAAUAUGAAAGAAUAACCUAUAACUUUAUAAACACUAACAAAGAGAAAAGUUUCUUUGUAUUUUGCAUCUCAUCAACACUCUAAUGCUUAUUCUCAUUGAUGACUUAAUGAAAGCAAACAUCUAAAGCCAUCUUGUUGACUACAAGAUUCAAAUCAAGAAAUCACAAUAAAUAUUUCAAAACAAACAAGUUUAAUUUAUCAAUAAUUUCAUAUUUUGGUUUUAAAAUUAAAUAAAGAAAUAUUUAGCAACUACUAAAAUUAUGGAAUUAAUUAAACUAAGAAUCAAGUUACCAAUUUAGUGAUUUAGACUUUACAAAUCACCAAAACUUGCACACAUUUAGAUAUUAACGGAAAUUGAUUCUAAUUUAACAAUUAAUAUGGUGAAAAUCAAUAUAGAUAUUGAGAAUUUGAAUUGAAAAAAAAAUGUUUACUGGUUCAUUAUUUUGUAUUUCGUAAUAGCGAAUGAGAAUUAAGAAACUUACAGAUAGAAUCAUACAUACAGGCACGAAUUUAUACACUUCCAUGAAACAAAUCAACAAGUUGCCAUCGUAUUUUGGUUGUUUUCUGAUUGAUUGGAUUCACCAAUAUAGGUAGGGAUUUUAUGUGCAUCCAUCUUCUACGAGUUAUUCUCUUAUCGUGUAAAUUCGUUGCUAUCCUCUUAACUCUCAAGCCAUGGCUAUCAACUAGAUCCUCGUUUUCGAAACUACCCAUCUGUCCUUUUCGGUGUUAUUUAAUAUUGCUCCCAGUCUCCUCUUCUUCUUCAGUUCUCACUGACUCUUCGAAUUAGGUGUGUGAGGUACAUUAACCAAAAAUAUUAAUGCGUGCUUUUUUUUCCCGCUCCGUUCUCAAAACCUUAAAGUUGUGCCUUAGUUAACUCAUCAUAUUUAUUAAGCCCAUAUAAGAUGUCUACCCAAAAGACUAAAACAAAAUUAGAUGCCCUCAUGUCCAUUAUUGCCCUGGGCCUCGGUCCUGCUUGCCCAACCCUAGGGUCGGGCUUGGUCGUGUGAAUCGAGAAAAAGGCCAAUUUCAACAUUAUACUUUGGGAACGAGUCAAAAGAAGACAACGUAUUUUGAUAUCACACGAGGUUGUGUCAUUUUAUCUAUAUUUGACAAUGGGUCGUGUUAAACACAUAACUGCCUUUUGAUAGUUUUUCUUAUGACCUAUUUCAGGACUUUUAUCCAUUCUAGACAUUCUCUCUCAUUUCGGGUGACUAAGGGGCGAUUUCUACAUAAGGUUUUAGCAAUUAACUUUGGAGAGACCAUUUGGAAACAAUUUAUGUUGUCUUUGUAAACAACUUUAGUACUUCAAUUUGAUUUCUAGACUUGUUGAUUGUGUUCUAGUCAUGUGUGGCUAGAACCCUGGUUCCUCCAACUUUAUGUUUUGACUUCUUGGUUGUGAUUUCAAUCAUGUGACUUGAUGUGCUUUCAAUUUCUAUUUAGUGAUUUUGAUUUUGUUUUAAUCGAAUGUUUGAUUCUAAUUUUAGUUCGUAUUGGUCAUUUGAAUUACGAUUAGGUCAUACAAGUUAGCUAAUUGCAAAAUAAUUGUUUUGUGCAUAAGAAUAGGUAACAAGCACUGGAAUGAUUUCUAAUGAAUGAAUUUAGUGUAAAUCUUAUUCACACACUCUUAUGCUCCCGAGCUUGUGAGGAGUAUUGGGUGUUUUUGGGAACAUUCACAUCAAACUUAAUGCAAACUUUUGAUUUCUAUCUAAGAGCUUGUUUGGACGUAAAUGAAAAGGUUAGGUUAUUUUCAAAGAGCUUUUUUUGAAUUUAACAAUUUGGUGAAUGGGAAGUGUUAGAGCUUGUUUAACACUUUCAAGUACCAACUUAAGUAGAAUUAAGUGAAUAUGAUGUCAUCUUUUAAUCACAUUGCCAAGUUGUCAUACAUAGAGUUGGUGUCCUUAGAAAUUUUGAAUCUAUUUUAGUUAGUUAGUCACUUACUCGUUCCUUUAAAAAAUUUUGUUAAUUCAUUGCAUACAAACCCCCCUUUUCGUGACUACUUGUACCUUGUGCAAAAAGGUAUAAGUAAUUGUCUUUUGUCUUUCAGGAUUGGCCAUGCUUCCUUAUAUUACUCUUUAGUGCAAUUUAGUAGUGUAUAUGUAGUCGUUUUGUAUCCUUAUUAUUUGUUGCGUUUGAUAACCUAAAAAAUUGGUGUCGUUUUCGGGGAAUACUAAUUGUUUAUCCCUAGAUCUUUUCAUACAGGUACAUCAUUGCUGAUUGACAUGGAGAUAGAUAAGAGUGAAAAGGGGUUAUGGAAGCAAGAAAAGAUUUGUAUGAAGCAUCUGGGUUCCAGGAAUUCUUCGUCAUUUACCCCUCCUUUGAUUAACAUUUAGGAGAACAUACCUCUCUUAAGUCCAUUAGAAACUGAAAAAAAUUCCCUCUCACUCUCACAUCAACCACCCUCAUCCAGAAACACCACUCCACCUUCCUCACCCACUCAUAUCAUACUAGUCUUUACACCUACAGAAAUUGGUUAUAAUAACAACAAUUUUCCUCCACCAAAUCCACCACUCGAAAGAACCCUUCGCCAAUGGGCUCAACAAGAAGCUACCCAACAACCCUUAUGCAUAAAUUAUCCCGAUAUGACCAACUUUGAGCUCAAAUAUGGUCUCACACAUCUACUCCCAACAUUUUGAGGGGUAGAAAAUAAGGAUCCUCACAAUUUUCUCAAAGAAUUCCAUGUGGUUUUCUCCAGUAUGAAUCCACAUAAUUUAACCAAUGAUCAAAUCAAGCUUAGCGCAUUCCCCUUUGCAGUGUAAGAUGGAGCCAAAUAUUAGUUAUAUGACCUCCCACCGGGGAUGGUCACCACAUGGGCCUAGCUAGCUAGGAUGUUUUUAGACAAAUACUUCCCAGAGAUGAAUUCAGCCAUAUAGAGGGAAAUUAUCGGUAUCAAACAACUUAAAAAGGAAGCCUUUCAUGCAUAUUAGGAAAACUUCAAGAAGUUAUACUCUUGUUUCGCAAAGCAUGGAAUAACCAAAUACUAACUUCUUUAAUAUUGUAUAAAAGAAAUGACCCCAUGGGAACAAAGGCUACUAAAUGUUUCAAGCGGAGGCUCUUUAUUCGAUAAAACCCUAACCGAAAUCUGCAAUCUCAUCAACAACAUGGUUGAAGAUUUCAAGCAUGCUAAUCAAGAUGAGUAUUGGUAUGAGGAUGCACCUAGUGGUUUUAAAGAGUUUAAUACUCCUCAUAUUGAAGCCCAAAUUUCUAAAUUGAGAAGUGCGGUCAUAAUGCUUGCCAAAGAUAAAGGUGUGCAACCUGCAUCUUGCCCUUGUGGAAUAUGUAGUGAAACUAGGCAUCCAACUUACGUUGUAACACCCAAAAAAUCACAAGAAAUUAAAAUUUUAAACUCAACCCAAAUUCAUAAAUUUUUUUACAAAUCAUAGUUUUCAAAACAUUUCCAAAUAUCAGAGUUUCCCAAAAAUCAUAAGUCAUAAAUAAGAGGAUGUGUAUGGUCAUGCCUUCGCCUUCCCGCAGUCAUCCGAAGUACCUGAAACAUAACUCAAAACUGUAAGCCAAUGCUUAGUGAGUUCCCACAAAUUACCAACACAUAAACAUAUAACAUAUACAAUAACAACUUGUACUUGGUCCACAGCUAAAAGACUGGAUUACCCCGAAGCCCACAGCAUAAGUCUGGCUUGCCCUCGGGGCCCACAACUUAUGUUUGGCUUGCUCCCUGACCAAAUCCAUCAUCAGACUAAAAUACCAUCAAGCCCUCAGUACUAGUCUGGCAUACCACUUGGUCCUCACCUUGUAUCUAGAAUGCUCUUGAGCACUCAGUAUGAGUCUGGCAUGCCUUACCUGGCCCUCAACCCAUAUCUGGAAUGCUCCAGGGUUUGUUGGCUACCGCAUGAAGUAGUACAACCUUAACCCACUACAAUAUGUCAACAUAUAAUAGAUAACAAACACAUAAAGAUAAUCAUGCAGACGUAAUCACAGGUAGUCCUACAGAUCUACCAAACUAGCAUAUCGACAACUAGCAUAAUCAUGCAUAUCUAUUCCAUACUCAGAAUAUCAGUGAAUGGCAGGAUAUAAAACCAACGGGCCAGCCUUGGUGCCUUCGACUCGUAAGUACAGUGAGGAAAAAUCGCCUCACAAACCGGACAAAAGUUUAUGAGGUCUCGACUCCAAAUCUCCGCUCAAACCCACCUAUCCAACCGAAUAACCAAUCUCAAUAAAAAUCCCAAAAAUAUCCAAAAUACCCUUGAGUCAAAAUUGGUCAAACUCGGUCAAAGUCAAAGUCAAACUGGUCAAAAUCCAUAUGUCAAUUGAGUCAACCAAGCCGAGUCAAUCCAUAGUGAGUACGUGGGGCGUACUCCAAACGUACGCUGGGUGUACUCGCCUGUUAACCACAAUCGGGUGGUUAACCUCGUAUGCAGGGCGUACUCCAGGUACGCGGGGCGUACUCUUAGAAAACCCAAAAACUCAAUAAGUGCUUAAUGUCUUAAGCACUCACGUCCAUUUUUCAGAUCCAUGGUUAAAACCCCCUCAAGAGUCAUAAAGUUUCCAACUUUAUGACUUUGCAUAUCGAUUAAGUGCUUAAGUCAACUUGUUAAUCUAUUAAGACCUUCGAAAUGAUGCAUGGAGCAAAACUAACCACAUGGAAUCCAUUUUUAUGAAUCAAGACCCUUCCAAGGCUCUAAAAAGAGAAAUUCAAGGGUUAAGAACAUGCUAUUUUCAUGAAUCGUCAUUUUGGGACCAAAAAGUGACUUAAAAGAGCAAAAGCCUAGAUUUACAAGAUGGGGUGGUAAAGAUGCAAGAUUUAUACCUUCAAGAUGUUGCAAACCAAGAAGAAAUCCUAGAUCCAAAGUGCUCUCAACUCCAAGAUCUUCACACCACCUUCUUCUCUCUUCAAAAUCGCUCCAAAACUCUCUUAAAGGCUCAAAAUUUUCUCUAUCUUGCUUUAGGGUCGAUAUCACAAAAGGAGGUUGGGUAAGAAGAGGAUUUGAGUCCAUAAGGUUGCUUAAACAUGAGCCAAAGCCCUAAAAUUAGGGUUUUCAUGCAUUCCAGAUACGCCCUACAUACAAAGUGUACGCCCAAUGUUCUAAGGCACGCCUUAGUACACUUAGUGUAUGCACAGCGUACUCAUCCAAACCCAAAUUUUACCAAAAUGCCACAACGGGCCCCUUUUCACACUUUCUUACACUUAGGGACAAAAAUGCAAUAUAAUUCAAUUAUAGGGACAAAUUUAGAAGUACCUCAUCAUCGGGAUGUUACAUACAUGUUCCCUCAACUUCAAGAGGAGGAUUAUGAAGAAGAAGGAGCUUUGGGAGGUUAUUACGGGAAUAACCAAAAAAGUUAUUGUUGGAAUAGUGUCUAAGGCUACAACUAUAUUAGGCAAGUAUUUGACCCGGUUGUGCGUGGUCCUUUUGGGUUGCCUUCACCAUAGCAACUUGACAAGAUGAUUUAUAAUGAGAGAAGGAAUAUUAUUAAUAUAUUAUAAGAAUAAUAUAAGGAAUAAUAAUAUUGUUAUUAGAUUAAUAUAAGUCAUAAAUUAAUUAAGAAUUAAUUUAGUGACUUAAAGAGAUUAAUCAAAUAAAGGGGUAUAAACUAUUAAUUGUAUGAUAGUUUGAUUUUAGGCUAUAAAUCCCUUAAGGAUAAGGGGGCGAAUUCUAGGGCUUUGGAUAGGCUUAGAUUUCGUCCAAGGGCUUAUCUAUUAGGGUAUUGGAUUGCUUAGGGCCUAAGUUAUCCAAUUAGGGUUUAAGGGUGAAACCCUACGAGCCUUACAAGUAUAAAUAGACCCCAAGGGUCAAGGGAAAUCGGCACUUGUGCUUAGAGAAGAAACCCUGGCCGAUUUGAUCCCCUCUCCUCUCUCCUAAAUCAUCUUCUUGCUAGUUGGUGUUUGUAAGCCAUUAGAGGAGUGACAAUUGUGACUCUAAAGCCUCAAGGAGAAGAAGAUCAAGCAAGUGAUUCAAGGUAAACUUCUAAUCUCUGAUUUUAUAUUGUUAUUAUACUCUAUUAGCCAUUAGAAGUCUUGGAUUCAAUGUAUGUUCAAUUAGAGAAACCUAGAUCCAAGCAUUAGGGUUGCAUGUGCACAUAGGAAUGUUCAUAUGGCUAAAACCCAUCAGUGGUAUCAGAGCCUAGAUUGGUUUCUAUUGAAUUGAUGCAUUGAUUGCUUGUUUGUUGCUUGAAAAAUCGUUUUUUUGUCCUCUGCCAGAUGAACUCGGUGAGUCCCAUGGUAAGUAGGCUCAACUCGGCGAGUCCAUUUGGGUACUCAGCGAGUUCGAGCGUCAGAAAGAGGAAACUUAGGGAUUUCUUGCUGUUUAUCUUUGAGAUACUUGCCUUAAUCAUAUUAGAUCAAUAUAAAUCCGAUUUUCUGAUAUAUAUAUAUAUAUAUANUUCUAUUAUAUUUGAUGCAAUUGUGAUUUGCCAAAAACUGGAACAAAAUCGAUUUUUGCUCUCUGUCUGCUGAACUCAACGAGUUGGAGGAACUUGACGAGUCCAUGCCCUUACUCGACCAGUUAGAUCGUCUGUUGGCAGAUUUCUCAGAUUUCAAGCCUAAAUUAGACAAGGAUAGUUACCUAAAAUUGUUUUAACUGUUUAAAAUUGAAUUUUCUGAUAUGGUAAUGGAUAUCCUCAUUUAAUUAAAAGAUAAGAUAAUAUCCUAUUAUAAGAUUAAAUGAUUAUUGAAAAUUUGAACUUGUAAUUUUGAAAAAAAUUUAAAUUUCACCCUUAACGUUUUGAAAUUUAAAAAUUAAUUAAAGGUUUAAUUUUGAAAUAUUAAAUUCUAAAACCUUAGUAUUUUAAAAGUUUAAAAUACAAACCUUAUACUAUUAUAAUAUUAAAAGAUUAAUAUGUAUAUAUAUAUAUAAUUAAAAUGCUAGUCUUAGCGUUAGUAGGCCUCAUUCACGAAAGUCGGUCUAUAAGGUGGGUAUAAGGUUGCUGCCUACAAAAUGGCGUUUAAUGGGUGUACACUCACACCCACCGCUUGCUUGAUCGGUGGAGGGUCGUUAGCCGAACGGGUAGGAUAGGGCAACCUCAUCCUCUCAUUAAAAGUAUAAUAAGUAAUACAAAGUAACUACAUUUUUUUUAAAAUUUCCCAAUCUUAGUUACUUUAGGAAAAGUGAAUUGAUGCAAUCCCAUGAAAUUACACUUUGCACCCUUGCUAAGAAGUUAGUGGAGCGUGUGUGGUUUACCGGCACACUAAUUGGUUCUAAGCAAAGGUGGCAAAGGGUGAUUCAUUGUUUAUCAUAGUUCGAUGGAGCGUGUGUGGUUUACCGGCACAUCGAAUAGGUGAUCGUUACAAUGAAGGCACCAUGUGAAUUUGCAUGGUAAUUCACACCCACUUUGUGAUCCUCGGUAUCCCAGUCACAAACGAGAGGGGCAUAUCGAGAUUUAAACAUGCCAUUGAAAAGUUUCAAUGAAUCUCAUCCAAACCUAGGAAUUCUCAAUACAUUUAGAACUUAAAGUUAUGUUUUCAUGACGGAGAAUUAGUGAAUCGUCAUUCACUUACCUUCAUAUUAUUUGCAUUUUGGAUUACGGCAUCCCUUUUCUAAUAUAUAAAUAUUGUUGUUGGAUCCUAGCCCUAAUUUUUCUUAUUGGGUGAUAAUAAGGGAUUCAUAUUCUAAUCUAUCUUUGUCCUUUCUAUUUGUAGAUAUCGAACGCAAACAACGCUGCUGCUAGUUCUUUCACAUUGAUGAGCCUUUGUCAAAAGGUCACUUUCGAUGGGACGAACUUUAGCGAAUGGAUACGAUACAUUCGCACGAUUGCUUGCUACGAGGACAAGGAGGAUGUCCUCGAUGAGAAGCUCGAAAAAAUCAACCCAGAAAUCGCUACUCCGGCUGAAAUGACUGCUUUUGAGACUCAUGAACGUGAUGCAACAAAGGUAGAUUGCAUCAUGAUAGCCACCAUGAAUGCCGAAUUCCAAAAGUCCUACGAGGAUAUGUAUCCGUACGAAAUGCACCAAGACUUGUUGGAGAGAUACCACCAAAACGCGAGGCAAGAACGUUACGAGAUUUUCACUAACAUGAUUUCCACCAAAAUGGGUCAUGGAGAAUCUCUUACCGUGCACCUGCAAAAGAUGCAAAGGUAUGUCGACCGUCUUCGCAAGUUGAAUGUUGACUUUGGGGAAGACUUGGCGAUCGACAUGGUGCUUCACUCUUUGCCUCCGUGUUACAAUCAAUUUAGGAUGACCUACCACAUGAACAAAGAAGAGGUCACCCUAAGUAAGCUCCAAGGUCUCCUUAGGGUUGCUGAAAGCAACCUCAAGGACAAGUCUGUUGCACCCACUCCCAAUCCACCCGCUGCUCCUGUUUUGGCCAUUAGGCAAGGGAGAGGCAAGAAGAGGAAAGCUCCGUCUAAGAGCCACCGCAAGGGAAAGUCCCAAGAUGGUUCCUCCUGUAGUGGGACCAACGUUGAUCUUGCGAAACCCUGUCCUAACCUUAAGGAGGUAGAGUGCCAUCAUUCCCAUAAAAUAGGGCAUUGGAAGAGAAGCUACCUAGACUACCUGCAAGCCAUCAGGCAAGGAAAGAUCAAGCCAUCUUUCGUAGGUAUAUAUACAAUUAAAUCUAAUGACUCAUCUCAUUCUAUUUCUUGGGUCCUUGAUACCGGUUGUGGUUACCACAUUUGUUCUGAUUUGUAGGGACUAAGAAGAAAUAGGGAUGUGGAGCAUGGAAGAAUAAAUCUAAUCAUGGGGAACAGAAGAUCGUCGCCUGUGACCAAGAUUGGAGUGUAUUCUUUAGUGCUUAGGAAUGGUUUAUGUUUAGAUUUGAACAAUUGUUGCUAUUCGCCAGAAAUGGCUAAAACAUCAUUUCUUUUCAUGGUUUGUUUAGACAAGGUUUUAGAUUUUCUUUUAAUAAUGAGAAUGGUUCUAUUAUUGCUUAUCUAAAUGGUGUCUUAUAUUUUGAAGCAAUACCGUGUAAUGGAUUUUAUGAAACUGUUAUGAUUGUAGAUAACUUAGGAAAUGAUGUUUUAUGCAUGGAUUCUUCCAAUGGUAUGGAUAGAGCAUCCUUGUGGCAUUGUCGUCUUGGACAUGUCAACAAGAAGCGCAUAGCUCAACUCCAAAAGGAUGGAGUGUUGGAGUCAAUCGACCUAAGGGAAGAUGACACAUGCGAGUCUUGUUUGCUUGGAAAGAUGACUAAAUCACCCUUCACAAGUACAUGUGAUAGGGGUGAGGGUCUAUUGGACCUAAUACAUACCGAUGUAUGUGGACCGUUUAGAUCAACCACGAAGGAUGGGAACCGCUUCUAUGUGACUUUUACCGAUGACUA